CUUCUAAUCGAGAUAAUUUUGAAAUGACAUUUGGUGCUAUCACCUGAAGGCUCCAACAAUUGGUCAAAUCUAACAAUCUUAACCCCGUCAAUUGUCCAAUUUCAAGUGGUAACUGCUCGAUAUUGGAAUCUGCAAGGUUGAGAAUCUCUAAUUUCUUUAGCUGUCCAAUUGCCGCUACAUCUUCUAGUUGGCACCAGUCUAAACACAAUGUUUGAAGGUUAAUGAGGCGACCAAGUGAUGAAGGUAAUGAAGAGAAAUGAAUUCCGAUAAGACUUAAAACUUUGAGUUCUUCUGUUCCUUCAAAAAAGAGGUCUGAAAUUUGCACGGGGCCAUAACCCUGUCUAAACAACAAAAAUAACUGGAGAUUGGGACAUUGCAACCUUUCAGGGAGCUCUUGAAUAUUUCUCUGGGGUAAUGAAAUGGCAAUUGGAUCUUUCCGUAUUGUCUCUUCCAUCUUUUUCUCCAAGUCGGCAACAUUUGGGAUAUUAAACAUGCGCGUCUCUGCGGCAACUGAUACGGCAACAACAUGAAUGAUGUCAUGCAUUUUAACUUCAUCUUCAGCAUCACCGUCCAACAAUAAGCAUGAAGAUUUGAGAUUGUCGAUCAACCGAUGCACCCUACUCCUUGCUUCUUCCAAUGUGUAAACAUUUUCAAACAAACCCCAACCCACACCAUAUCUCAAUAAGUAAGGAACUGGUAUAGCAUGACCUUCACUGUAUAGACCACAAAGACGGAACAUAGAUUUUGCUUCCUCACUUCUCAAGAAGUCGUAACUCAAUUUUAUGGAGAGGUACACAUUUUUUUCCAUUCCAUCAAUUUCUUUUGCAUAGGAACUUCUUAGCUGACGCAGCACAUCUUUCCAAGUGUCAAGGCUCUCAUUUUUCAAAGCUUUUGCAAGUGUAAUCAGUGCAACCGGCAGUUCUCCGCAUCUUCCGACGAUCUCAUGUGCUAUAGGUUGAAAAGCAGAUGUUUUCAUUGAAUCACCCACUAUCUUCUGAAAUAAAUGCAAUGCUUCUUCUUUUGAUAAAGCAUCGAUCUGGAUCUCUUUCUGAGAAUUCAUAACAUUGCGCAAUAAAUCUUGACGUCUAGACGUCAGUAUUAUUGUGCAUCGUCGCUGAUCAUCCAUUCUUUCUUUCUUAACAUCCCCGGAAGGAAUUCCAACUUCAUCGAACUUCAGUUCUCCCCAAAUAUUAUCCAAUAUAAUGAGAUGCCGCUCCUCGUUCUUCAAAACUCGACAUAGUCGAUUUGCUCUGUCGAAUAUACUCUCAUUCAACUCAAACUUUAUGCCUAAAUCAGAAGCAAGUUUGUCUUGAAUUUUCUGAUGAUCUGGGUUCUCUGUUACCUCAGCCAUAGCGACCUUAUCGAACAACUUAUCUUUUUCCAUCACUCGCUUUGCAACUUGCUUGACGAGCGUGGUUUUACCCACGCCGCCCAUCCCGUAGACCCCAAUAAUGUUGAGCUUAUCAUCCUUCAACGCCUCCACAACAUCUUGAAAUACUUUCAUUCUUGAAUCAAAGGCCUCGUAAUCUUUCACUUGCAAAUGUUCUGUACUCUCUGGAGCAGGAAGGUAGGAAACUUCCCUGAAGUCGCCUUCUUUUAUGAGACUAUCGGCUGCUUCUUUGUCCAUUGCAGCUUGUUUACUAACCCUGUAACGAGAAAUCAAAUUUGGGCACAAUCCAUCUUCAGUAUCAAUGAUGGGUUUUUCAAUCAAUCCAUCAACUUUUUUAAGCCAGAUUUCGACGUCAUCAAAAAUCUUAUCUCCUUGUCGAGUAGCCUGAUCAACGGCUUUUUCCACCCUUUGUCUUUCUUGUUUCAGCUUCUCCACUUGUUCUUUUAGCCCAUCGAUGUUGCUUUUGUACUCUGGCACAUAAGAUAUUGGUCGUAUAAUAAGUUCGAACAAUGUCUUUGCACCACCGGAUACAAUGCUGGAAAUAGCAUUGAGACACCCUUGUGCAGCCAUUGCGAGACACCCUUCUGCAGCCAUUGCCUGUUGCUAAACAAUAUAUAUAUAUAUAAAUAAAAGUGUCAAAGAAAUGAAUACAAAUAAAUUAAAAUGAACUAGAGGGAAAGACAGAGAAAGGAAAGACCGCAAACAACAUCGCGAUAUUGAUAUUGAACCAACUGAUACCUAAAUAGAGAAUUUCUUUUUCCAUCUUAAGGAUCAGAGGUUUCGCUAUUAACAGAAAGGUAUCCUUCAAGGAAAGUUGAUGGAAAUUAAGAAAGAACCGCUAUCAAUAUCAAGUAUUCUGCUACUAAAAAUAAAUGAUAUGACUUAAGAAAAAUAAAUGAUAUGAUUAAGAAAAACCAGAGAAUUUUUUCCUCGGAAAGUUGAUGGAAAUUAAGAAAAAACCGCUAUGAAGAACAAGUAUCAGAGAUUCUGCUACUAAAAGAAUAUUACAGGUUUUAGAACAAGUGCACCUCUUUACCUGUCUCGGAUCAGAGUUGAUGAGCUGCUGUAUUCACCUUGAAUAUAGAAGAAAAAUUUUAUUGAGCAAAAGGAUCUCUGUUGACUAAAGAGGAAUGCGAGUAACGAGUUGAUGAGAGUAAUAACAAUGAAUUUCCAAAAGAAGACGACUUGAGCAUUAAGCACGCAUCCCUUUUUCAAUCAAAUACUGGUACGUAUGUCCGUAGGGACCAUUAUGCGUAUACGAAGUCUAUUAGUUGCAAUCAGAAGCCCCGGCCCAAUUUAAUUGACACUCGAUUUUUGAUAAGAAGAAGGCAAGGAUAAGGAUAAAGUCAAUCAAUCACCAACAGUAAUUACUUCAAUCUUUGUCAAUAUACUUAAAUUGUCGAUCAACAUGAAAAUUGUUUAAAUUGAUAUUUGUAAAUGAAUCAAUUUUCUAGUUACUAUGAUUAUAACGUUUCACCUUUCAUAUUGGAUUUUAUCUUUUCAAAAGUUUUCAAAUGUGAGUUUCAAUAAUUAUUGAGACUCCAAGCCGUGCUCUCAAGAUUGUGCUGACAAAUCACCAUUAGCUUUAUUUAUGCAUAUUUCAAAGAAAAAAAAAGUUAUGGUUUGUAUUGCCAGCCCUGCUACUUUUUGUUUUUUUUCAUUUGUAUUAUUUACGAAUUAUUUUUUAACAGAAACAUGAGAACUCUUCAUCGUACAAAAUUGCAUGAAAAAACCUUCAAAUUUAUAAAAGUAAAUUUCAUUGACAGAUUGUGGAUAUGUUUGCAAGAAUAAGGAUAAGAAUGAGUUAAGAAAUUAAAAAAAAAAAAAAAGAUAGUGUAAGUAAACAAUGUUUUGGUACAUUUGGUAUUGUUUUCAAAAUAUUUUGAAAAGAAAAAUUUUCAAUCAUCCACCUAAAAAUUAUCUUAUUAUCCAAAAAGUUAUAAAAAUUUAAAUAUACUUAAUUUUAUACCCAUUAUUACAAUGUGUAUAACUGUUUACUAAAAAUUUAAAUAUACUUAACGGAUGUUUAAUACAAAUUGCAUACAUUGGGUGUAAAAUUAAAUAAAUUUAAAUUUUAUAAUAAUUUUAAUAACUGAAUAAACUUUGAGUAAAUGACUGAUAAUUUUUCUUUUAUAAGCUAUAAGAAGUCAAAUAAAAAAUAGGAUGAUAAUUUCUGAUGGGUGUCGAAGCCAACAAAAAUAAAUUCCUACUCUAAAUAAAUUGUGUAUAGUGAUUGAGCAGGGUCGUGUCCACAGAGAUCGGUAAUUAUUUAAAUCCUUUUGAAACGUAAAACGUAAAAUGAGGGAAUUGUUGACAAUAAUAAAAAUCAAACUAAAAUAACGAGAAUGUAAAUUAAAGUUGUGAUUCAAAUUGGAGAAAGCUCUGGUUGAAGGAAUUAACUCAGCUUGAUUCGACUACUGAUCAUUGAUUCAAAUAUAGAUUAUUAUUACUUAUGAAUAGACCGGUUAUAGCUACUGAGACCCUCUAAUAGCCAAUCUCUCCUUAACUAGUCGAUAACCAAAGUACGACCGUUGGUUAUUUCCCUAAUCAAUAGACAACCCUAGAUACGAUCAUAUGAUUUAAUCAAUUGACAGCCUGAAAAACCAGAGAGACCCAAAUCCUAAUCAACACAUAUGAUGAUUCAUUUAAAUUAGAUUGUUUAUUCUCACAACACAACUCUCUGCUAUGUUAUUUGUCACAAACAUUAAAUUCUUCAUACGAUGAAUCCUUUAAUUGACAAUAGAUUAAGUUGAUAAUUAAAUAGUGGCCAAUUACCUAAUUAACAAACAUAAUCAUGAAAAUAAUUCAGAGAAUAAACAAAUACCCAAAAGCAAUAAAACAAUUAAAGCACAAGAAAGAUCUCACAGUACUGAUGAAUCAAAGCUUCAUUAUCCUUCAACCAGAAAAAUGGGUUUAGUUCCUCAUAGAGAGAAGAGAAAAAUUAGAUCUAGGGUUUCUUUUUCUCCAAUCCAAAAAUCCCCUUUUUUCACAAUAGAUUCCUCCCUUAAAUACUCUCUCUCUCUUCUCUUUUAGAGUUCUAUUUAAAAUAAAAUACUAAUAUCUGAAAUAUUAAAUUCGUAAUUACAAAAAUAGCCAAAAAUACAAAACACGUUAAACUCAAAACUGCAGGUUCGCAGUUGACAGCACGCGCCCACGCCUUAUCAACAAAGUUCUUCUGCCGCUCAUAAUUUCUCCAAGAGAACAAUCAUCCUUAAACAUCAUCUUAUAGCUCAAUUUUAUCACCAAUUAAUAGAAUUGCACCUACAAAAGUAAAACACAAGUAAAUCACUAUUAUUAAGUGCAAAACAUCGAUAUUAAGGGAAGUAAACAAUGCAAAACUAGUGCAUAAAUUGCACUCUAACAAUUUCUCUUUUAUAUUGCUCAGAUGAUUUAUUGUUUGGGGACUAAGAUUUUAAGUAUUCAACUUAAAAGAUUAAUAUAUUAUAAAUUGAUUAAUUAAUUAAUCAUUAAGCAACUAAAUUGGGUCCCUGGAUGUCAAUUCCUUUAAUAUUGAUGCAACAACCUUUUUUUGGCAAAUAAUUGUUAAUGCACUUACGGAACUUUUGCGUGUCUACACAGCGAGUUCCAGGACAUUUUCGCAUUGUGCAACAAUUGCUAAUAGCACCUUUUUACGAUUAAUUUAUAAUAUAAUUUCAGUAAAGAUAGAAAUACAAAUUUUAUAUAAAUUGAUAUGAUAUUACUUAAAAACAUUUCAUUGCUCACAUGAGUUACUGCUGAAGCCUAUGAUUUUAGAUACUCAACCCAAAAGAUUAGCCUAUUGAGAGGAGGGAGGUCUAUGAUUUUAGAUACUCAACCCAAAAGAUUAGCUUCUUGAGAGGAGGGACCACUUGUAUUUAUUAGGAAUGGGCAUCAGAUCAGAUUUGGGUUGAUUUGAUCCGAUCCGAUAUGAGCUAAUCUUAUUUGGAUUGGAUUCGAAUUUAGCUCUAAAUCUGAUGGGAUAAGAAUGUUGCAAUCUGAUCAGAUCCGGAUCAAUACGAUCGAUUGCACUUACAAUUAAAAAGAAUACAAAACUUAAAUAUAAAUAAGAAAUAAAAAUUAAAAGACAACCCUAAAUCCCUAAAUCCUUAAAUUUCCCAAAUCAAAACAGAAAGAAUCAAAAAAAGCAACUCAGCCGCAUGCCGACAUUAGCGACGAACCCAGCCAUUCUCUUGAGAAAUAGUUGGCCAGUGUCACGAUCGGUUCCAAUGGCUUGACCACGUCCCCUUCCUCUAGCUCUUCCUCGAGCUAUGUUGUAGUGGCAAAGAAUAACGAUGGAGAAAUAAUGAUAGAACAGCUAACAAAGAAUUUAGUUUGAUUCUCAAUGAUCCUUUUAUUGAAUAAAUUAUGCUCAAUUUAUACACUACUAACUGCAACUUGACAACAAAAGCGCAACUCACAACCAGAAAAUAGCAACAGCAACUAAGAAAUAGCAAGUAAAUCAGAUUCUUGCCUAUUAUUCGGACUAGUGACCCACUACUUUGACUGACUCAACAAAACAAAUAAACUAAAAUGCUGACUCAUGACAGCCAGUUGCAAAGCCGAUGAUGCCCGAGCUGCAUGCCGAUGACGUCCCAGCCGACAGCUGCUGGGCCAGUGACCCGUACAUUGCAAAAGUCCUAAACCUAGUCGUUGCAUUUAUUUGUUUGUUGCAAAGGUUUCAAAUGGAGUCGGAUCCAUUAAAGCUUUUGAGGUGCAGAGGUUAUAAAAAUAGAAUAGAUACUUUGAAAAACUUGCAGAGGUUUGCGUCGUUUGAAUUGCUUGUGAACUUAUUUUUGCAUGCAUGUUAUUCUCUAUGCUUUUUGGUGAUUGUAAAAUUAAUUGUUUGAUUUAGCUUUCCAACUUUUGGGAUGCAAUUGUUACUGGUGUUCUCAACAAAAUAAUUGAUGUGAAAAUGGACGAACUUUCAUUUUUUGUCUUUGUUCUUCCAUUUGCUAGCUUGCUGCAUUUUUUUCUUAAUUUCUAUGAUUUUUCAAUUUUGUAUUUCAACUUGCAAGUGAUUGAGAUUCAUCUGAUUUAUUCGAACACAUCUGAUUCCAAUUUCAGUAUGAUAUUAUCGAUCUGAUCCGAAUCCAAAUUAAUCCGCACUAUUCAUCCAAUUUGAAUGUGAUCCGCACAUAAUCGGAUUGGAUGCAAGUUCAUAUUGCAUUCAUAUGACUUUUUAUCAAUUCGAACAAUCCAAAAUCUGAUCGUAUUAAUCCGAAUAUUAUCUGCAUCCAAUUUUGCCCAUCUCUACUACUUAUAAGCCCAAGUGACUCUCUUUUACUAAUUAACUAGAAAAUAGACCCGCGUUUCACGCGGCUUUGAAAAAAGAAUUUACUAUUAUCUUUUUUUUCUUACUUUACACUUGAUGAAAUAGAUAAAAAAAUAAGAAUUGAUUUUUUUUUAAAGAUGAGGCAGCCUUAUAAAAAAAAAAGUUAUUAGGUAGUAAUAUAAAUAAAGAAGCAACACAAGAUAAAGAAUAAAAUGAGAGAAUAUAUUAUAGAGAGAUUUUAUUCAUUCCAAUUGUGUGUGUACAAAAUAAAAAGAUGAGCUCUCCUUUUAUAGUUACAUAAUCACUCCAUGAAGUUAAUGAAAAAUUAUGGAUCAUAAUUUCUUGUGAGAUAGUGGGAGUUAUAGGGAAGCUAAAGGUUGCUAAUGGGAGAUAGUGGGGAGACUAAGAGAUAUAUGUUAUGAACAUUUAUAUUUAUUUUAAUAAAUUCAUAACACUCCCCCUUGGAUAUUCAUUACAAAAAAUAUGCAUCAUUAAAAUUUUUACAUAAUUGUUAUUGUAUAAUAACAAUCAAAUUAAUUAUGAGAAGAUGAAAAACCAAAUCUAAAAGAAAAUUUCUCUAUUUAUUAGAUAAUAGAGAAUAUACAAAGAAGAGAAAUGGUGAUGCCACAUCACCUCCUCAAGUCCCAACUUUAUAUAGAUAUAUAGAUAUGGGACAUUAUUUAAGAAUUCUUUCUCAAAUGAGGAAAAUUAUCAUACCAUUUUUAUCCAUUAAUUUAGAAUAAAUGCAUUUAUCAUCAUUAUUAUGUUUAAAUCCAUGCAACAUGAUCAUAGAAUCAAAAUUUUCAUGUUGUUGCGUUAGUGCUUAUUUAAGAUCAUAUAAUGACUUUAUUAAUUUACUAAAUUUAUUUUGUAAAUUAGUAAAUUUAUUUUUUCCUUUCUUUGUUGUAAAUCAUUUUGCAUCCAACCACCCUCUAAAGGCUUGGGCCAAUGUUUCAAACAACAAUGCAUCAAGUUCCAAUCUAAGUUAAGAUCCUGCUGAUGCAUCUAGUUGAUUAGAUAAUAAUGAGUCUAUCUCAUUACUUGUUGCCUCUUUCCACAAGGCUGCAUCUGUUGAAGCCAUAGCCUCACUGAGAGUUUAAAGAUCUUCUUCCAUAUUAAAUAGGGAAAUUAUCAUUCUACCAUCUUUCUUUUGACUUAUGUUCAUUUAACCACCACUAAAUUUCAACAUGUUUUCUGCAAUACCUUUCUUUUUAAAUUUGAAUCAAUUAGCCACUUUUACACUAACACUGUUAAAUAAUUUAAACAAAAUGAUAAUUUUACUUCUAAAUAAAUUAAAAUGCCAUUUUAUCUUAUAAAAGCUUUGAAAAAUAAAAAAAUUUUACUUACAAAAUAAUCCAAAAUAGAGGUGCUCAGCUUAUUUUUAUUAAAAAUUUAUAAUUUUGUAAAAUUUUAUUAAAAUAACUAAAUUUAUUUAUUAAAAAUAAAUCCCAAAAUUUUAAUGUUUUAGGGGAUGUUUAUUAAAUCCCAAAAUUUUGCAAUUAUUUUAUAAUUAUAAUUUUUAUUAAAAUAAAAAUUCUAAUUUGGGGAUUUAUUUCUUUAUUAAAUUUAGGGGUAUUUCUAUAAUUAUAAUUAUAAUUUUUUAUUUUUUAUAAAAUAAAAUGAUCUUUUAAUUUAUUUAGGGGUAAAUUUAUCAUUUUGUUUAAAUUAUUUAAUGGUGUUAGUGUAAAAGUGACUAAUUGAUACAAAAUUAAAAAGAAAAGUAGUGCAGAGAACAUGUUAAAAUUUUGUAGUAAUUGAAUGAGCAUAAGGCAAAAGAGUAGUGGUGAAAUGAUAAUUUUCCAAUUAAAUAAAACGGGUGUUCGAUUAAGAACUCUAUCUCUAUCUCCUCGUCCUAUCAAAUAACGUCAACCAUCCAAAAGAAAAAAAUAAAUUGGAAAAGUCCACGGGUAGCAAUAAUUUCUGGUCCGUUCCUGGACCUCCAUUAUCUGGCACUAUGAAUAAUGAAAAUGACAUUGCAAUCGUUAGGUAUCUUGGAAAAAUGACGAAAGUUUUUGGAGGGAGGUGGGGGAAUUGUCAAAAGUUCACACAAUGCGAAACAAGUGUUACAUCCAAUUAAAUUUUAUUUCAUUACCUCUUUUGCCUCAUAAAUAAUAGGAUCACCACGAGAUAAUGAUAAUAUCAAAUAAUGACAACCAUCCAAAUGUAUGAUGGGUCUUCCAAAUUUUGAAAAUGUCGUCAACAUCAAAUCUUCAAUGCCGAAGAAGGUAUAUGCCCAAAAAAUGACACGCAAGACCCACUCCACAGACUAAAUUGUCCUUGAUCAUAUGUAACAAACUUUGGCCUUAUGUGCCUGUGGUGACAUUAGACUGUUCAUUUUCAUUGUUUCUUACCUUCCAUUUACGCCCACUGUAGUAUUAUUUUAUUCACCAUUUUAGCCAUUUAAAUGAAAUUUUAUUUUUGUCAAAAAAUGAACUUUUACUUUUGUCAAAAAUAAAAUGAUACCCUAAAAAUUUAGAAAAAUAGUCACGUAGACCUCAAAUUUUUAAUAUAGGAUACCAAUACCCCUUUUGAUCAUAAUACUACUCUUAGUAGAUGGUAAAAAAAAAAAAAAGACUUCAAAAUUUUUUAUAAAAUUUAAAUAAUUAAUUUCAAUAUUAAAUUUUAAAAUGUGAAUUAAUAUAUUUGUAUCUAUAAAAUACUUGUAAUUAUUACAAAAAAAAUUUAAAUGAAUCCUUAGGUUAAAUAGAUUUUACAAUUAAUAUAAUAUUUCUCAUGUAUUAAUAAUAUUAAAAUUAUUUUAUGUGAUAUUGAAAAUAAUUUAAAUUUUUAUGUAUUUAUUUGAAUAUUAUGUCUCUAUUUAUUAUUAUUUGGUUUAAUAGAAUACGAGAUUUUAAAAUAUUAAAAUAUUUUUAGAUAUUGAAAUUAUUUUAAUAUGUAUACAUUAUUAUAUUCAUUUUAAUAUCCUACUUAUAUUUAUUAUAAAAUAUGAGAAUUAAUUUUUUUAGUUAAUAAAUUUAAAAAAUACUAUAAUAAAAAAAAAGGAUCUUAUUGUCCGGUAUUCACGACAUGAGGUACUACAAAAUUAUUUCCCCGGACGGGUGUGCUUUUCUUAUUUUUAGAAAGAAAAAUAAGUCAAUGGGUUUCAACAAUUUCUAGUCCUAUCUGCCACUAUGACUAAUGGAAACGACAUUGCAAUUGACAUUGCUUUUCGCAAUAUGACUAUUUUUUGGAGAAUCGUCAAAAGUUCACUCCACUAGAGAGUUUUAGGUGGGAGAAUUGUCAAGAGUUCACACCACAUGAAACUAAUGAUAGACUUAAUUUCGCUGUCAGUUCUUUAUUUAUUUAUUUUAUUUAUUUAAUACAUUAUUGUCUUGUUGGUAUUGUGUUGUAAAGAUAUAAAAGUAAAGUAAAAUAUUAAGGGUGCUGUUAAGUUACAACUGAUGUAACUUACAGUUUUUUAAAAAAUAAUGUAAAAAAUUUAAUAGGUGGUGGGACUCAAUUUUUUUUUUUUUGAAGAGAUCAUAAGUUACAGCACUUGUAACUUAACAAAAUCCAAAUAUUAGACAAUAAUACAUAUUAACAAUGCAUAUAAUUUGGGUCUGAUUUUUAAAAAAUUAUUUGAGUACCACCUAUCCUUAAGAUAUUAAUGUGAAUGUAUUUUAAUAGUAAAUAAUAAAUUUUUUUUAACUAUUAUUUGUAUUUCAUACAUUACAUAUUAUAUUUGUUUGAAUUUUAAGUUGUUGCUAAUAAAUAUUUAUGUUGUGAAAGUCGAAUUCAAUAGCUACAAAAGAAGAGAUAAUGGUAUUUUAUAUAGUUUUUAAGAAUACAAGGAUAAGCUGGAUAAUUGACUUAAGUUCUAAUGAUUAAAACAACAACUAUCCCUUAAAUUAUAAUGUCAAUUUCUUUAAUUAGAAUUUUUUUCAACAAUUGCUACAGUUUUUUAAAUAAUAAUGGGAGUUAUAAAUUAUUUAUAUAAAAUUUGUGUAGAAACUAAUGUAACCUAAAAGUGGUUGCUGAAUAACAAUAUUUGAAACUUUAGGUAAUUUUCAUAUCAGCCCUUUUUAUAUUCAGCAACUUUAGAACUUAAACAAACUUGCCCUCGAUCUUAAUUUAUUUACCCCAUUUAAACCCAUGAUGCAUGAUGACAUAAACAGAUUCUUGUGUGAUGAAAACAUCAAGAAAAGACAUCUCAUGUUUUAAUAUAACAGAAAAAAAGCGGUCCAUAAGUCUAUCCAUUAUUUUAUUUAUUCAGUACAAAUGGCCAACUUUAAAAAAUGAUAAAAGUCACACAACGCUUAAGUGAAAAUUAAAAAUGACAUUUUUUAAUACUCUCUGAGUCUCUCUCUCUCCCCCUUUUUUUUCUAAAUAAACCUUAGUUUAAAAUUAGAAGAAUUUUAGAUAUAAAAAUUUGUCAAUCACUUAACAGAAAAGUAGGGGAAUGAAAACAAAGGAGCCCCUGUUAUUAUUGGAAUAUUAAUUAUAGAUGUUAUAAUAUCUAUAACUUGUCGUGGUUCAUUGUAGCAUUCUAAGCCAUAUUCUAAAACUAGGAAAUAGAACCGCACUUCGUCCGGCUUUAAAAAAAAUUAGUAUUAUUUUUUUAUUCCUUUGUAAUUAAUGAAAUUGAUAAAAAAUAUGAAUUAUUUUUUUAAAAGAUGACGCAGUCUUAUAAAACUAAUGUUAUUUAUGAAAGUUAAUUAUUUUUUGUUAACAUUAAAAAUAUAUAUUAAUGUGUAUAGUUAAGUGUACACAACCUUUUCAUCAAUAAAAAUUAUGUUCACACUAAUCAACUCUCCAUUUUUCUUGGUAUAAAUGGCAUUGUUGAGGGAAGAUGAUGAAACCUUCCUUCUUAUAUUAAUUAAUUGAUGUAUUUUAAGCCACUAAAAUUUAAUUGUUGGCAUAAUAAAAUAAAUGAAUGUUUCAAAACUCAUAAUUAAUUAUUAUUAAUGGUUACAUAUUGUUGAAUUUAAAUAGAAAUAGGAAAAGACAUGUAAUCAUUUAUAAUUUAAUAAUUAUUUUAUAUUUUAAUAUUUUGUAAUGUAAUUAUUUUUUAAUUUCAACCAAUUUAUUAAAUAAUAGACAAUAUGAAAUGAUGAGAAAUGGUGAUGCCACAUCACCUCUUGUAGUCCCAACUUUAUAUAUAUGUAUAGAUAGAUAGAUAAAUUAAUUCAUGUAUUUUAUGCCACUAAGGUUUAAUUGCUAGCAUAAUAAAAUAAAUAAAUGUUUCAAAAGACUUAUAAUUAAUUAUUAUUAAUGAUUACAUAUUGUUGAAUUUAAAUAGAAAGAGAAAAAAAAGUACAAAGAAUAUUCACCAAUAUUUUAGAUAUUUUAUAUAAUAGAAAAUAUAAAAAGAUGAGGAAUGAUAUAUAUUAAUAAAGUUACUAUUUAUUAAAUGAGUUAAAUACAAUCAAAUUAAUUAUGAGAAGAUGAAAAGACAAAUUUAAAAAAAAAAAUAUCUAUUUAUUAGAUAAUAGAGAAUAUACAAAGAAGCAAAAUGGUAAUGCCACAUCACCUCCUCAAGUCUUAGCUUUAUAUAUAUAUAUAGAUUAGUAGAUUUGUUAAGAUUUUUAUUAUUGGCAUCAUUGUGUCAAUAUUAUUAUAAUUUAUUCAUUCUAUUGUAAUGAAAAUUUGUCUAUUCUUAGCUACUUAUUAAAUUAUCCUUAAUUUAUUACGAAUAUUUUUGGAGACAAAAGAAACACGUGUAUGUAGGAUUAAUGAUUGGAGAGUUGUAAGUAAAGGUGAUUGCUUCAUUGAGAAGCAUAUUAAAGAAUUAUGGAAAGUUGCACUGUUCCAGAAGCAUAUAUUUAUACUUCCCUAUUUGGACUUGUGAAGUGAUGAUCCGGCCGUAACUAUUGUGAAGCUUUCCUCAAGUAUUCUCAUGCAUACUUGAGGAAAGAUACAAAUUGCAUACAUGUCUAGGAGCCUUAUCAAAGGCGUUAUAUAACUUGUCCAAUUAAUUAAUUCUCUUAAGGGUCAUACCGUGCUCACUCAUUUCAAAAGCAAUUAAGGAUAAGAACUUUCAUCAUUAAUUGAUAUGGCCAGUGUAGAAAAAAUGCCAAGAUCAAAGCACAAGGAUAAGUUUAGAAUUACACUUUUUAAAUUUUGGUUAAUAAAUAAACGUCUAUAUGAAAAUGGAAAAUCUUUUUGGAAUAACUUUUCUUUUCUUUUCUUUUUUUAAUGAAUGUGGAUAUAAAAUUUUAAAAUCGCCAAACCGAAAAGAAAAACAGGGGAAUGAAAAGAGGGCUCUGUUUCUCCUCUGUUUCGAUUUUUUUAUUACUAAACAGGGGAAUGAAGAGAUCAGCUCUUGUCGCAAGUGCAAAUGCAGUUGGUUAUUCUACUUUUGCUAGUGAAGUUUUGGGCCUUGUCGUAAUUGCUGUAAUUGCGACAUCGGUGGUUGACAUGGCUUUCCUUGUACAGGUAUGUAUGAUUGUUUUUUUUUUUUUUGCACUUCUAAAUGGACACUGUUGAAAAGCUUAAAAUUGAACUGAUAAUUUUGUUUGGAAGCUUAGAAAAUUCAUGAGAAAGUGAAAUAGAAUAUUCUGGAUUUCUUACAUAAAAAAAAACAGAAUUAAAGCAAGGUACACAACUAUAACAGAAUCAAAAGCGUGCUUUACUAAUUGGCUGAGCUGGCAUAUACUUCUUUAACUAACAAUGCUGCUGACUGGACUUUAGCUCACACAUGCUUAUUGUGGAGCUACUCUUACUUCACACGUGCUCAGUGUGCUUCCUUAACAGACACAAGGGAAAAGACAUGAUUUUGAGAUUAAUUUAUACCAUAAUAAUAAUAAAGCUAGAGUAAUGAUAUGAAUCAUUAAUUGCUACAAAAUAAUUUGCUAGAUAGCGCCAACACUUAAUUGAUACUCACCAUUUCAUUGAACAAUUGUUUUAUGGUGUCAUUGAGGUUGCCUUCCCAACAUCCUUCAUCAUCAUCAUCUUCUUCAUCCUCAUCAUCUUUUUCUUCGGUGAGUUUCACUUUGUUUAGCUUUGGUGUGUCUACGACUCCUUGUGAGAAAAUCUUCAUCUUUGGGCACUGUCUCGCAAUUACUUGUUCCAAAGGAUGGGAAUUGAAGAGUGUAAUUACCCCGAACAAAGCUUGUUAAGCCUGUCAACCAAUGAAGUGUCAAGUAGUUUCAUUUUCUCGGAAGAACAAUGCAAGCCCUUUCACUUCUCUCAACCUGCAAUUGUUAUGAUCUUCCUUCUAUCAUUUUGCAAUCAGCNNNNNNNNNNNNNNNNNNNNNNNNNNNNNNNNNNNNNNNNNNNNNNNNNNNNNNNNNNNNNNNNNNNNNNNNNNNNNNNNNNNNNNNNNNNNNNNNNNNNUGAGAGUGUCACACAUUUAUCAACCUGUGACACUUCGAUACUUCUAGUCCCCACAGAUUUUCCAAAUGCCACGAAGGUGGUACUAAUUUUUGCAACUUACUACGUUCCGAUAUUUCUAGACUUCCCAUGUUUGCAAACGCUUUGUUGGAUUCGUCAUUUUCCUUCCAGAGAUGCUGCACUUUGUGUAAUCUAGAUAGCUUUAACUCCAUCAAUUGAGGGAAUGCAACCUGAAAAUCAACAAAAUUAAGUUGUAAAUGAAAAUAUGUAUCCAAUCUCUGGAGUCUUCCCCUGCAUAUUUUAUGGACAAGAUUAAUCACGACAUUUUAUAUUUUUUUUCCAAAUUAGUAUGCUUUGCAGUAGGUUCCUAAAUAUAAAUAUCAAAUCGAUUACCCUUUGAAACACAUAAAUGAAAUCUGAGGCUAAAUCCAAUAUGAAUUAGCUAGGAAAACAGAGAUGUAACACACAUAAUUAAUAUAGUUCAUCACCUCGUGUUACCAGGCAUCCAAUUAAUUUCAGACAUUUUUAUAAUUCAUACUAUAAAGUUAGUUAAUAACGGAGGUUAUAUUGUUAAAUCAGAUAUAAAUUAAGACGACGUGCAAAAAGAUGAGUCAUUAAAUUUGAUUUAAUUCUAAUGAAAUUACAUCUAUGCGAACGAAAGUGAAGGGAAAAAUAAUAAUAAUAAUAAUCACAUUUUCAUCGAAGAGGGGUUGUACUUGAUGAGCCAGCAAGAAGUUCUCUUCUGAUGUUAAUUUUUGAGGUUCCUUGUUAUCUGUUGUCACGUGCACUACAGAGUUGGAUAUGAAUGUUUCCAUAUCAGGGCAAUUCUCAAUAGUCAGACGUUUCAACUCAGGCAUUUCAAUUAUAUUCUCAGUGAAGUUGGGAAUCUUUUGAGUUUUGGAAGAUCAAUGAGCCUUAGCUCGAAAAAGCUUAGGAAACAGGGGGCCUAUAUGUUCUUUGUCAACACUUAGCUCUUCCAAAUGAAGCACCUCUGCUAGCGAAUCACAAUUCCUCACUUCCAGGUCCAUCAAAUUGUUCAAGCACCGUAGCAGAUUGGCAGGAAUAGCACUCGACAUAUUCGUGCAGUCAUCCACCACCAGGUGUCCUAAAUUGUUGAAGAAGCUGACAGGCAGUGCUUGGCCAUGCCAUAUUUCUUGCAAACGUGGAAAAUGCGAGAGUUGCAAAUACUUUAUGUCACGAAAUCCAAUCUGCACAAACCAAAACAAUUGCACUGGAUAUAUACAAUUUUUUACUUUUUGAAAGGCACAGACAUAUAUACAUUAAACUUACAUGUUUUGUGCUUAAAUGUGCAAGUGCAAGGGAGAUGCAUGAGCAAUUUUGAUGAAUCGAUUCACACAAAUCAUUUCUUUGUAACACUUUUGUAUAGUGGAAUUAAGAUUGCCUUCACGAUCGUGCAAUUCACCCUCUUCCUUUUUAGUCACUUGCACUUUGUGCAGCUUUGGUGUGGAUAAGAUUCCCAGGGAAAAAGUCUUCAUGUUCGGACAAUGUGUCACAGAUACUUGUUCCAAUGAUGGGAAUUCAAGAGUGUAAUUCUCCAAGCAAAAGCUGGCAAGCCUUGGUAAAUCAUCAAGUAUCAAAAGUUUUAAUUUGCUGAAAGCAAUACGAUUCUCCUUCGCUUCUUCUCCAACAUGUCCUAUGAUUUCUUCUAUUUUUUUGCAGAUUGAUACAUUAAGAUUCACUAAAAUACCCGGAAUUCCAACCUGAAAAUAAGCAAAAGAGUGUGUGUGUAUUAAAAAAGUAAAAAUUAAGAGUAUCAUUCAACUAGGUUCAAAGUAUGUUUAAAUCAUACAAUUAUACGUUUUAUAAACAUAACAAACCAUGAAAUGGCUACUAGAUAAUUUUUGUUAAACAAAAAAGGCAACAAGAUAAGUAAAUAAAUAAAAGCCAGAUAAACAAAGAUAAUAAAAACGCAUUUACACUAUUUAGUAUUAGGAGCGUAGAAAGAAUUUAAGGCAAUUUCUAAAUAUUUUAGACUUAUUUUGCAUUUCGAUGCAAAUUUUUAAAUAAAUUUGAAAUUGCAACUAUUCCUUUAAAAAAAAACUCAACCAAAAUGCUGCUUUUUCCAUUUUCCUUGGUCCCUUUUUUUUAUGUAUAUUAAAAAAUGCAAAAAAAAAAUGGAAAAGACUUCCCAAUACUGUCAACGUAGGACUGUUGUAAAGCGGGUCUUUAUUAAGUACUUCCAUGAAUUUAUGAUUAAUUAAUGUCAUAAUCAAUUCAUAACUAAACUAGAGAUAUUAAUUAAAUUUGAAGACUUUUCUUUUUCUUUUUUUCCAAACGAAAUGUCAAGAAUUAAGGAAAAGAGAAAUAUAUAGAUGAAUUUGUGAACCUAUAAGAUGAGUGACUAUCCUUUAAUUUUUGAAAAUCGUACUUAUUAAGAUAUGAGAAAAACAAUUAAAUUGAAUUAUAUUAUGCUGUUGAAUCGUGUUUAAAAAAAUUAUAUUGUUGAUUCUAAUAAUGGCGAACCUAAAAACUGGACUUAAAACGUAGAUUUCAGAGUGGUGGUUCGAAGUACAAUACUUGAAAUAAAUAAUUAGUGCCUGAAUAUCAUUCGUAAACACAAAAAUGGUUAAAAAAUUGUUGGAUGUAAUUUGAAAAAAAAGAUUCGAAAUGAAUACAGCAACCUUACCAAUGGAGGAAAAAUAUUCAUUAGGUUAUCACACCAAGAUAUCUUCAAAUUCUUCAAUUUGCUGAAAGACUCUGAAGCAAGCUGGUGGUGCCAUAUUCUUCUCAAAUUAUCCAUCCACCAAAUAUGUAAUUCCUCCAACUUCGGAAGUCGUACCUGGCAGUUAAAGGUUAAAUAACUAAUUAAUCGGCAUAAUCUAUUGAUAACCAAAUUAGAGGCUGAUACUAACUAAAUUUGAAGACUCAAGGAAAAGACAAAUUAAAUAUUGUGGCUAAAAUUAAUUUAAAAAAAAAAAAAACCUUUUCGUCAAAGAGAGGUGGAGAUUGCAUUUCAGAAUGAAGGGUGUCUGCUGGUGAGCUCGUAGAGAUGAAUCUUAACAUAUUAUUGCAACCACCAAUCUCGAGGUUUAGUAAAGAAGGGAAUUCAACAACUAAAUCUGAAUGAAUAUGUCCCGUAUUGGCAAAGCUCGUUAGUUUUGGAAGCACACAAAGCCGUAAGGAGUGUAGUUUAGGAAAAACCUCUAACUCAAUCAACUUUCCUUCAUCUCUUCCUCCUAACCACCCUGUGGUGUCGACUACCCCUUCCAUCGACUUACAAGAUCUUAUCACAAGAUGUUGGAGUUGCAAAAGACUAUUAACCAUAGAAUAUGAAAACAGAUACUUCAGACGAUCACAACUUUCCACGGUCAUUUUUGUUAAAUUUCCACAAUAAGACACUCCCUGAAACUGUUCGGGCCAUAAUUUUUCAAUGGUUGUUAACCAUAUAAGUUUCAACUCCUCCAAGCGUGGAAAAAUAACCUGAAGCAAAACGGUACGCUUUUGUUCCGUCAAUUACAACUGUCUAAUAUAAUAAUCUUUUGAUGAUUGAAGAUCAAUCGUGAUAAUAUAUUAAUUUAUUAAUUAUAAAACAGAAAAUUAUCACCUUGUGAACAGAAUCAUCCUCUGCAAUGAUUUCUGUCAAUCCCUGAGUAGCUGUUGGCUUCUCCAUGUCGGGCCCUAUAAAUGAACAAAAACAAUCUAUAAUUAACCUCUGUCCUUUUUUUUUUAAAAAAAAGAGAAAAAAGAAUGAGCCAAUGUCAAUAAUCCUACCAAUAAUUAAUUUCAACACUUACCAAUAAUCAUUUUCAAAUCAUCGCAGUUUUCCACUUCUACUUUUUGAAGCCGCAAUAGGUUUUUGGCCAUGAAGAAUGAGAAGAGAUGCUUCAAUUUGUCACAAAAAAAUACUUUUAUAAUCCUUAAGUUGCUGAAAGAUUGAUCUUCUCUGAGUUGGCUGUAGCAUAUCGUUUCCAAAUUAGUUAAACCAAUAAGAUACAAUGUCUCCAGCAAGGGAAAGACUUUGCAACGAGCUCGUCCAAUUGAACCGACAAUAUGUAAAAUCUCAGGACAGCCUGCUACUAGAAGAUGCUCCAAUUGUGGAAAACCUUCCCCAUCGUCUAAUUCAUGAACAACACUCGGAACACCAUUCAAUGUUACUAGACGGAGAUCUUCAGUUCUUUUUAGCAACAUUUUCAUCCCAUAAUUCUCCAAAAGAAUGCUAACGUUUUCUAGCUCCUGGAGUUUCAUUGAUCUUGAUGUUUCAGAUGUCAAUUUUUCUAGCUCCGUGAUAACUAUGGAUGCUGAUGCUCUAGAUGUGGCGAAGGACACAAGUCCAUUUCGUUGCACUUUUCCUAUACAUAUCUGAUACCUUUGCAAUUCCACAGAGACCAAAUCCUGCGGCAGAAUUUCGGGAUCCGGAACAUCUAUCUCCAAAGUAGUUAGCUUUGACAACCCCUUCAACUCGACAAGACUGGCAUUACUUCCUCCUUCAACCUUAUCCCACUGUGAAAAGCUGCAACCCAUGUACAGUUCUUCUAGUCGAGAUAAUUUGGAUAUGAUGUUAGGAAAUUGGUGGGUGCAGCAGGACCGCAGCUAAAAUAAAAUUGGAAAUAAAAUAAAGAACAAGCACACUAGAGGACACAAGAAAAUUACGUGGUUCGGCUUUUAGCCUACGUCCACGGGCGAAGACAGAAGGAAAUAUUUUACUAGUGAAAAGGAGUUACAAGUAUUGUAGUAUUUUAGCUCACUUCCCAAAAUCCCAAUACACCCAAACUCUCAAAACACUAAACACUCAAGAGUUUAUUAAACUCUUAAAACUCUCAACACUCAAAGAAAGCAAUGCUUCUCUCUCGAUGGAAUUGGAUGAAAAUGAAUGAGGAAGCUCUUCCUUUUAUAGCCAAAAAAUGGCUAUUAAAUUAAUAUAUAUAUGUAUAUAUUUCAAAUGUAGUUACCAACUUCUUCUUUUUCUCCAUUUGGAUGGCACCAUUUUCUUUGGCCGGCUGCACCAUUUUCUUCUUUCAAAUGUCAAACCCUUCUAGAUGCAGCCAUGCCAAACACUUCUAGAUGCAGCCAACUUUGACAUAUGACAUUCGGUGUUAUCACCUCAAGCCUCCUACAAUUGCUCAAAUCCAGCAACUGUAACCGCGUCAAUUGUCCAAAUUCAAGUGGCAACCGCUCAAUAUCGGAACCUCGAAAGCUAAGAAUCUCUAAUUUCUUUAGCUGUCCAACUAUUACUAUAUCUUUUAGUCGGCAAUAUUCUAAACACAAUGUUUGAAGGUUAAUGAGGCGACCAAGUGAUGAAGGUAAUGAAGAGAAGUGAAUUCCAGUAAAAUUCAAAACUCUGAGUCCUUCCGUCCCAUCAAAAAAGUGGUCUGAAAUUGGCAUAGAGCCACCACCCUUUUCAAGCAACAAAAGUAACUCGAGACGGGGACAUUGCAACCUUUCAGGAAGCACUUGAAUACCUCUAUAAGGUAAAGAAAUAGCAAUUGGACCUUCCUGUACUGUCUCUUCCAUCUUUUUGUCCAAGUCGGCAACAUUUGGAAUAUUAAACAUGAGCUCCUCUUUUGCAAUUGAUACGGCAACUACACGAAUGACGUCAUGCAUUUUGACUUCAUCUUCAGCAUCACCGUCCAACAAUAAGCAUGAAGAUUUGAGUUUGCUGAUCAACGUAUGCACUGUACUCCUUGCUUCUUCCGGUGUGUAAACGUUUCUAAAAUAGCCCAUACCCAUACCAUAUCUCAAUAAAGAAGAAACUGGUAUAGCAUGACCUUCACUAAAUAGACCACAAAGAAGGAACAGAGAUUUUGCUUCCUUAUUUCCCAGUAAGUCGUAACUCAAUUUCAAGGAGAGGUACACAUUUUUUUCCAUUCCAUCAAUUUCUUUUGCAUAGGAACUUCUUAGCUGACGCAGCACAUAUUUCCAAGUCUCAAGGCUCAUAUUUUUCAAAGCUUUUGCAAGUGUAAUCAGUGCAACCGGCAGUUCUCCGCAUCUUCCGACGAUCUCAUGUGCUAUAGGUUGAAAAGCAGAUGUUUUCAUUGAAUCACCCACUAUCUUCUGAAAUAAAUACAAUGCUUCUUCUUUUGAUAAAGCAUCGAUCUGGAUCUCUUUCUGAGAAUUCAUAACAUUGUGCAAUAAAUCUUGACGUCUAGACGUCAGUAUUAUUGUGCAUCGUCGCUGAUCAUCCAUUCUUUCUUUCUUAACAUCCCCGGAAGGAAUUCCAACUUCAUCGAACUUCAGUUCUCCCCAAAUAUUAUCCAAUAUAAUGAGAUGCCGCUCCUCGUUCUUCAAAACUCGACAUAGUCGAUUUGCUCUGUCGAAUAUACUCUCAUUCAACUCAAACUUUAUGCCUAAAUCAGAAGCAAGUUUGUCUUGAAUUUUCUGAUGAUCUGGGUUCUCUGUUACCUCAGCCAUAGCGACCUUAUCGAACAACUUAUCUUCCGUCACUUGCUUUGCAACUUGCUUGACGAGCGUGGUUUUACCCACUCCGCCCAUCCCGUAGACCCCAAUUAUGUUGAGCUUAUCAUCCUUCAACGCCUCCAAAACAUCUUGAAAUACUUUCUUUCUUGAGUCAAAGGCCUCGUAAUCUUUCACUUGCAUAUAUUCUGUACUCUUUGGAGCAGGACGAUAGGAAACACUAGAGAAGUUGCCUUUUCCCACGAGAUCAGCAGCAUCUUUUGCGGCCUUUGCUGCUUUUUUACUGAGUUUGUAACGAGACAACAAAUUUGGGCACAAUCCUUUGAAGCAAUACUUCUUGGCUCCAUUUUCAUCAUCAAUAAUGGAGUUUGCAACCCCUUCACUGAUGAAUUCAUCAACGCUAUGUAGCCAAUCUGCGACACCCUCAUAAAGCUCAUCCCCUUGUAGCCUAGCAUGAUUAACUGGUUGCUGCACCAUUUCUCUUUUACAUCCCAGCUGCAUUACUUGAUCUUUUAGCUCAUCUACGUAGCUCUGGUACUUGAACACAUAAGAUAUCUGCCGUAUAAUCGGUUUGAACAGUGACUUUGCACCUUCUGAUACGAUGCUUGAAAAACCACCGAGACAGAAUUCUACAGCCAUUGCCUGUUGCUUAACGAUGUAUGUGUAGUUUUUGGCUGUUAAAAAAAACAAAAAUUGGAUUCAAAUAAAUUAAAUGAACUAGAGGGGAAGAAAAAGAAAGAAACGACAACAAACAACUUUUUAGAGAAAGGUUGAUAUUGUUACAGAACACAUGUUCAUUUUUAACAAAUUGAUCAAUAACUCUAUUCGCUAUUUAAUUGAUAUUGUAACCAAUUUUAAGAGAAUAUAAUAAUAAUCCUUCGAUGCAUAAAUUUAGAAUUAGAUUUUUUAACUUUUUAUUUAAAUAUAAAUCUCAAUGGAAAAUUAUAAAAAUUUAGAGAUAAAAUUUUUCAAUCACCAAACGGAAAAACAGGGGAAUGAAAACAGAGGAAUCUUGUUUUACCUUUUUUUUUUUUUAACCUUCACUCUUGUUCUUAUAUAAAUAAUCUUGUUCUGAUGAUAGUGCUCGUGACUGCAGGAAAAUUUCUAGUGGAAACAACUCAAUUUCAGAAGAAUUUAUUCAAUUGACUCUGUACUUGAACUCGUUGGAUUGGUUGAUUUAUGAUUGACUGAAUUUAUUCAAUUCGGCCUAAAAGAUCUUUAACCAAAGUUUAAUAGCUAUCAUCUACUCCUUAAAAAAAAAUAUGUAUCUUUUUUAGAUUUGACUGAAUUUGAACUUGCUGGAUUGGUUUUUUUUAGAUUAUUAAAAUGGGGCACUGCAAAGUAAGUAUUCUAAAAUCUGUAUGUUGCUUUAGAAAAAGGGCUUUUCCCACUGAUCUUUAUUCUUCAAGUAAACUUAGAUACAAAGUAAAUCUAAAAAAAUGACAAACAAACAAUGAAAUAAACGACAACAAACUGGCAAUUUUGACACAAAGCCAACAAUUAAAAUUUAGGACAUUUUUUUUUCUUGCUUUCUUUUUUUGGAGGAUUAGAGAUUUUGGUAUUACCAGAAAGGUUUCAAGGGUCUGAGUUUCAAGGGUCUGAGUAGAAACCUAUAAUCUUUUGAAAAACUUUGUUUUUUUUUAAAAAAAAAUUUGGGGAAAGGAUGCAAAUUAACCAAAGGAAAUAAUAAGAGCACAGGCUUUAACAAUGAACAAUAACUUAAAACUCAUGCAAAAUAAAUUCAAUAUUAAAGCAAACCAGAGAAAUUUUUUUCUUGAAAAGUAGAUGGAAAUUAUGAAAGAACAGAUGUCAAGAUCAAGGAUCAGGGAUUCUACUACCCAAAAAAAAAAAAAAAAAAUUAAAGGAUUUGGAAAAUGUGCACCUAGAGUUGGUGAGCUUCUCUCUAUUCACUUGAAUAUUUAAGAACAGCUGGGGAAUGUGUGAGAAAAGAGUUGACGAGAGAAAUAACAAUGACUUGCAGAAGAAAAACCAUUAAUCAAGCACACCUUUUUAUAUCCUGUAUUUGGUUAUUGUUGCCCUCUUGACGCAUGUAGAGAAUAAUUAUGUGCAUUUUUGUUUUUAAUCCGCAUGCACUUUAAUGAUUAGUGCUCCUUUCAUAAAGCAGAUACCGGAAACACACAAAUAUCAUUUGAGAGAGAAACUAAACAGCAAAUCAUCAAAGUAAGAUCAAUAAUAUAUGAUUUGGUUAAUGCAUAUUCAAGAACAAAAACAAAAAUAAAUAAAUAAAGAAGGUUUGAUUUUGUUUUGCCAACGCUGCUUUUUUGUUAUUUCUCACUCAUCUUCAAUCCUCAAGUAAAAUUAGGUAAAAAGCAAAUAUAAUAAAAAAACAAACAAAUUAACAAAAAAAGAAAAAAAAACAUUGAUCUUGAGACAACUGAUACUUAAACAGAGAAUUCUUUAUUCUUUUUUACUUCCCCUCCCCCCCCCCCCCCCCCGGGCUCGAGGAUUAGUUUUUGCUAUUAACAGAGAGGUUUUAAGAGUCUGAAUAAAACCAGCGCUUUUUUUAAAAACCUCUUUUUUUUCUUUUUUCUUUUUUGGGAAGAUAGAUUCAAAUUAACCAAAGCUAGUAAUAAGAACACAGACCUUACAAAUGAACAAUAACUUACAACUCAAGCAACAUAAAUGAUAAGAUUAAAACAAACCGGAGAAAUUUUUCUUGGAAAAUAGACGGAAAUUAAGUAAGAACUGCUGUUAAAAGAAAUUAUUAGAGGAUUUAGGAGAAUGUGUACCUCUUUAAUUAUUUGGGAUCAGAGAGUUGAUGAGCUCUCUAUUCGCCUUGAAUAUUGAGUAAGAACUGGUAUUAAAAGAAAUUAUUAAGAACAAUAUUUUAGUGAGCAAAAUAUCACUGUUAACUGCAGAGGAAUUUUGUGAGUAAAAUGCUGAAAGAGCAGUAACAAUGAAUUGCAAAAGAAGAAGACUUAACCAAGCACCCCUUCUAUACCCGAUUUUUAAGAUUUAAUUUUGAAGUUCAGAAUCAAGAACAAAGACGAAGCUUUAAUAAAGCAUGCAGUGAGAUACAAGAAAUGGAUCGGGCAAAAUACCUUACGAAGCGUUUCAUAUUUUCUAAUGAAAUAAUUUAGUUGAAGUUUUCGACGAAUAAAUACCUGUUGUGCUUGAAUAAUUUUGGCAUAUACAUUACUUGUAUCCGGCGAAAUUGAAAAGCACACUCAUUUACAGAGCUUGUUAGUGGGGAAAAGCUUCGUAAGAUGCCUGAUAAAAGAUAAAGCAAAAGCUUGAAUGAAGAAUGACAUUUUAGAAAGAAACUAAAGUGCAAUCAUCAAAGUAGGAUCAAUAGUGAGUUGAUCAGUUAUGCUUUUUGUUAUUUCAAUUGUCCUGUCCACAAAUGAUGCUUCGUUAUUACUAAUUCCACAUGGACAUUAUUUAGAAACUGUUCUUAUGUUUAACAGAAAAAUGAAAACUCGUCAUCAUACAAAACUGCGUGAACAAAUCUUCAAUUUGAUUAUUAUAAAAUAAAGAAGUUUCAUUACUAGAUUAUGCGGACGUUAAUGUUAGAGAUUUCAUCAGAUUAUCAUAUAAUUUACCAAACGCUUUGAGAAGAACAUGAAUUAAUUAGUUAAAAAUUUAAAAAUAAAAUAAAUAAAGAGUACAUGCAAAUAUUGUUGCUUCCAAUCACCAAAGUGAAAAACAGGGGAAUGAUAACAGACGAGUCCCUGAUUAUCCUCUCUCUCUCUUUUUUCAAUCUCUCUUUAUGUUAUGAUUGAAUAAUUGUAUAGAAAGUGUGACGGUUGCUGCAGCAUUAUGAAGUCAAAAUUGAGAACGACAUUAAAUAAUCAAUCUCUUUAUGUAUAUACUCGAAUGUCUGAUAGUGUUCAGACUUGGAUUUUCUAUAAACACAGAUUCGAAAUCCAAAUAAUUGAAUAAUUGUGUGCGUUCAAAUUCAGCAUUUAAUUUCUAUAUAAUUGGACAUAAAUGCGUAUUUUUUAUUUAGCCCAUUUCGGUCCAUGUUCAAAUAAACAUAUUUCUGUGGAUGAUAAUAUCAGGACCUCUGAUGCUUUUUUUUUUAUCAGAAAUUUUAUUUUUAACUCUUCGUUAUUUAGAUAUAAAUUUUUGCAGUCACCAAAUAGAAAAACAGGGGAAUGAAAACAGAAGAGCCGUGUCCUAAAUCAGGAGUAGGUGUUUUGCCUAAAAGUACCACUUUCCUAGCAAAUCUAGUGGGUUUACUGAAUAAAAUUUUUAAUUAUUCUGUUUGAUCUUUCUCUCUUUAUCCUAAGCAUUCUUGGUUGGGAUCGCUGCAUUGUCCUGUAAUCCGUGUGCCUUAGUGAAAAGAGUAAUGGGUAACUGUAGUUAUGGGUACUUGAGAGCUCACGAUGAGGGUAGCUUGGUAAUGGGACUAUCCAUAUCUGAGCAUCAGAGCUUGACAUCUUUGAUAAAUACAUAUGCUUACUGGUACUGUUUUUGCAUAUGUCUUUCACAAAAUCUUUGUAUAGGCUUACAUAGAGAAGAAGAUUCACCAAUAAAGUGUUGGCUCCACUGGCAAUGAAGUCCCUUAAGUGGCUUGACUGGGUUUGCUCCUCAGUUCUAGUCUGGGUUGUGGUACGGGCUUAAAGGUGCCUCCCACAGUUGGGGCCUUCCCCAGGAUACCUCGUGGUCAAAACAAAAAAAAAAUAGAGAAGAAGAUUCGGAUAACUUUCAAAAUCUGAAUCCGCCUGAUGGACGGACUUGACCACACAGCCCCGUGACAAGGAAGUCCAAGCAACUAACCUAAACCGUUCUCCUUUAGUCCUUUAUUAGGUUGUUCAAAAUGAAAUUAUACUGAGGAGCACCCCCCCCCCCCCCCAAAAAAAAGUUCUUUUAUAUAUUUUUCUUGGAAUUUUAGGCAAAAGAAAAAAAAACUGAGAACGAUUUCAAGCGAACAAGUGGAUAAUAACUAAAAUACUUAUUUUUAUAUAUUUGAUAUAUGCGCUCACUAUUAAUAGAACUUAUUAGAUACUACAACUUAAAUAACUUCCAGUGGUUGAUUGAGGGUAUGUUUGGGAUUUCCUUUACUUUCCAAGAAUUAAUUUCUACCUUGAUUCUGAACAAAAAAAUAAUUUUACAAAUAAUUUAUUAGGGUGUUUGGUAAAUGAUGAUUAUUUGACAAUCAAUUUUUAAAUGGUUUACUAUACAAAUCUGGUAAAUGAAAAUUAAAAGUGUAAAAUGUUCAUGUACAAUGACAAAAAUGUACUUGUUUACUUUUUUGUAAUUUAUUUAGAAUAUUAUUAUUUAAAUCUUUUUUAUUUACAACAUUUUUAAGAGCAUAUUCUAUUUUCUUUAUUACAUAUUUAAAUAAUUUUUUAUUAACUAUUUUAAUUUGCAAUAAAAUUAACUUGAAUAUUUUUUUAACUAAAAAAAUUGUUAUCUAGUUCGUGAUAUAACAAAUACUAACAUAUCAUCAAAUUGAUUAAUAAAUUAAGUGCAAAAAAGAAAAUGCAAAAAUUUAAUCUUUAUAGCUCAUAGAAAUAUAAUAUUAUAUACAUGUGUGUAAAAAACAACAUAUGACCAUAAUAUUAUCCACUCAUUAAACUUGCUGCACUAUUAUUUCUCAAUCUCUCCAUCUCUCGACCUUCAAGAACAUUACUACCAUAAUCUUCUUCUUGAAUUCAACCUCCAUUUCCUCAUCAUCAACAAUGCGACCAAUUUGCCUUGAUAGCCUUUCAACUCCUCCCACUUUCCUCCCUUUUGCAGACACUCUUUUUCUUUUUCUUUUUCUGUCUUUAAUAGCUUCAAUGGGAACAACCUCAUCUGACGACAAGUCCAUUCUUCAACUAGGACAGAGUUGGUAGUAGAUAUUCUAGUACUCUCAAACGAUGCCCAAACGGGGUCACCAGUGAUUGUUGUAUUAAAAGACAUUCUAUUUAAUUUUCCUCUGACUCUUGGUCGAUACCUUUUGUACAAAAUCUAUUUACUUCAGGAAUUUUAUACAUAUGUCGAUAUCAUAUUAAAGUGAAUUCAGAUCCUAUAUUAUUGACAUUAAAAUUUAGCCGAAUAGUAAAAAAUUUCCCUUUUUGUUUGUCACACAACUAUAUAGUCCCAUUUUUGGUUAUAAGCUCACGAUAUGCAAGGGAAAUGAAGAUCUAUUAAAAACUUCCCCAUAAUAUUAAACAUUAAACAAUAUCAACAUUUUGUGCAUAUGGUGCCUCGUCAACAAUUUGAUGUUCAUUUUGUUGCUCGGAGGAAUAUGACUACCUAUUAAUUAAUUAGCAAGAAUUGCGUUGCGAGUCCAUGUUUUUUGUCGUUUGGAUGGAGGAUGUGCUAUCUUUUUAUUGUAGAUGCUUUGUAAGGCUUUUGAUUUAAUGAUUGAAUGCAGUCAAUUAACAAAAGCUUACAUACAGUAUUAUGUAGUUGCUGAGAUGUCUAUUCUUGAUAAAGUCGAUUUAUUUACACCCAAGCCAACGGAAUCAAAGCCUUUUCGUUAAUAAUAUACACGGUAAUUGUUUUUGUUAAAUUGAUUUCUGGCUAACAAGAUCUUUGAAAGCAUUUAUUAAAGAAACCACUGACUCAUAAGAAAGCCAUGAUUAAAUACACAGCCAAGCAUGUGAGCUCGUUUUUCAAUCUCUUUGAUCACUCAUAAGCUUCUCUAUACCACUCACUGUAUCAUCCUUUUAAGUCAAUUUUGACUGAUCAUCAGAGAUCAUGCACCCCACCUUGAGAUGAUUGAUCACCAAUUUGGCAUUGUAACGUUGAUCACCUCUAAUUGGCCAUGCUAAAAUUGGGACCUCACAGCCAAUUGCUUCUACAGUUGAAUUUUAUCCACAGUGAGAUAAAAAUCCACCUAUUAAUUGAUAACUCAGUAUCAAUAAUUGUGGCACCAUUCCAUCUAUUAUCAAACCCUUUUUACCGACUCUACUAUCUAAACCACUACAAAAAUAAGCUGGUUAAAUGACGUGGAGGAUCCAAUCUAUUUACAUCAGUUUGAAUUACCUAAAUAAUCGGUGGAUUUGAUGCUUCUAAAUCAUUGGCUAAUGUUGAAUAAUCAUUUAAGGUGGGACCCAUUUCGGUACCAAAUGACAUGUAUAACACGGAUCCACAUGAUUUCAAAUCUAACCAUUGAAUGAUCUCAUCUUCGGUCAUGUUAGAACUUCGCCGGUUGGUUCUCAUCUCACAAUCACGAAGCACUGAACCAGCCGAUUUGUAAAAUUGUUCAGGUAACAAUUGGCCCACUCCCCACACUGGCAUCAACACCAUCGAUCCCUCCACUUGCUUCAUCCAGUGUGGUUGAUCACUCGGUUCUGAUGGGCCUAUUUAUUCUGAACCGGGUGCACCUCACAAAGGUUGUGGACCACCAGGAAGGGACCCGUGAGGCCUGCGUUUAAGAUCCGAUUCGAAUAAAGCAAUAUCCUUGGGUAACCCAAGAAGUAAACGGGCCUCUCCCGGUUUGACAUCCUGGAUGCGAGCCUGCCACAUGGCACACUCCACAGCUGCUGAGCAAGCAUCAGAAGUGAAGAACCCAACAAUGGGAACUUCAAAAUUCUUGAAAACAUCAGCCGUCCAGCCCAUCAUAACGCCGAUGACUACGCAAACAGGUCGGCUUUCGGGUUCCGGGUUGAAAGGAGGUUUCGAAGGCCUUGAAGCAUUUGGCUGUGCAUGACAACAUGGUGGUGAGAAGGAGGUGAUGGUAGUGGUUGAGAUGGGGAGGGUAUUUCGGUAAUUUCAAAUAGAGCGUAUUGGUGAAGAGAGGAAGGGGUGAUGCUGGUGGUAGAAACGUGAGAGGGAAUAAUGAGGGUAGAUUUGUAACAACGAGAAGUGAUUUGCUUGCAUAAUUCAAUGCAUGGAAACAGAUGUCCCUGACCGAAGAAUGGGACAAUCCAAAUCUCAGCCUCAGCAGCAUUCGCAACAGAGCUUGACAUCUUUUAUGAAUUAUUUGAGACUUAAUUGUUAUUGACUGCUUUUGCCAUCUUUCAUAAAACAUUCUUUGUUAUAUAUAAAGAGAUGACUUGAUGGAGAAGCAAGUGUUUUACUUUUAUAGUUUUACUAGUAGUUGAGCUCUGAUUUUGAUAAUUUGAUUGUUAGUUUUAGUUGGUUAGUUAUGAGAAAGCAUCUUUCACAAAAUUCAUUCCAGUUUCAACUAAAAUUAACAAUACUGUUCAAAUUAAUUACUGGAUCAACAAAUAGUCAUAGGCAAAUCUAUCCCUAGCGCUAGAUCUUGAACAUAAUUAUUAUCAUAAUCUCCCCUUCCCCCACCCCCCACCCCCAAAAAAAAAUUUACUAAAUAUCUUUUGUUAUAUAAUGAACAAGAUAAGUUGACGGAGAAGGGUUCUACUUUUACUAGUAAAUGAGCUUUGAGUAGUUAAGAAGGUUAGUUUUAGUUAGUUAAAUAUCUACCAUCCGAAUCAAAGUUCCUUAGACUAUUAUUCAAGUGAGAUGCUUGAGUAACAUAUACUUGUGUUAGUUGGUGCCUAACAAUUCGUGUGAUACAUGAAACCAACCACUAUGAAAUCCAAAUGAAGCUGGUAGGAUUAGAUUAAUUUAAAUGAAAAUAAAAAUUUGUUUAUGCUAUUUAUUAAUCUUAUAAUGUUGAAACUUGAAAGUUAAUUCUUCAACCUGUCAAUUGGUUCAUGACAUGGUUUAAUAUUCAAGUAAAUAAAUUUAUCGUUUAAAAUUAAUUUUUCAUGUGGUAAAAGCAAUACAAAAUAUGGGGUGGAGAGAAUAAUUUGUAGGGUAUACCCCCACCAUUUAUUUAAUUUCAUUAAAAAAAAAGAAAAGAAAUAAAGGCUUGUUCAACAUUCAAUUAAAAUUAACAAUUCCAUGAUAAAAUUACUUGAGAAUAAAAAUUAAAAAAAAAAAAGUAACACAAAAACGAGGAAUUUUUGAGUAACUGAAGAACCAUAGAUGUUUUUUGGUCAUGAGCAAUUUUUGAGUUGAGACAGAACUUGUAUAAAAAAAUAGUUUUGAAUAACUUCUUUUCUUUUUUCAUAAAUAUAGAUAUAAAAUUUUAAAGUCACCAAACACAAAACCAGGAAAAUGGAAAGGAAGCCCCUGUUUCUCCUCUGUUGCAAGAACAAAUUCGGUUUCUACAGGAGUACCUUCUAAAUGCACCAUUUGUAUUGCUUUGUUUCCACGUAAGCUAACGGAAUUUUUAAUGAAAUUAAAUAAAUACAAUCUCACUGACCGAAAAGUUCUGUAGCUGUUUCAAUUCAAUUGCAUACAUUGACGAAACAUUAAAUACGGAAAAAACAAAAAAGAAGUAAUAGGACAUGGGGAUUUCGAGAACUUCUAAAGAGAGAAAUCUAUUUAUAAGCAUUGAAAAUUAGCUCAUUAAAUUUGACAGAAUAAUAUACAAUCUCACUGUUGGCCAGAAAAUAAUAGUAAGAACUUGUGAACAUAUAUAAUCAAUUGUUUAUUACUUAAGCUCUUUUUCUUCGUUAUUUUGAAUGGGUGCAAAGAAGAGAAGUUUUGUACCCAAAUUCCAACUCGAAUUGUGUAGGCUGCUUGCAAGAGCUUCAUUAGAUUUUUAUUUGUCUUUUAAUAGUGCUACUCGAUAAAUACAGCUAGCUACCUGUCUUUUUUGUUACUGGACUAUAGAUCAAUUGACAGUUGAAGUUAUAUUAAUUUGUUGUACUGGAAUUGAAGCUUGUAUCUUAGCCAUUUCGUGAAGUGUCAAAUAUAUUUUUAAUUUCCUUAAAAUUGUUCAAAAUAUGUUUACACUUUUAAAGUCACUAUUAUACAUGAGUGCCCUAAAAUAGGAGAAGGCGAUUUGCCUGACAUUACCUGUUUCCUGUCAAAUCUAGCAGGUUUACUGAUUAGAUUUUAACAAGUCUCUUGGCAAAGUUUGCUAGAAAUGGAAUCAAAUUAUUCUAUUUAAUCUUACUGUCCAUACCCUAAUAGUUCUUGAUUUGCAUCACUGCAUCGUUCUAUAAUCUGUGUGCGUUGGCUUAUAAAGGCUAGCAAGGCUGACCAUUCGUAGCAUAGUUUUUUUUUUUUUUUUUUUCCACAAUGAAACUCCUAUUGAUUUGACUCAGUAUUUAGAGGCGUUAACGAGGGCACUAUACUAGACAUGGAUUUCUACCGCUUUUGGUUGUACAAUUGUUGUAAUCCUUGGCCAUCAAAUCAUUUUUACGUAGCUUUCUCAGAGUUCAUGCCAAGUGUACAUUAAUGUUUUUAUGUUUUGGAUGCAAGUGGGAUUCUAGUUCUCUAUGGCAGUUGAAGAGGUAAAUGGGCAUGGAGCUAUGCUCUAUCAUAGGCUUCGGCCGCUACAAGAAAUUUGAUUUCUUAAGACGAUAUUUUUUACAACUUUAAAUUUGGUCACAAAAUUGUAUUUAUUGUGACAAAUUUUUAAAAUCGUAGUUAAUAAUCUUGUCGUAACUUAUAUUGUUUUUUGUAACCAAUUGUUUUUAUUUUGAGACUUGUUCAUUGGUCAUUAAUUAAAUUUUUUUAUGACAAAAAUUAUUUUAGUCACCAAAAGAUAUAUUUUUUUGGCGCAAAAUCUUCCCUCCAAAAGUGAUUAUUUUGAGACAAUAUUUCACUAUUUAUGACAAAAUAAAUAGUCACGAAAUAUAAUGAUAGGCGACCAAAUUAUUUGGUAACUAAAAGAAGGGUGUAAAAUUGACUAAACAAUCUAUGACACAAAAUAUUAGUAGCCAAAAUUAUUGUUCUUUUGGCUAAUUUUAAGACCAUUUUUUUUUGUCAUAUAUAAUUACCUACCAUGACAAAAUUUAAAAAUAGUUGUUGAAUGUUUUGUCUUGAAUAAUUUUAUAUUUGAUAACCAAUUUUUUUUUUUCUUUUUGAGACAUAUUACUUGGUCCCUAUUUCAACUUCUUUUUGACGAACUUUAUAAUAGUCACAAAAGACUUUUUUUAUUUUUGGCAUAAAAAGUCUGUCCAAAGUUAGCUCUUUUGGGACAAUAUAUAAUCUUUUAUGACAAAAUAUAUAGUGGCGAAAUAUAAUUAUUUUUUACAAAGUUAUUUCGUAACUGAAAAAGAGGUGUAAAUAUAGUUAACCUAUUUGUGACAUAAAAUAUUAGUCUCCAAAACUAUUAUGUUUUUAGCCAAUUUUAAGACCCUAUUUUGUUGUCAUGGAUAAUUACCUAUUUUCAAAAAACUAAGAGAUAGCAAUCAAAAGUUUGUCUUGAUUGACAUUGUAUUUUAUGAGCAAAAUAUUUUGUUUCAGUGACACUUUACUUGGUCUUUGAUUAGACUUGUUUGUGAUGAUCAAUAGAAUUAUAUAAUAACCACUAAAUUUUUUUGGGUUAAAUUUUUAUAGAUACUAUUAAUUAAGUUGUUGACGAAAAUGAUCGAACUAAUACUAAUAUGGGAUACCAUCAAUAGCCGUAAUACUUAUGAAGCGAGAAAUUAUAAUAUGUAGUGAUUUAUUUAGAAUUAUUUUGACUACUUUAUUGAUUUCCAAAACAUAAAAUUCUCAACCCAAAAUUCCCCGCAUUGUGUUUUAUUUUGUCUCCUCACUCAGUUACUCUUUUAGCUAAAGUUGCUUUGGAAAAGUUGGAAUCUUUUGUUUGGGUGGAAAAUUUCCCACCAGAGAUUAGACAUGUAUUCACCUAGUUGAAGUAAUGAAAGUUUUACUUUCCCAUAAAAAAAAAAACUCACGGCUUGACAAAAAAAAGGAAAAAAAUUCUCACAGCUUGAUGGUCUCCUCUCUUUAAAAAUAAAAAUCCCUAGUUACUCUGCUCAAACUCGUUAAUAUUUGUUUCCACCACCUAAGCAGCCACUAGUAUCUUUUUUUUUCGCAAUUCACUUUUGCUGUGUUUCGUGGUUUGGAUGGAGAUCAUGACAAUAAUUGAACGAUGGUGAUAAAUAUCAAAGAAGGAGCUUACAUGCCCUAUAUAUCUCUCUUUGGAUGAAUAACGAAGGUGAACUUUCAAAGUACAGAGAUUUACAUGUUUUAAUUGUCAUUUACAUUGCUGCAUGCCCAUUGCUUGAUAAAAUACCGCAACAAACACGCAUUCUCGAUUUUCUCAUAAAUUUAUUUUCUUAGUCUGAAAAAAAAAUUGAAUGUUCAGAGAAUUUUGAAGGUUUUGGUGUAUGCAUUAAUAUUUUGAUUCUAUUUAUGUUGUUUAACUAAUGAAGAUGAUACAUCUAGCCUCUUUUUGCCCCUUGUUGUUUUUAUUCUUGUGCUUUAUAUACGGUUCAAGUGUGAUACACUUUAGUUUUUCUCAAGUGUUUGUUAGUAUUUCCCCAAGCAAAAUUUGUCACAGACUUUGAGUUCAAAAGUUGAAAUCAUAACUAACAUACUUCGAUUUUUUAUUUUCCUUUUUUCUUCGGGGUCCCAUAUAUCUUUCUAUAUGGCAUUGCUUGAGAAAUUGGUGUACUUAGAUCGUAAUAUUCUGUAGAAAUAAGCUAAUAUUUCAUUAGGUACAUUGUUUAAUAUGAUAAGUACUGUAUGGAAGUUUUACAGAUAAGCUCCUUGUAUAUUAUGCAUUAUGUUUUUAUCAUAUUGUUGCUUGGAACUUUGAAGGAUUGGCCACAGGGCUUUAGUCCUACAAGGACAUUUUAUAUUGGGAAAUUAUCAUUCGUAUACCCUAUAGAUGCUCUGUUAUAAAAAAUACUACAACACUUUGAGGGUGUAUCAAUCGUCCACAUUAAGUUGACAAAAUGUAUCUGUUGUCCACCAAACCGUUACUUGCCGUUUAAAUAGGAUAACGACAGAGGGGUAAUUUGGUCUUUUCAUAUGAUACAAGUGAUAAUUUAAGGGUAUACAAGUGAUACUUUUCAAGGGUAAAAUUGUCAAUUCGCUAUAAUUCCGUUAACUUUCAAACGGUAGCUAACGGUUUGAUGGUUGGUAGAUAGCUUUUGUCAAUUUGGGGUGGACGAUUGAUACACCCUCAAAGUGUUGAAGAACUUUUUAUAACAGAGCUUCCUACANNNNNNNNNNNNNNNNNNNNNNNNNNNNNNNNNNNNNNNNNNNNNNNNNNNNNNNNNNNNNNNNNNNNNNNNNNNNNNNNNNNNNNNNNNNNNNNNNNNNNNNNNNNNNNNNNNNNNNNNNNNNNNNNNNNNNNNNNNNNNNNNNNNNNNNNNNNNNNNNNNNNNNNNNNNNNNNNNNNNNNNNNNNNNNNNNNNNNNNNNNNNNNNNNNNNNNNNNNNNNNNNNNNNNNNNNNNNNNNNNNNNNNNNNNNNNNNNNNNNNNNNNNNNNNNNNNNNNNNNNNNNNNNNNNNNNNNNNNNNNNNNNNNNNNNNNNNNNNNNNNNNNNNNNNNNNNNNNNNNNNNNNNNNNNNNNNNNNNNNNNNNNNNNNNNNNNNNNNNNNNNNNNNNNNNNNNNNNNNNNNNNNNNNNNNNNNNNNNNNNNNNNNNNNNNNNNNNNNNNNNNNNNNNNNNNNNNNNNNNNNNNNNNNNNNNNNNNNNNNNNNNNNNNNNNNNNNNNNNNNNNNNNNNNNNNNNNNNNNNNNNNNNNNNNNNNNNNNNNNNNNNNNNNNNNNNNNNNNNNNNNNNNNNNNNNNNNNNNNNNNNNNNNNNNNNNNNNNNNNNNNNNNNNNNNNNNNNNNNNNNNNNNNNNNNNNNNNNNNNNNNNNNNNNNNNNNNNNNNNNNNNNNNNNNNNNNNNNNNNNNNNNNNNNNNNNNNNNNNNNNNNNNNNNNNNNNNNNNNNNNNNNNNNNNNNNNNNNNNNNNNNNNNNNNNNNNNNNNNNNNNNNNNNNNNNNNNNNNNNNNNNNNNNNNNNNNNNNNNNNNNNNNNNNNNNNNNNNNNNNNNNNNNNNNNNNNNNNNNNNNNNNNNNNNNNNNNNNNNNNNNNNNNNNNNNNNNNNNNNNNNNNNNNNNNNNNNNNNNNNNNNNNNNNNNNNNNNNNNNNNNNNNNNNNNNNNNNNNNNNNNNNNNNNNNNNNNNNNNNNNNNNNNNNNNNNNNNNNNNNNNNNNNNNNNNNNNNNNNNNNNNNNNNNNNNNNNNNNNNNNNNNNNNNNNNNNNNNNNNNNNNNNNNNNNNNNNNNNNNNNNNNNNNNNNNNNNNNNNNNNNNNNNNNNNNNNNNNNNNNNNNNNNNNNNNNNNNNNNNNNNNNNNNNNNNNNNNNNNNNNNNNNNNNNNNNNNNNNNNNNNNNNNNNNNNNNNNNNNNNNNGAGGAUGAAAUUUGCAAAAACCUUGUUCAUAGCUAUGGUAAUUAAGCAAAUUGAGUCUUCUUUUUUUGUUGUUUUUUAUUCACUUUUUCCUGUCCUUAAAACAAAUAAUGAGUUUUCUUGUUUUUAAUAUUUCUUAUAAACUUUAUGUUGUUUGGUAUAAAAUUAGGUAAUUGGAAAGGUCUCAUGUUGGAUGAAAUUAUCAAUUAUGUGCAGUCCCUACAGAAUCAAGUGGAGGUAACAUUGCUACUAAAAAACCUUAUUAACAUAGUUAUAAUGAAUUAAUCUUCUUUAAUAUAUUGCAAUAUUUUUUACUAUUUCUAGGUCUUUCUAUGUUGGUUUUGGAUCAUUGUAGUUGCUGAUUGUGAUUUAUUGCCGCCUAUGGUUGCUGACUUUUGUUUACUGCAGCUACUUUAUUAAAGCAAUUUUGGAUAUUGAAGUUUAUGGCCAACUUUUAUUAGAUACUUCUGACCUUUAUCGAUAUAUUUUCUGAACCUUUACACUUAAGAUGUGUGUGUGUUUUUUUUAAGUAAUUUAAUCCUUACUAACAUUUUCUAACAAAAUCAAUUACAGAAAUGAUUAGGAAAAAACAAGCAAAAUCAUUGUAAAGUGUCUUCUGCGCACCGUGGUUGCUCAAGUCUCAUGUGCAACAUGUGAAUGAAAUAGUACUUGAAAUAAUAGAGACUUUGUUUUAUGACUCUUAUAUUUACAUUUCUUUGCAAGGAACCAUACUUAAUUGUACCUAAUAGAAGAGAUAUCUUUUCACUAUAUAGUCUUAGUAUAAAAAGAUACCUCUUCUAUAAGGCACAAUUAACGGGACAUGUCUUUAUACUAAGACAUCAUUCAUAUUUAUCACACAAUAAUAGAAACUGCAACGGUAGCUGGAAUAUUAUGAAGUCAAAAUUGAGAACGACAUUAAAUCAUGAAUUCUUUAUGUGUUUACUCUAAUGCCUGACGGUAUUUAGUUCAAUUAACACAGAUUCGAAAUCCAAAUGAUUGAAGAGUUGUAUGGGUUCAAGUUCAGUAUUUAAUUACUAUAUAAUUAUACAUAAAUGUGGAUUUUGCAAUCUUGAACCCAUUUAAUUACUAAAAAAGGAUGACGAAUAGAAUUGGUGGAAAUUGACCACAAUCAUCUCUCUCUCUCGGCUUGCUCAAAUUUGGCCGAUCUGUGCGCUUGCUUAAGCUUGGCCGAUCUAUGCUUGCUCGAUUACUCUUCCUAUAUUCAGUCAGAGUCAACUGUUUGACAAGAGUCGAAGUCCAAGGUUCUUUUUUACAGGAUUUGAGCUACUUCUUUUAUUCUUCUUGCAUGUUCACUGAUAGCGGGUGGAAUUUGAGAUGUUCACUGAAGCUUUGAUGUGGUGUUCUGAUAGCGGGUGGAAUUUGAGAUUCUCCUUUCUUCUCUAUAUGAAGGUGCUUGUCAUGUGUCAAGAAAAAUAAAAUUAUUUACAAAAGAUUAUUUUAAGGAGAUUUAUUAUUAUUCGUGGAUCAGGAAGCUCAAAAAGUUUUCUUAUGUAGAACAUAAAAUGAUUUAAAUUUUGCCAUGGUAUAUCCUUUUCUUUGAUUGUGUUGUGGUUUUCCAGUUCUUGGAGAUGCAGAAGAAGUUUAUUUUGUUUUAUGGUAUCUUAUUUAUUUAUUGUUUUCACGAGGAAAUAGCUGUGCUUUUGGAAAUUAAUAUGCUGUGUUGUAAAUGUUGUGUGAAAUCCUUUUAUUGGUGUCUAUGUAAAGUGUUUCAGAUUUCAGACCUGAGAGUUAAUCUUCGCGUACCAGUUGGCUUUUGGGUUUAGUAUUGCUGCUUUUAACAUAAUUGACCUAUGGCCCAAAUCAUUUCUUAGGGCGAAGCAUAUGAAUGAUACAUAUUAUCUUUUUUUGGCCUUAUGUAUUGUUAUUUGCAGUGUGAUUUGGUCUAGCUUAAGAGCUUAAGCUUGCAAGUUGGAUUUGUCUAACAGGGAACAAUUUAAUUUGUUCAUCAUGAUGUUUAUAUCCAUUUUGUACUACUAUCAAUUUCAAUCAUGCCUAAUUUUUAUAUGUAUUUCUUGUGGACUCUCAGGUUCAGUGCACAAGAGGAUGAAGACGAUGGACACCCAAAUUUGAUGUGGAGAAUAAGUAUUGCAAAUGGUCCUUGAUUUACUUCUCCAAUUGACUUGAAUUGGUUUGACGCAAUUUAUAGUGUAUUUUUGUCAUCUUUGUAUGACUGGCAGGUCGUCCUGAUUUGGUACAUGACUGGACUCAGGAAUUGGACUCAUAUUUUUCAAACCAGAAUGCCAACAAUCAAGCAUUUUCUUUUGAAAGCACUGGCGUCUUCUUCAAUGCCAAAAAGGUUAGAGAUUUUUUGUAUCCUGUUUUGUAUUUGAUCAGUUUAGCAUGUGGGUGGCAAUCAAGAAAAGUUAUUCUAACAUUUUUGUGUUCCCGAAAAACUGCUGAUGAUGUGUAGUGCAGGAAAUGAAUUGUUUGUGACUUCUUUUUAUUCGUAUUCUUUCUUUUUUCUUUUCUCCCCAACAGGAUUAUGUAUUUCUGAAGAGCUUCUUGAAGUUGAUUACCUUGUAAGCCACUUUCUGUACUCUAUGCUCAGGAUGUGAUUUUGCCAAGCAUUAAAAUGGUUUAGGUCAGAACCAUCAUCUAAAGUUUACUUAAUGCAGCCGAGAAGCUGUAGUAGAGCAAUGAAGGCUGUUGGUGUUAUGAAGGCCAGCUGUGAAGAAAUAUUUGAACUUGUAAUGAGCAUGGAUGGGACACGAUACGAGUAUGCUUCUUUUCUAUUUUUUAAUUUUAGUUAUUUUAACAUAAUCAAGACUAUAUUGGCUGUCUCUGUAAGCUGAGUAUUAUAUUUCCUCUUGUAUGCUGUGAAAUUCACAUUGUCUCCAGUCCCGAUUCUGUAUGUGCCUUUUUGAAUAUAUUUAAUUAAUCUGCAUGGUGCUUUCUAAAGAUUAUUACAAACUUUUGUUGCUUAAGUAUAUGAAGAAUGUGGAAAUGAAAAUAGCUUUUGAAGUUUGAUGGAUUGCUUCAUUAAUAAAGAAAGACUGGGACUCAUUUUUAUAACUUUUCUCCACUUAGCUAAUGGUAUUUGAUGAAGACAAAAUAGAUGUAGCUAUCUGUAUUUUUUGUUGCUGAACUAUAGAUCAAUUGACGGUUGAAGUUAGUUAUAUUAAUUUGUUGUACUAGAAUUAAAGCUUGUAUCUUAGCCAUUUCAUGAAGUGUCAAAGACGUUCAUGUUUUUUAAAAAAAACAUGUUACACUUUUGAAGUCACUAUUACAUAAAAGAGUGUUCUAAAACAGGAGAAGGCGUGCUGCCUGAAAUUACCUGUUUCCGAUUUUAACAAGUCUCUUGGCAAGGUUUGCUAGUAAUGUGUUCAAAUUAUUCUAUUUAAUUUUACUGUCUGUACCCUAAUAAUUCUUGGUUUGCACCAUUGCAUUGUUCCAUAAUCUCUGUGCGUUGGCUUAUAAAGGCCAGCAAGGCUGAUCAUUUGUCAAAUAGUUAUUUCCAUGAAAUUCCUAUCAAUUUGACUCAGUAUUUAGAGGUCUUGAAGAGGGCAGUGUACUAGACGUGGAUUUCUUCCUCUUUUGGUUGUACAAUUGUUGUAUUUCUUGGCCAUCAGAUCUUUUUUAUGUAUCUUUCUCAAAGUUCAUGCCGCACGUACACCGUUUUUCAUGUUUUGUGCAGGUGGGAUUGUAGUCUUUUGUAUCGCAGCUUAGUUGAAGAGGUAGAUGGUCAUACGGCUAUUCUCUAUCAUAGGCUUCAGCUGGACUGGUUUCCAAUGUAAUAGUCUCUUGAUUCAAUCAUCUCAUUUAUGCUUUGGUCAGAAUAGAACAUUUAUUGUUUUCUUCUUUCCCCUUUCAUGUCUUCUGAUAUAAUAUGUGAGGAAAUUACCUAAAAUUUCUGUAUCCCAAUGUAAUUGUUGGAAUUCAGAAAUAAAAUAAAUACACCGUCUUGUUUUUCCCUCGGUUCAGUCCUAAGUUCUCUUUGGGCCUUCUGCAAGUUUUUAAACAUACUGUGACAGUAAAAAAUCUAGUGAUUGAGAUCAUUUUGAUGAAUUUAAUUUUAAUUCUUAGCUGAUACUUUUUCUGGAAUUUUUUUUCUUAUGUUUCCUCAAUAUGACUUAAAUAUAGGGCUUAGUUUGGUUUAGAAGUUCGUCUAAAACCUUCUCCUUGAUUCCAAAAAAAUUCUCUAGAAAGGUCUCAGAUGGAUUUUAGGGGAGUUCUGUGGCAAAUUUGAAAAGUUCAGGGGAAGGGUCUAAUGAAUUUUAAAACCACAUGGGUUAUCUGUUUUAUUCAGAGGAUAGUGGAAUUCCCUGAAAUUUAUCAUUUUUAUUUAAAUAAUCUUCCUACUUUCCUCUGCGGAAUUUAUUUACAUUUAUGAAUUCAUUUGGUUGCAGGUUUGUUUGGCCCCGCGGCCUUUGUUAAGUACGUUAUUGGCGUUGAAAUGACGCUGCGAGUUAUGGUAAGGUUCUUGCUUCCCCACUUCUUGAAAUUAAAUCUAUCUUUUCUGGCACUAGAAGUUUCCAUAAGCUGUGUUUUGUUAUCGCGCAGUUGUGUUAUUUCAUUCUAGGGAGCAUGAGAACUGUGGUCCACAGCCAGGAUAUGUACGAGCUCACGUGGAGAGUUAGUUUUCUGUCCUUUACUUUGGUUGAUGUAGAGAAUUAACAAGUGACUAAGUCAUGCCAAGUUGCACCACUUGCUUCCUGUAUUCUGAUUUCUCAGGUGGUGGAUUCAACAUUUCCCCACUCAAACCUCAAAAUGGUAGGCCCAGAACACAAGUACAGCAUCUUAUGCAGAUUGAUCUAAAAGGGUGGGGUGUUGGUUAUGUGUCAAUGUUUAGCAACACUGUCUUCUUCAGAUGUUAAAUAGCAUUGCUGGUAAGUUUCUUGCUUUCACAUUUUAUUUUGCGCUGUUAUGGGUUAAUAUGUUUCUGUUGGGUGGCCAUUUUAAGUCAUAUUUUUACGUGUUACUGUAUUUUCUUCAGUCCUUUUAUAGGGAACACACACAUACACGUAUGUAGAGUCACCUUUUAAUGAGGGAUCUACCAUUUUAAUAAAAUGAGGAAUGAGCUAAAAGAUAAAAAUUCACGAACUCCAAUGCAAUAUGUGUGUGUGCGUGUGCACACCUUUUCUAACUCUUGUUCUUAGUUAGAUAUUUUUCGGGAUUUCAGGCAAAUGAAAAAAGAGAUUAAGAGAAAGAGAAUAGGUGGAUGAUAACUUAAAUAUUCAUUUUUAUAUAUUUUGUUAAUGUCCUCUUUAAUGGAUUUCUAUGGAAUUAAUCUUUUUUUUUCAAUUAGUUGCAGCCCUAGAGGAAAAGUAGGGUGAUCAAAUUGAUUUAUCUCAUUUUUUUUUAGCAAUUUGCGACAUAAUGACCGUGAUAAUGCUUGUGACUGCUGGAAACUUUCUGAUGGAAAUAACUUCAGAGUUCGUAGCAAGCAUUUUUGUUAUGACAAAACAAAGGUUCCCGCGAAUUUUGGUUGUUGUUAGGCCACAAGUGCGUUUCACAUAUGCAAGGCGCAAGGGUAAUUCCGGAAAUACCAAUCGUGGCUGACGUGUCAUCAAGUAGUAUAGAGAGAAGAGUUUGUUAUGCAUUUCUGUUAGUGAUAAGUUGAUGGUAUUCUGUUUUGAUAAUUUGUUAGAGUUUUCUAUUAUUCUAUUUGGGCGUAAAAGUGAGGAGGUUAUAUGGAGAGGAGCUGUUUUUUGGGAAGGGGAUCUAGAGAAUUAUUUUGUAGUGAGCUUGCUCAUUUUGGGAGAGAUACCAAGCCUCUCGAAUGCUUGGGUGUUUUGGUUUAUUUCUGCAGAUAAAUACCAGUUUUCCUACUUCCAACAACAUUCUGUUCUCUACUGUGUUGUUUAUCUAACCAUUUCAGUUCAGGGCUUAUCAAAUUGGUAUCAGAGUAGUCACGUACCUAGAAAAUGACUGGCAAAAAUGUUGCUCAACGAAUGGAUUCCAUAGAGGAGGCGAUGGGUGCUGCGUAGGAGGAGUUUCAACGGGAAAUGAGAUCGUUGAAGGAUGAAAUAUAGAUGAUGAACAAACGAUUCGAACAGUUCAUCAAACUUCAAGAGGAUACGGGAGGUUCGUAUUCGAAUAAAAGGGAAAAGAUGCUCAGCCCCAACUUCGGCGGGUUGAGCUCAAGCGGAACUAGCCAUGAUUUCCGAUUCCGGAAACUUGAGAUGCCACUGUUCGAUGGCUCAAAUCUGGAUGGCUGGAUCUGAAGGCUGAACGAUAUUUUUCCGUAAAUCGGUUAUCCAAUGAAGAAAAACUUGAGGCAGCGAUAAUAGCUUUCGAGGGAGAUGCCCUGUUGUGGUAUCAAUGGGAGAAUAGGAAGAGAUCCAUGAUGGUUUGGGAAGAGAUGAGGCUACUAAUCUUGAAACAAUUCCGAGUAAUCCAAGCCGAUUCUCUCCAUGAACAAUGGCUAGCCCUUACUCAAGAUAGCAGUGUGCGAGAAUACCGCCGGAAAUUCAUCGAACUUUCGGCGCCGUUGGAGAACAUUACAGACGAACUAGCUCUGGGAAAUUUUAUCAAUGGGUUGAAGCCUGAAAUUCGGGUCGAGGUUCGGAUCAUGGAACCCAGUAAUUUGGGCCGGGCCAUGGACUUAGCCCAAAAGAUUGAGGAGAAACUGUGGGUGACCAAGGCCCACAAAGCAGACGGUGGGUUUCAUCGAGCAGGAGGGUCAACGCGAGGUGUGAACUUCCAUUCUGAAGCUUCGCAAUCUUCGUUUGGGGCAAAUCAUAACACGGCCCGAUUUUCGGGAGAGGUUAGGAGGUUGUCCGAUUCAGAAUUACAGAAGAAAGAGAGAAGGGACUAUGUUAUCGAUGUGAUGAAAAGUGGGCACCUGGGCAUCGCUGCAAGAAGAAAGAAUUGACUGUCCUUCUCACCUACGACAUGGACGAAGCAGAGCAGGAAGAGGAAGAAGGUUCGGGUGAAGGCGAUCCCGAACUGGAAACGGCCGAAAUUAAUCAAGGGAUAGAGGUCUCUCUUAACUCGGUGGUUGGUCUGACUACACCAAAGACGAUGAAGCUUAAGGCGUCUAUCGGGGAGCAAGAGGUGGUGGUACUGAUUGAUUCAGGUGCAACCCACAAUUUUAUUUCUCUAGAUUUGGUUAGUAAGAUGCAGAUACCCAUUGUUAAAACUGAGGCUUAUGGGGUGACUAUGGGUACUGGAGCGGCUGUAAGGGGAUAAGGUUUAUGUCGGGGAGUGACUAUUCAUCUACAGGGAAUAGAUAUUGUAGAGGAAUUCUUGCUGCUUGGGUUGGGGAGCUCGGAUGCUAUAUUAGGAGUUCAGUGGCUUGAAACUUUGGGGAUGACACACACAAAUUGGAAGACACAAGUGAUGAAGUUCAUGCUCGGAAAUGAAUCUGUUACUCUACGAGGGGAUCCUUCCCUUGGCAAGACUUUGGUUUCAUUGAAGGCAAUGAUGCGCACCAUUAAGCACGAGGGAGCUGGAAUUCUGGUGGAAUGUAAUCAAUUUGAAGGUCUGUGCGAAGUGAGCCCUGAGGUGCCACCGAAUCUAAACCAAGUCCUAGCAGAAUAUGAAUUGGUUUUUAACAUGCCCAUGGGCUUACCACCUACUAGGGGACAUGAGCAUUCCACUUUGCUCAAAGACGGCAGUCAACCUGUUAGUGUCCGACCAUACCGCUAUCCUCAUGCCCAGAAGGAUGAGAUUGAAAGACUGAUUCAGGAGAUGUUAGAUGCGGGAAUAAUCCAAGUCAGCAAUAGUCCAUUCUCGAGCCCAGUUUUGUUGGUUAAAAAGAAAGACAGAUCAUGGCGUUUUUGUGUGGAUUACAGGGCUCUCAACAAAACGACGGUACCAGAUAAGUAUCUCAUCCCUGUCAUUGAUGAACUCCUAGAUGAGUUACAUGGUGCCAGAAUUUUUUUCCAAGCUAGAUUUAAAUUUGGGCUACCAUCAAAUCAGAGUCAGUAGUCAGGAUGUUCAUAAGACUGCUUUUCGAACGCAUGAUGGACACUACAAGUUUCUCGUCAUGCCUUUUGGACUAACGAAUGCCCCGUCGACUUUCCAAUCCUUGAUGAAUGAUGUCUUCUGGCCUUAUCUUCGGAAGUUUGUUCUAGUGUUCUUUGAUGACAUUCUAAUUUACAGCCCUUCAGUGGAAUCCCAUCAGCAGCACUUGGCUCUCGUCUUGGGAAUAUUGCAGGCCAACAGCCUUUAUGCCAACCGAAAAAAAUGCGAGUUUGGAAGAACUCAAGUGGCAUAUUUAGGCCAUAUCAUCUCUGGACAAGGGGUGGCAGCGGAUCCAAGUAAAAUCCAAGCCAUUAACUUGUGGCCAACGCCCACUAAUCUGAAAGCGUUAAGGGGAUUUCUGGGAUUGACGGGGUAUUAUAGAAAGUUUGUGGCUGGGUAUGCUAGAAUCGCAUCGCCAUUGACUGAUCAGCUCAAGAAAGAUAGGUUUGGGUGGAGUCCAGAAGCUGCAGCGGCAUUUGAAGAACUCAAACAAGCUAUGUCUUCAGUCCCUGUGUUGGCAAUGCCUGAUUUCACAAAGCCAUUUAUUGUUGAGAAUGAUGCAUCUGGUUUUGGGUUAGGAGUUGUUCUACUACAGGGGCAACAACCAGUAGCUUACUACAGCCAAGUUUUGGGGCCCCGGGCUCGUCUUAAGUCCAUAUAUGAGAAAGAACUAAUGGCCAUAGUGUUUGCAAUCCUGAAAUGGCGGUCGUACUUGCUGGGAAGGCGAUUUAUUGUGCGAACAGACCAACAGAGCUUAAAAUUUCUUUUGAAGCAGAGGAUUGUUGGAGUUGAAUAUCAAAAAUGGAUCACCAAAAUCAUGGGAUAUGAUUUUGAUAUUCAAUAUCGUAUUGGGGCUGUUAACAUAUAUGUUUCCAUAAUAUUGAUUUUGAUGAUAACAAAAAAGAUUAAAAAUGAUUAAUCUUUUAAGCUCAAAUUAUUUUUUAUACAUUUUAAAUAAAUCAUUAUUUUUAUAUUAUAAAGGUUUUAUAUUUAAUGGAAAAAUGAUUUUAUGAAAUUGGUUGUUUUUCAAGUUUAUGAUUUAAUUGAAAGAGUUUUUGAAAACUUUGAAAUCAACAAGUAUUGCUUGAAAUUUUAGAGAAUGACUUAUUUUAAAAGUGUCAUAGCAUUUUGGGCUAUAUCAUAAUUUCAGAAAGUUUUGGGAUUAACAAAGCAUUACUUAGAAAUUCUGAAAUUGGACCUAUUUGUAAACUUUCAUAACAUUUUGGGCCAUACUGUAGUUUUAUAAAGUUUUGGGGUCAAACUAUAAUUUUAAAAAAUAGUGCACUGUGCAGGUUACUGUACCAAUCACUGUAGCAAAUGGCUAACCGUUUAUUUAAAAACGGCUAACCGAUAAUUUCCAGAAAGCAUGUUCUGCAAAGUAUUGUUAAAAUGAUGAUUCUGGAAACUAACGGUGAACCGUUUACUGAAAACGGUUAACCGAUUAUUUCCAGAUUGUUAACCUUGAACCGUUUAGUAAGAACGGUUAAACCAAAUUUGUUUUGCAGGUCUCUGGAAAUUAACGGCGAAAGGGUAAGCCUAAACGGCUAAUCGUUUAUUUAAAAAUUGGCCCAACGGUAACUUUGACCGGCCUAAACGGUUAACCGUUAAUGGUUAACGGCGAACCGUUUUCGAGCAAACAGUCUAUAACGGCUAGUUUUUCAGCUCCAACUAUAAAUAAGCUCAAUCCAAUUCAAACAAGAAGAAUUCCAACGAUCAUCAUUGAGCAAAAUAUUGAGAAUAUAACUUUCAUUGAGCUUUAAAUCCUUGUAUUCAUCUCAUUCAUUCACACAUUGAGCUUUCACUUGUGAUUAAACACAUUGUGUGAGAGAGAUUUAUUUGUAAUCCUUUUUGUAAAAUCAAGUUAAAAGAUUGUAAGUGUUGGGAUACACUUGGGUUAAGAGAUUGGGGAUAAUCUCUUGUUGUAAAGGUCCAUUGACACCUUGGAAGUCAAUUGUAAGCGUUUGAAGCCUUGGGAGGCUAGCUUAGUGAAAUCCUCAAGCUCGGUGAGCUUGGAGGCAUGGACGUAGGCGGGGAUUGCCGAACCACGUAAAAAUCAUUGUGUUUGUUUUCUCUUCCCUUACUCUUUUAUAUUGUGAUUGAUUUAUUUGUUAUUGCUUUAAAUUAGUUUUGGAUUUGCAUUGAGUUUUGUUUUAGAAUUGAAUAAUUUUUAAUAUCCCAAUUCACCCCCCUCUUGGGUUGCCUAGUUAGUAUUUCAUUUGGUAUCAGAGCGAGGUGUUCUUGUGUAGACUUAACCGUCUAGAGUUAAAGAUCCAUGGCAACCUAUAGUGACUCAACCUUUAGGGAAGGACAAUCCACAAUUAGACCACCGUUCUUCGACGGUAAUGACUACCCAUAUUGGAAAACUAGGAUGAGAAUUUAUUUACAAGCUUUAGAUUAUGAAAUUUGGGAAAUUGUUUGUGAUGGUCCAUUUAUGCCUUUGACUAAAAACGAAGUUGGGGAAGAUAUUCCAAAACCUUCACGGGAAUGGAAUGAAUUGGAAAAGAGAAAAGCUUCUCUAAAUUCCAAAGCCAUGAAUGCCUUGUUUUGUGCACUUGAUAAGAAAGAGUUUCAUAGAGUGUCUAGUUGUGAAAGUGCUAAUGAAAUUUGGCACAAACUUGAAGUUGUUUAUGAAGGCACGAAUCAAGUGAAAGAGUCUAAAAUUAGUAGGUACACUCGGCAAUAUGAAUUGUUCCAAAUGGAACAAAAUGAGAGUGUGUAUUCUAUGAAUACUAGAUUUACGGACAUAGUGAACACUCUAGGAGCCCUAGGAAAGACCUUUUCAAAUAGCGAGAAAGUUAAGAAAAUCAUUAGGUCGUUACCUAAGAAAUGGAGACCAAAAAGGACUGUCAUUGAGGAAGCUCAAGAUUUGAAUAUCUUACCUAUUGAUGAUUUAAUUGGUUCUCUUAUUUCUUAUGAGGAAGACAUGGCAGCCGAAAGAGGCAAUGAGGAGAAGAAGAAAAGCAUUGCUCUCAAAGCCUCGAAACAUGAGAGUGAUGAGGAAAGCGAGCUGGAUGAGGAGGAGAUGGAUAUGCUGGCUAGGAGGUUCAGAAAACUUUUUAAGAAAUCCGAUGAGCGAAGAAAAUUUAGAGACCUCAAGAACCGAAAGGAGAAGAAGGAAGUAAUCAAAUGUUAUGAGUGCAAGAAGCCUAGCCAUAUAAGAACGGAAUGCCCUCUUCUCAACAAGCUGAAGAAGAAAGCAAUGAUAGCCACAUGGGAUGAUAGCGAUGAGGAAACAAGUGAUGAUGAAGAGCAUCAAGAAAUGACAAAUCUAGCUCUCAUGGCAAUUGGAGAUGAAUCGAAUGAUGAACUUGAUGAGGUAAAUGAUCUUUUUACUUAUGAUGAAUUAUAUGAUGCUUUUAAAGAAUUACAUGAUAAUUGGAUAAAAAUUGGUAAAAAGAAUGCAUGUCUUAAAAAGAAAAUGGUAGAGCUCAAAAAUGAAAAUGAAUCUCUAUGUGCAAAGAUUACAUGCCUAGAAUUAGAGAAUAAAACAUUGCAUGAUAGAGUUGCAUUAUCAAAUGAGAAACCUAGUACUUCACAUGAGCAUCUAGAAUAUCACAUAGAUGACUUGAAAAAUGAAAAUGAAAUGCUUAAGAAGAAGAGCAAUGAGUUAAAUGAGAUUGUUUUAAGAUUUACAAAUGGACAAAAGAUGUUGGAUAACUUGAUUAAUUCACAAAAAAUGUGUGUUUGAUAAAGGAGGACUUGGUUAUAAGCCACAUUUGAAACAAAAGUAUUAUAGGAACUACUUUGUGAAGAGUACAUCUACUAACAAUCAAGUUGUAUGUCAUUAUUGUAAUCAAAACGAUCACAUGAAGCUUGGUUGUCCUAUUAAAAGAAAAGUAUAUUAUGGAGUAAAAUGUGUUUUGGUUCCAAAAGGAAAAAUUGCUAACACUCAAGGACCCAAGAGUAUUUGGGUACCAAAGGGCACAACGUGAAUGUUUUCUUUGUAGGUACCACAAUCAAGGAAUGGUGGAGAGUUCCUUGAUGAAAGCUUGUGAGGAUAAUCACUUGAGUAUGAUCUAGGAGAAAAAGAUGAGGCAAGAUGAUUUAAUUGUUUUGGUAACAAUUUUUGCCAUAUUAAUUUUGUUGAAUGAAUCAUGAUAAAUGAAUUUGCGAAAAUAUGCUUGUAUGUUUACAUGAUGGAAUUAUCAUUGUGUAUAACAUUGAGUGAUUUAUCAUGAUGCCUUUGUUUGAUUUUGAUGAUUGUAUGGUCUUUGAUUUCAUCUUCUUAAUUGUCUAUCAUCAUUGUCCAUCUCUUAUAAAUGUGUGAAUUCAUAUGCCAUUAAUUGUGUUAUAUCAUCAUUCAUGUAUAAAAUUGAACUUAGAAAUUAUGAGGAAAAAGUAGUAUCCUUCAUCUUUACAAUCAGUACAAGGAUCCCUUUUAAAUAGAGCAAUUAUAACAGAAAAGGAAACUAAUUAAGAGCUAAUAUUUGACAGCUAUCAUCUAUAUUUACAGAGGAAAGGAUCCUACAAUAUCUCUAGGAUUAAGGCUAAAUUCAAGGCCUAAUUUCCAACACUCCCCCUCAAGCUGGUUUGAAGAUAUCUUCCAUAGCCAGCUUGCUAGUCAACUUAUCAAAUUGCUUCUUGUGCAAUCCCUUUGUUAAUACAUCAGCUAACUGUUCAGUUGUUGGAAGAUAUGUCAUACAUAUUAUUCCAGUGUUGAGUUUCUCCUUGAUGAAGUGUUUAUCCACUUCUAUAUGUUUUGUUCGAUCAUGAAGAACUGGAUUAUGAGCUAUAGAAAUAGCAACUUUGUUGUCACAAUAGACUUUCAAAGGAGUUGAGAAAGUAAAUUUCAGUUCUUCAAGAAUUCUUUUUAUCCACAUAACCUCGCAGAUUCCAUGGGCAACAACUCUGAAUUCUGCUUCUGCACUACUUCUAGCAACCACAUUCUGUUUUUUACUCCGCCAUGUAACUAGGUUCCCACCAACAAAGGAACAGUAGCCAGAUGUUGAUCUCCUGUCAGUGACACUUCUUGCCCAGUCUGCAUCUGUGUAGACUUCAACUUGAAGAUGUCCAUGUUUUUUGAACAUUAGGCCCCUCCCUGGAGUUCCUUUUAGGUAUCUUAAGAUCCUGUAGACUGCCUCAAAAUGCUCUGCCCCUGGUGAGUGCAUAAACUGACUUACCAUGCUGACUGCAAAGGCGAUAUCAGGUCGCGUAUGAGACAAGUAGAUCAACUUCCCUAUGAGUUUUUGAUACUGUUCCCUAUCCUUUACUUCUUCAACCUUAGCAGGUUGUAACUUCAAGUUAGGAUCAAUUGGGGUCUCUACCAUCUUACAACCAAGCAAACCUGUUUCUCCAAGGAGAUCAAGAACAUAUUUCCUCUGAUUCACAAAUAUACCUUCCUUGGAUCUUGCAAAUUCCAUUCCAAGGAAAUACUUAAGGACUCCCAAAUCCUUAAUUUGAAACUUCUUUGCAAGUCUCUUCUUGAGGGCUGCUAAUUCUGUUUCAUCAUCACCAGUUAAAAUGAUAUCAUCAACGUAAACAAUCAAAAUUGCAAUUUUACCGUCUUUUGAGUGUUUAUAAAAUAUUGUGUGAUCUCCUUGACUCUGCAAGAAGCCAUAACUGAUAACUGCCUUUCCAAAGCGUUCAAACCAUGCUCUUGGUGACUGUUUGAGACCAUAUAAUGACUUUCUUAAUCUGCAGACUUUAUCACUACCAAGACUCUUCUCAAAUCCUGGUGGUAGACUCAUGAACACCUCCUCUUUAAGAUCACCAUUGAGAAAUGUAUUUUUAACGUCAAGUUGGUGUAAAGGCCAAUCACAAUUCACUGCAAGAGAUAACAAAAUUAUGAUAGAAUUUAUUUUAGCAACAGGAGUAAAAGUCUCAUGAUAGUAAAUCCCAUAAGUCUGAGUGAAGCCUUUAGCCACCAGCCUCGCCUUGUACCUCUCAACGCUUCCAUACGCGUUACAUUUUAUCCUAAACACCCACUUACACCCAACUAUUUUCUUGUCUCUGGGUGGAUCAACUAUCUCCCAAGUACCACUUCUCCUCAAGGCAUUCAUCUCCUCCAUGACUGCUAAUUUCCAAUUCGGGUCAUCCAGUGCUUCCUGUACAUUUCUUGGAACAAACAAGUGUGAAAUCCUAGAUGUGAAAGCUUUAUGGUUUUUUGACAGUCUUUGAUAGGAAAGAUAAUUUGCAAUAGGAUGUUUGGUGCAGUUUCGAACACCUUUCCUAAUAGCUAUAGGGACAUCAAGAUCAGAAAUAAUUGGUGAAUUAUUGGAAACAAUCGAAGGAAUCAAAGCUGGAGUUGGGAUUUGAUUACCUGAAAUUUCAGUGCCGGAACUCAGUUUUUCAAAUUGGGCUUGUGUAGGAUUGACAUUCAAGUCUUUACUUCUCAGAUGAAAUCUCUUCCUAGUAUAAACCUGAAGUUCAGAAUUUAGAUCAUGUUGAUCUGUUUGUAGUACUUCUCCCCCUGAACGAGAAUCCCUUGUACUAGGCUCUAAAGAACUUGUUUUUCUCAACUGAUCAUUAUCAGAAAAGUGUGGUCCUUGAAUAGGACAAAUAACAUUUGGAAGUGGGAUAGAAAUGUCCCAAAAAUUGUCUUCUACUCCAUUUGUCUCCCCCUGAAGAGAAUUUUUUAUGAAAUAAGGAGUUUUUUCCAAAAACGACACAUCCAUACUCACAUGAAAUGUUUUUGUUUGAGGGUCAAAACACUUAUACCCCUUUUUGUUCGAUGAAUAACCCAAAAAUACACACUUUAUAGCACGUGGGUCAAGUUUUGAACGAAAUUGACUUGGAACAUGAACAUAGACAGUACACCCAAAAACUUUGACGGGUAAAUCAGAAAACAACCUUGUUGCAGGAAAAAAUUCUUUAAGGCAAUCAAGAGGUGUUUUGUAUUUUAACACCUUGGUAGGCAUCCUGUUUAUUAAAUAAGCUGCUGUUAAAACCGCUUCACCCCAUAAAUACUUAGGAAUAUGCAUGUAAAACAUUAUGGCACGUGCUACCUCAAGUAAAUGUUUAUUUUUCCGUUCUGCAAUGCCAUUUUGUUGAGGGGUAUUCCGACAUGUAGAUUGAUGAAAAAUGCCUUUAUCAUUCAAAUACUCACCCAAGUGCUCAUUGAAAUAUUCUGUUCCAUUGUCAGAAUGUAAAAUACCAAUUCUAGUUUGAAAUUGAUUUUCAAUCAUAGUGUAAAAAUUUUCAAAUAAAUAUUUUACGUCAGAUUUUUUAUGCAUGAGAUAAAUCCAACAUAAACGAGUAUGGUCAUCAAUAAAAGUAACAAACCAUUUUUUACCGGAAAGGGUAGUGACCUGAGAAGGACCCCAAACAUCACUAUGAAUCAAAUAAAAAGGUUUGGAGGCCUGGUACUGUUUUGGCAAAUAAGUAGAACGAUGAAGUUUUGCAAAAGUGCAACAUUCACAAUAAAAAGAAGAGCAAUCAAUCCCUUUAAAUAAUUCUGGAAAUAAGUAUUUCAAAUAAAGAAAACUAGGAUGUCCUAGUCUAUAGUGCCAUAGCAUUAUUUUUUCUCGAACAGAAAUUGAACUAGUACUAAUAAAGUUCUGAGCUUUUUUAUUACUAAUAGGUACUUCAUCAAAGUAGUAAAGACCUUCAAUCAUCCUAGCACGUCCAAUCAUCAUCCCCGAGUUCUGGUCCUGAAAUUCACAAUGUGAUUCAAAUAAGGUAAUACGACAAUUAGAAUCUCUAGAUAAUUUACUAACAGACAAAAGACUGCAGGCUAAUUUAGGGACAUGAAGAACAAAAUUGAGAUUAAUUUUCUCGGUCAGUUUGAUAAGUCCUUCUCCUGCAAUAGGUGAAAAACUACCAUCGGCAAUUCUAAUUUUUUUAUUUCCAGAACAAGGAGAAUAGGUAUUAAAUAAAUGAAAAGAACUAGUCAUGUGAUCAGAGGCUCCAGAAUCUAUGAUCCAUGGAGAAGAGUUUAAACAAGAAAGGGCUAUAGGAUUUCUACCUGUUUUUGCCAAAGAAACACUAGGAAUACCAGACGAGAAGUUGGAUUUUAUCAGCUUCAGGAGUUGAUCAAUCUGCUCUUUGUUAAAGUGGCCUGAGUUGGCUUCAUUGGCCGAAGGAAUCCCACGAUUCUUCUCUCCUUGCUUGCUGCUUUUCCAGUUUUCAGGUUUGCCAUGAAGCUUCCAACACUUCUCACGUGUAUGGCGAGGCUUGUGGCAAUGAUCGCACCAGGCCUGUGACUUAUCAUCAGACCUGCGCUGAUAAUUUGCAGUCUUGUAGGCUGCUGCAUCAGUAAUUAAGGCAGAAUUCUCAAUUGACUCACCGGCACUCCUUUUCCUGAGCAUUACGCUCCUUCGACUUUCUUCUCUUCUGACUUCAGCAAAGACUUCGCCAAUGGGUGGUAGAGGAGGUCUGCCAAUAAUCCUCCCUCGUACUUCAUCAAACUCAACAUUGAGGCCGGCAAGAAACUUGUAAAUACGACUGUCUUCCACGGUUUUCUUGUGGUGGUUGCAGUCAUCAGCGGAUUUCCAUUCAUAUGUGUUGAAGAGGUCAAGAUCUUGCCACAACCUUUUCAAAGAAUUGAAAUAUUUGGUGACAGAAUCAUCACCUUGACGAAUCUCUCCCAACCUUAAAGUUAACUCAAAAACCUGAGAUUGGUUGCCCAGGUCAGAAUACAUCUGACUAACGUUGUCCCACAAUUCUUUAGCAGUAGGAUAGCACAUAUAAUUGGAGCUUAUAUCCUCCUCCAUGGAGUUGACCAGCCAUGUCAUAACCAUGGAAUUUUCAGCAUCCCAAGUGGCAUACAGCGGAUCAUCAUUAGCAGGAACCUUCUUGUCACCAGUGAUGUAACCAAUUUUUCCUUGCCCACGGAUAUACAUCCGGACAGAUUGCGACCAGCGGAGGAAGUUGUCGCCAUUUAAGCGGAUGGUGGUGAUUUGAACAGAAUGAGAGUUGGAGUGGUUUCGCAGGGUCUCAGAUGUUUUUUCUGGAAUGGCAGCAGCAAGGGUUUGAGUGGUUUCAGACGUGACUUCUGACAUGGUUGCAGACACGAUUCCCUAUGCUCUGAUACCAACUUAGAAAUUAUGAGGAAAAAGUAGUAUCCUUCAUUUUUACAAUCAGUACAAGGAUCCCUUUUAAAUAGAGCAAUUAUAACAGAAAAGGAAACUAAUUAAGAGCUAAUAUUUGACAACUAUCAUCUAUAUUUACAGAGGAAAGGAUCCUACAAUAUCUCUAGGAUUAAGGCUAAAAUCAAGGCCUAAUUUCCAACAAUUGACAUUAUUGUUUGAUACGAUUUCAUAUGUUUGGUCUUGUAUACAUUUAUGCCUCAUGCAUUAAAAUGGCUUAUAAAACAUUUUUGGAUCAAUUAGUUAGUAUUUCAGGGGCAAGUAAUCGAGUAACGGAUGCACUCUCACUCUUAACAGAACCAGCAGAGUGUUCAGCUUUGGCGAUUCCUCAGUGCCAACAUUGGGAUUCCUUAAAGGUUGAGUUGGCAGAGGAUACCUUUCUGAAGAAACUAAGGGAAGACAUAACUUCGGGUACACAAUCUCACGUGGGGUUCUCAGUUGAGCAUGGAGUAUUGUUCUACAAGAGUCGGCUGGUUAUUCCUCAGACUACUAAGCUUCUUUUUGCUCUCAUAGGAGAGUUUCACACCACUCCGAUUGGGGGACAUUCGGGAGAAACAAAAACUUACCAACGCUUAGCAGCAGAAUUGUAUUGGAUAGGUAUGCGCAAGGAUGUCACCAGAUUUGUACGGGAAUGCACCAUCUGCCAGCAGAAUAAGUACUUGGCCACUACUCCCGCAGGGUUACUUCAACCUAUUCGACUACCAGCCCAGGUUUGGGAGGAAGUCACACUUGAUUUUAUUGAGAGGUUGCCUCGUUCUGAAGGGUGGGAUGCCAUCUUAGUAGUGGUGGACAGGCUGAGUAAGUAGGCUCACUUCAUAGGAUUAAAACAUCAUUUUUCUGCUGUUUCGGUUGCUGGAAUCUUUGUUCGUGAAAUUGUUAGGCUUCAUGGGAUACCACGGUCAAUUAUCUCUGACCGAGAUAGGAUAUUCUUGAGCCAUUUUUGGAGUGAAUUGUUGAAGCUGCAGGGAACUACUCUCAAAAGAAGCACCGCCUAUCAUCCACAAUCUGAUGGACAAACAGAAGUUGUCAACCGUUGUUUGGAAACGUAUCUAUGCUGCUUUGCUUCUGGAAAACCUCGAAGUUGGGCUCGCUCGUUGGCAUGGGCUGAGUAUUGGCAUAAUACUUCCUUCUACUCUUCUACACAUUGUACUCCAUUUCGUGCUCUCUAUGGAAGGGAUCCACCCCCUCUUAUUCGGUAUGAGCAAGGAGCUGCUUCGGUAUCUUUGGUAGAACAGUUAAUGGAGGAUCGUGAUGCCAUACUGGACGACCUGAGGAUGCAGUUGCUUCGUGCCCAGCAGCGGAUGAAGCUGCAAGCUGAUCAAAAGCGCCAUCAUGUAGAGUUCAAUGCAGGUGAUUUGGUAUUUCUGAAACUAAGACCUUACCGGCAGCGCUCCCUCGCUCAACGUAAGUUUGAGAAAUUAGUUGCACGUUACUACGGUCCAUUUAAGGUUCUUCAGCGUGUCGGGAAGGUGGCAUACAAACUAGAACUGCCUCAAACAGCAAAACUCCACCCUAUCUUUCAUGUUUCGCAGUUGAAAGAUAAGGUUUCAAACAACAAACUACAUACUAGUUUUCCUACUUCCAACAACAUUCUGCUCUCUACUGUGUUGUUUAUCUAACCAUUUCAGUUCAGGGCUUAUCAGUUGUUUCUUAUGGUAUUUAUAUAUCCGACAUAUUCUAGUUCGACAUGUAACGAUGUAGUUUGGUUGGUUCUUCUUGCUUUUUGUGCAAUUUGUAACUGCAGAUACGUGUGGGAAAACAUUUAAUGGAUCUUGUUGCUGUUGAUUAGUUCAAAGACAAAGAGAAUGGACCAUGUAGCUAGGCGUCAAGGCUGUGAUGCACAAGUAACUAUUCUUUUCUUUUUUAUUUUUCCUUUUCCAUUGACGGAUUAGAAGAAAAUACUGCCUGUGAGAUACUACAAUAUAAAUAACUUCUGGUGGUUCAUUGAAUCUAUAACACUCUGAGCCCUAUUCUAAAAUAUGUAGGUUGCUUCCAAAAAAGGGCUUUUCUCACUGAUCUUUAAUCUUCAAGUAAGCUUGUUUCAUUUCAGAAGGUAUUAAGUUUCAAACUUAUCGUUUUGGGAGGUUGUAUGGUUGUAACGUAAGCAUCUGCAGGUUCCUGGUUCAACAAAUUAUAGUAUGGUAUUUUAUUUUGUCACAAGGGAAUUAAUUACAGGAUCCCUUUUGCAAUGGUUUGUUGACGGCGAUGAUGAAUUUCGCAAUGAAACUUAUCCCAUCCGUUCCUAAGGUAUCCGUCUUGGUCUUCAUGUAUUAGGACUAUGUUAACUAAUACGUACCCUCCGCUGCAUAGUACACUUUAAUUUGUACAAAGAAGGCAUGCAUUUAGGUGUAAAUGUAUUAAUGGGUUGUACCUUCAAACUUCAUUUCCUUUUUCUACCGAUUUGAAUUUGUUUUGCAUUUGUUCUUGAUUUUAAGCAUUGAAUCAUGCAGGGGUCAUGGAUCGUGCGCCAGAGUGAUGGAAGCACCCCUUGUUUAUUAGGAAAAGCAGUUGAUUGUAACUAUAUCCGCGGUCCUAAGUACUUAGAAGUAAAUGCUCUUCGAAUUUCUAUAGUACAUGGGAUGUGUUCCCUUUCGAAUAGCUUGUUCAAUACCAUUAACAUGGUUUAACAUUGUUCAUCUUUCUGCAGAUUGAUGUUGGCAUGUUCUUCUACUGUUGCUAAUGGAGUUUUGGGCCUUGUAAUUGGUGUAAUUACGGCAGUGGUGGUUGACAUGGCUUUCCUUGUACAGGUAUGUAUGAUUGUUUUUUUCCUCUACUUCUAAAUGGACACAAGGGAAAAGACAUGAUUUUGAGAUAUUGUACUGCAAUUUGCAUAUUUGCAUACUUGAAUGUUCUCAGAAUGGUAUAAUGCUUCGUGUAUGCAGGCAAAUACUACAGGUGAAUUACCGGAGCGGCUGAUUGGAGCUGUACGUGUUUCUUAUAUAGAACUCAAGUCUGCUAUUGUCCCAAAGUUGGAACCAGAGACAUCAUGACUGUGUUUUCAUUUCACCUCAACUGUUUGUUUUUAAUUUAAAAAAAAUCAUUUGUUUUAGGUAUACAUACAUGUAUUUUGAUCCCGUUUUCAUUGUAAUUUCUCAUUUACUUUGAAAGAAAGUCAUUGGUGUUUUCGAAUGGGAAUUUUGCAUUAAAAAAUAAAGAAUACUUAAUAGGAAAUUUCAUGAUUCUUUAGUUACUAUUUUUGGAAUGAGUGUAAUAGUAUUAAAGUUGGUUUCUACUCGCAAACAAGUGAACUACUCGAUCCCCAACUGUGACCACGCUAAUUGUCAUUGUUUAAUAGCUACUACUUUUAAAACUCAACAACUAACAAAAAUACUAAUAAAAAAAUGAUUUUCUUAUGAUGCUGUGAAAACAUUUAUGGGUUCACUUAUUUCCACAAGAUCUAUAACAUGGUCUUGACUUCACGAAAUUCUUUUAAUUUAAAGGGUGCUGGUAUGAGAAAAUCAGUUUUACGGAUUAAUUCCUUUUAAUAAUGGUCGAGUUAAUUUUACUAUACUCAUAAAACUAUUCUUAUUCUGAUAAUGCCACAAAUGUUAUGCUGUUUUCUUCAGCUAAUGAUCUUCUAUCAGGACUAGUUAGAAAUCAAAUGCUUAAAACACCAAUUGAAUGAAUGAUGCAGAAGUUUAAACAGUAUCUAAUUGAAAAUUGCCUGAAACAUGAAACAUCAAUUCAAGUCCUUCCUUAAACAGAGAAUGCAUCAAACAAAUCCAAAGUGUCUUUCAAGUCUGUAGCAUGACUAAAAAAUUGUAAAUGCGUUCAGAACCAAAUUAUUCAAGUACAGGAGAACGAGCAAGUUGAAUCAUGUACAAGAGGUUGACCUAGUUCUAGAUAGCUUCUUCACUGUACCUGAAGGGUUGGCUCAAUCUUUUCUUUAGAAUUCUGCACAUUUUGUAAUUACUCGUGUAAGCAAGCAUACAUUACAAUCAUAAUAAUAAUAAAGCAAGAGUAAUGAUACGACCACAACCUCUUGUGCACAAAUAAUAUUGUACAAACUAACAUGACAUAAUAUGAUUGAGUAAUGAUACGACCACAAUCUUUUGUGCACAAAUAAUAUUGUACAAACUAAUAUGAUGUAAUAUGAUUGAUUAAACAAAAACAUAACAUAACCCUUAUAAUUUAUUUAUUAUUAUUUUAUAUUUUCAAUCAAGCAAUCAUAUUAUGCCACGUUAAUAGCUAUAGAAAUAAUUUGCUAGAUAGUGCCAACACUUCAUUGAUACUCACCAUUUCAUUGAACAAUUUUUUUAUGGUGUCAUUGAGGUUGCCUUCCCCACAUCCUUCAUCAUCAUCUUUUUCUUCUUCGGUGACGUUCACUUUGUUUAGCAUUGGUGUGUCUAAGACUCCUUGAGAGAAGAUCUUCAUUUUUGGACACUGUCUCACAACUACUUGUUUCAAGGACGGGAAUUCAAGAGCGUAAUUACCCAAACAAAAGCUUGUUAGGAUUGGCAAACAAUCAAGUUCCAAGUACUUUAAUUCCUUGAAAACAAUGCAAUCUUUCGUUUUUUCUCCAACCUGCGAUUGUAUGAUUUCUUCUAUCAUUUUGCAAUCAGCUAUCUUUAUUCUUUGAAGAUUCACUAGAUUUUUAGAUGCUGAGAGCGUCAACGCAUUUAUCAACCCGUGACACUUCGAUACUUGUAGUCCCCACAGAUUUUCCAAAUGCCACGAAGGUGGUACUAAUUUUUGUAACUUACUACAUUCUGAUAUUUCUAGACUUCCCAAGUUUGCAAACGCUUUGUUGGAUUCGUCAUUUUCCUUCCAGAGAUGCUGCACUUUGUGUAAUUUAGACAGCUUUAACUCCCUCAAUUUAGGGAAUGCAACCUGAAAAUCAACAAAAUUAAGUUGUAAAUUAAAAUAUGUAUCCAAUCUCUGCAGUCUUCCCCUGCAUAUUUUAUGGACAAGAUUAAUCACGACAUUUUAUAUUUUUUUUUCCAAAUUAGUAUGCUUUGCAGUAGGAUCCCAAAUAUAAGUAUCAAAUCGAUUACCCUUUGAAACACAUAAAUGAAAUCUGAUACUAAAUCCAAAUGAAUUAGCUAGGAAAACAGAGAUGCGACAAGCAUAAUUGAAAUAUAGUUCAUCACCUCAUGUUACCAGUCAUCGAAAUAAUUUAAGACAUUUUUAUAAUUCAUACUAUAAAGUUAGUUAAUAACUACGGUUAUAUUGUUAAAUCAGAUAUAAAUUAAGACGACGUGCAAAAAGAUGAGUCAUUAAAUUUGAUUUGAUUCUAAUGAAAUUAUAUCUGUGCGAAUGAAAGUGAAGGGAAAAAUAAUAAUAAUGAUUACCUUUUCAUUGAAGAGAUGUUGUAUUUGAUUAGCUACCAAGAUGUUCUCUUCUGAUUUUAAUUUUUGAGCUUCCUUAUUAUCUGCUGUCAUGUGCAGUACAGAUGUAGAAUUGGAUAUGAAUGUUUCCAUAUCAGGGCAAUUCUCAAUAGUUAGAUAUCUCAACUCAGGCAGUUCAAUUAUAUUCCCAGUGAAGUUGUAGAAUCUUUUGAGUUUUGGAAGAUCAAUGAGCCUUAGCCAGGAAAGCCUAGGAAACAGGGGGCCUAUAUGUUCUUCCUUAGCAUUUAGCUCUUCCAAAUGAAGCACCUCUUCUAGUGAAUCACAAUUCCUCACUUCUAGGUACCUUAAAUUGUUCAAGCAUCGUAGCAGAUUGGCAGGAAUAGCACUCGACAUAUUCGUGCAGUCAUCCACCACCAGCUCUCUUAAAUUGUUGAAGAAGCUGACAGGCAGUGCUUGGCCAUGCCAUAUUUCUUGCAAGCGUGGAAAAUGCGAGAGUUGCAAAUCCUUUAUAUCACGAAAUCCAAUCUGCACAAACCAAAACAAUUGCACUGGAUAUAUACAAAUUUUUUUUUAAAGGCAUUAUAUAUAUACACAUUAAACUUACAUGUUUUGUGUUUUAACUUUUAAAAAUAUAUAUACAAGGGAGGUGUAUAUGCUUAAAUGUGCAAGUGCAGGGGAGAUGCAUGAACAAUUUGGGUGAAUCGAUUAACACAUACCAUUUCUUCAUAACACUUUUGUAUAGUGGAAUUAAGGUUGCCUUCCCAAUGGUGCGGUUCACCCUCUUCCUUUUUACUCACUUGGACUUUGUAUAGCUUUGGUGUGGAUAAGAUUCCCAGAGAAAAAGUCAUCAUGUCCGGACAAAGUGUCACAAAAACUUGUUCCAGUGAUGGGAAUUCAAGAGUGUAAUUCUCCAAACAAAAGCUGGUAAGCCUUGGUAAAUCAUCAAGUAUCAAAACUUUUAAUUUGCUGAAAGCAAUACGAUUCUCCUUCACUUCUUGUCCAACAUGUCCUACGAUUUCUUCUAAUUUUGGGCAACCCGAUACUUUAAGAUUCACUAGACUACUAGGAAUUCCAACCUUAUUAUGAAAUGUCUGUGUGCAUGUGUGUGUGUAUUAAAAAAGUAAAAAUGUAAGAAUAUCAUUCAACUAGAUUCAAAGUAUGGUUAAUCAUACAAUUAUACAUUUUAUGAACAUAACAAAUUAUGAAAUGUCUACUAGAUAUUUUUUGUCAAACAAAAACGGAACAAGAUAAAUAAAUAAAUAAAAGCCACAUAAACAAAGAUAAUAAAAAUGCAUUUACACUAUUUAGUAUUAGGAACGUAGCAAGAAUUUAAGGCAAUUUCUAAAUAUUUUAGACUUAUUUUGCAUCUUGACGCCAGUUUUUAAACAAAAUUUGCAAAUUUCAACUAUUCCUUUUGGGAAAAAAAAUCAACCAAAAUGCCGCUUUUUCCCUUUUUCCUUGGUCCCUUUUUUUUAUGUAUAUUUAAUUUUGGAAACAAAAUUAAAGUGGAUCUUUAUUAAGUACUUGCAGACUCGAGGAAAUUUCUUUACAAUCAAGGAUCAGUUGUAAAUAAUCAUGAAUUUGUGGUUAAUUAAUGGCAUAAUCAGUUCGAACUAAACAAGAGAUAUUAAUUAAAUUUGAAGACUUUUCUUUUCUUUUUUUUUUCUUUUUCCAAUCAAAAUGUGAAGAAUUAAGGAAAAGAGAAAUAUAUAGAUGAAUUUGUGAACCUAUAAGAUGAGUGACUAUCCUUUAAUUUUUGAUAAUUGUACUUAUUAAGAUAUGAGCAGAAACAAUUAAAUUGAAUUAUAUUAUGCUGUUGAAUCGUGAUUAAAAAAAUUAUAUUGUUGAUUCUAAUGCUGGCAAACCUAAAAACUGGACUUAAAAUGUAGAUUUGAGAGUGGUGGUUCGAAGUACAAUACUUGAAAUAAAUAAUCAGUGGCUGAAUAUCAUUUGUAACCCAAAAAUGGUUAAAAUAUUGUUGGAUGUAAUUUGAAAAAAAAAAAAAAAGAUUCGAAAUGAAUACAACAACCUUACCAAUGGAGGAAAAAUAUUCAUUAGGUUAUCACACCUAGAUAUCUCCAAAUUCUUCAAUUUCCUGAAAGACUCCAAAGCAAGCUGGUGGUGCCAUAUUGUUCUCAGGUUAGCCAUCCACGCAAUAUCUAAUACCUCCAACCUAGGAAGUAGUACCUGGCAGUUAAAGAUUAAAUAACUAAUUAAUCGGCAUAAUCUAUUGAUAACCAAAUUAGAGGCGGAUAUUAACUAAAUUUGAAGACUCAAGGAAAAGACAAAUUAAAUAUUGUGGCUAAAAUUAAUUAAAAAAAAAACCUUUUCGUCAAAGAGAGGUGGAGAUUGCAUUUCAGAAUGAAGGGUGUCUGCUGGUGAGCUCGUAGAGAUGAAUCUUAACAUAUUAUUGCAACCAUGGAUCUCCAGGUUUAGCAAAGAAGGGAAUUCAACAACUAAAUCUGAAUGAAUCUGUCCCGUAUUGGCAAAACUUGUUAGUUCUGGAAGCCAUUCUAGCUUGAGGGAGUGUAGUUUAGGAAAAACCUUUAAUUCAAUCAACUUUCCUUCAUCUCUUUCUGACCACCCCGUGGUGUCGACUACCCCUUCCAUUGACUCACAAUAGCUUAUCUCAAGAUGUUGGAGUUUCGCAAGACUAUUAACCAUAGAAUAUGAAAACAGAUACUUCAGACAAUCACAACUCCACACGAUGACCUUUGUUAAGUUUUGACAACAGUACAUUCCUUGAUUAUGAUCGGCCCAUAAUUUUUUCAUGUUUCUUAAGUUCCUGAUAUUCAAUUCCUCUAAGCUCGGAAGAAUAAUAACCUGCAAAGAAAACCCGUACAUUUUUGUUCCUUCAAGUACAACCGUCUAGUAUAAUAUUUUUUGAUGAUCGAAGAUUAAUCGUGAAUCCGUGAUAAUAAAUUAAUCAAUUAAUUAUUGAACAGAAAAUUAUCACCUUUGGAGCAGGGUCAUCAUCAGCAAUGAUUUCGUUAAAUCCCAAAGAAGAAGUUGGUUUCUCCCUGUCGGGUCCUAUAAACAAACAAAAACAAUAUACAUAAUUAAUCUUUGUUCUUUUUUUUUUUUUGGUCCAAAAUAAUUGAAGAGAAGUCCAUAAUCCCACCAAUACUUAACUUCAACACUUACCAAAAAUCAUUUCCAGAUCAUGGCAAAACUCCACUUCUACCUUUUGAAGCCGCAGUAGGUUUUUGGCUAUGGAGAAUGAGAAAAGAUGCUUCAAUUUGUAACAGGAAUAUACUUCUAUAAUCCUUAAGUUGCUGAAAGAUUGAUCUUCUGUGAGUUGGCUGUCACAUAUUGUCUCCAAAUUGAUCAAACGACGAAGAGACAAUGACUCCAGCAAGGGGAAGACUUUGCGACGAACCCGUCCAACUGAACGGACAAUAUGCAAAAUCUCAGAACAACUUUUUACAGAAAGAUGCUUCAAUCGUGGAAAACCUUCCCCAUCAUCUAAUUCACCCUUCAGUUCUUCUAGAUAGAGAUAUUCAGUUCUCUUCAACAACAGUUUCAUCCUGUAAUUCUGCAAAAGAAUGCCAAACUUUUCUAGCCCCUGGAGCUUCAUCAAUCUUGAUAAUCCAGAUUUAACGGACCGGCUGCUCCACCACGUAUUUCCUAUACAUAUCCUAUAGCUUUGCAAUUCCACAGAGACCAAAUCCUGUGGUAGAAUUUCGGCAUCCCGAACGUGUAUCUCCAAAGUAGUUAGCUUUGACAACCCCUUCAACUCAACAAGACUGGCGUUACUUCCUCCUUCAACCUUCUCCCACUGUGAAAAGCUGUUACUCAUAUAUAGUUCUUCUAAUCGAGAUAAUUUUGAUAUGACAUUUGGAGCUAUCACCACAAGGCUGCUACAAUUGCUCAAAUCUAGCAACUGUAAUCUCGUCAAUUGUCCAAUUACAAGUGGCAACUCCUUAACAUCAGAAUCUCGAAGGCUGAGAAUCUCUAAUUUCUUUAGCUGUCCAACUAUUGCUAUAUCUUUUAGUCCGCAACCAUCUAAACAAAAUGUUUGAAGGUUAAUGAGGCGACCAAGUGAUGAAGGUAAUGAAGAGAAAGGAAUUCUAGUAAGACUUAACACUUUGAGUUCUUCUGUCCCUUCAAAAAAGAGGUCUGAAAUUUGCAUAGGGCCAUAACCCUUUCCAAACAACAAAAAUAACUGGAGAUUGGGACAUUGCAACCUUUCAGGGAGCUCUUGGAUAUCUCUAUGAGGCAAUGAAAUAGCAAUUGGUCCUUUCUGUUUCGUCUCUUCCAUCUUUUUCUCAACGUCAGCAACAUUUGGAAUAUUAAACAUGCGCUUCUCUGCGGCAAUUGAUACGGCAACAACAUGAAUGACGUCAUGCAUUUUAACUUCAUCUUCAGCAUCACCGUCCAACAAUAAGCAUGAAGAUUUGAGAUUGUCGAUCAACCGAUGCACUCUACUCCUUGCUUCUUCCAAUGUGUAAACAUUUUCAAACAAACCCCAACCCACGCCAUAUCUCAAUAAGUCAGAAACUUCUAUGGCAUCACCUUCACUGUACAGACCACAAAGACGGAACAAAGAUUUUGCCUCCGCACUUUCCAAGAAGUCAUAACUCAAUAUUAUGGAGGUGUACACAUUUGCUUGCAUGCCAUGAAUUUCUCUUGCAUCCGAUCUUCUUAGCUGAUUCAAUGCAUCUUUCCAAAAGUCAAGCUCCUUAGUUUUCAGAGCAUUUGCAACUGUACUCAGUGCAACAGGCAAACCUCCGCAUCUUUCAACGAUCUCAUUUGCCAUACUUUGAAAAGCAGAUAUUUUAGUUGAAUCACCCACUAUCUUCUCAAAUAACUGCAAUGCUUCUUCUUUUGAUAAAGCAUCGAUCCAGAAAAUUUUCUGACAAUUCAUAUCAUUGCACAAUAAAUCUCGACUUCUAGACGUCAAUAUUAUUGUGCAUCUUCUCUGAUCAUCCUCUCUAUCUUUCUCAUCAACAUCUCCAGAAGGAAUUCCAACCGCAUCCAACUCAAGUUUUGUCCAAAUAUUAUCCAAUAUAAUGAGGACCCGCUUCUCUUGCUUCAACCUUUCACGCAGUCGAGAAGCUCUAUGGUGUAUACUAUCAUUCAAGUCAAAUUUCAUGCCUAAAUCAGAAGCGAGCUUGUCUUGAAUUUUCUGGGGAUCUGGGUUCUGUGUUACCUCAGCCAUAACGACCUUAUCGAUCAACUUAUCUUCCAUCACUUUCUUAGCAACUUGCUUGACUAGCGUGGUUUUACCCACGCCGCCCAUGCCGUAGACCCCAAUUAUGUUGAGCUUAUCAUCCUUCAACGCCUCCAUAACAUCCUGAAAUACUUUCAUUCUUGAAUCAAAGGCCUCGUUAUCUUUCCCGUCAUUAAGUCCUGUGCUCUUUGGAGUAGGACGGUAGGAAACAUUAGAGAAGUUGCCUUUUCCCACGAGACCAGCGGCAGCUUCUGCGGCCUUUGCUGCUUGUUUACUAAGCUUGUAACGGGACAUCAAAUUUGGGCACAAUCCUUUGAAGCAGAACUUCUUAGCUCUUUCUUCAUCAUCAAUGAUGGAUUUUGCAACCCCUUCACUUAUGAAUUCAUCAACGCUAUGUAGCCAGUCUGUGACACCCUCAUAAAGCUCAUCCCCUUGUAGCCUAGCAUGAUUAACUGGUUGCUGCACCGUUUCUCUUUUAUAUCCCAGCUGCUUUACUUGAUCUUUUAGAUCAUCUAUGUAGCUCUGGUACUUGAACACAUAAGAUAUCUGCCGUAUAAUCGGUUUGAACAAUGACUUUGCACCUUCUGAUACGAUGCUGGAGAAAGCUGCAAGACCCACCUCUGCCAUUGCCUGCUGCUUAACAAAUCUAAUAAAAUGUCAAAGAAAGGAAUUCAAAUAAAUUAAAAUGAACUAGAGGGAAAGACAAAAAAGGAAAAGGCAGUAAACAGUGUCGCAACAUUGAUCUUGAAUCAACUGAAACAUGAACAGAGCAUUUUUUCUUCUUUGUUAAGGAUCAGAGUUUUUGCUAUUAACAAAACCUACUUCAAGCGUCUUAAAAAAAAAAACUGUAAAUUUACCAUAAAUGAACAAUAACUACAAAACUCAAGCAAAACAAGCCACAGAAUUUUUAUCUUGGAAAGUGGAUGGAAUUAAGAAAGAAAUGCUAUAAAGAUCAAGCAUCAGAGAUUAUGCUAUUAAAAGAAAUUAAUUGAAGGUUUUAGAUCAAGUGCGCCUAUUUAAUUAUGUGGGGUCAGAAAGUUGAUGAGCCUCUGUGAUCGCCUUGAAUAUUUAAGAGCAAUUUCAAUGAGCAAAAAAUUUCUGUUACCUGCAGAGGAAUGUGAUUAUAGAGAGCUUAUAGGGUAAUGACAAUGAUUUGGAAAAGAAGAAGACUUAAUCAUGCAGCCCUUAAUAUUUAUUAAAUGACUUGUGAUCAUUUCUUUUAUGAAUAAAAUGCCAAUAGCAAAAAGAGAAAAAAGGGCGAAAUUUACUAAGUCUUAUUUUAUUUUUAAUUUCUUUUAUUUCCAUUCGCCGAAGAGGGAAUCUCUCCCUCUUUUUGUUUUUUUUUAAGGGGAAUCUCCUUACCUAAUAUGACAUAAUGAAAGCAAUCUGUAAAUAGUCAUAUAAUGUAAUAAUUAAAAAUACCCACAUAUUUAUAAUAUUAAUGAUGGGAUCCAUGUGUUUAUACUAAUUAAAUUGGUGGACCAGAAUUUAUUUGACCGUACUUGUUUUCUAUUUAAUUAAGAUUGAAACGAUAGAGAAAAAUUGUCGUAUUGAUUGUUUCGAUUGUGGAGUUCCAACACUGAAAGUGAAGAUUUCAUCAACUUUCUCACAUGGACACGUACCGUCAUGCAUAUUGCAUUAUUUUCCUAGAAAAGCAAGAUUAAUUCUUUUAAUAAUUGUGAAUUCAGGAAAACAGGUGGAUAAUAACUAAAAUAUUUAUUUUUAUAUUUUUGAUAAACGCACUCACUAUUAAUAGAAUUCAUUAGAUAUCAUAACUUAAAUAACUUUUUGUGAUUGAUUGAGGGUAUCUUUUACUUCCCAAUAAUUAACUUCUAUGUUGAUUCUCAGAAAAUUAAUUUUACGAAUAAUUUAGUAGGGUGUUUGGUAAAUGAUGAUUAUUUGACAAUCAGUUUUCAAAUAGUCUACUAUACAAAUUUGAUAAGUGAAAAUUGAAAGUGUAAUAUUCAUGUGCAAUGAUAAAAAUGUACUUGUUUGCUUAUUUGUAGCUUAUUUAGAAUAUUAUUAUUAACAUCAUUUUUUUAUUUACUGGAUUUUUAAAGAGUAUAUUCUACUUUCUUUAUUACAUAUCUAUAUCAUUUUUUUAUUAACUAUUUUAAUUUGCAAUAAAACUAACUUUAAUAUUUUUUAACUAAAAAAUUCAUGCUAACAUAUUAUUAAAUUGAUUAAUAAAUAAGUGCAAAAAGAAAAUGCAAAAAUUUAAUCUUUAUAUAAACUUUUAUGUACAUAAAACUAUUGCAAUCAAAGUAGUUCAUAAAAAUAAAAUAUUCUAUACAUGUGUGUAAAAAAAAAAUAUAACUACAAUAUUGUCCACUCAUUAAAUUUGCAGCACUAUUAUUUCUCAGUCUCCCCAUCUCUCGACCUUUACCUUUAGGAACAUUAACACCAUGAUCUUCUUCUUGAAUUCGACCUCCAUUUCCACAGUAUCAACAAGGCGAUCAAUUUGCUGUGACAGCCUUUCAACUCCUCCCACUUUCCUCCCUUUUGAGGCCGCCCUUUUUCUUUUUCUUUCUUUGAUAGCUUCAAUGGGAACAAACUCAUCUAACGACAAGUACAUUCUUCAACCACAGUAGAAUUGGUUGUUGAUAUUUUACUACUCUCAUAUGGUAUGUAAACAUGGUCACCAGUGAUUGUUAUAUUAAAAAAAAAUUCUAUUCAAUUUUUCCUCUGACUUUGUGUCGAUACCUUUCAUGCAAAAUCUAUUUGCUUCAGAAAUUUCUUCCGUAUGUUGAUAUCAUAUUAAAGUGAAUUCAAGAUCCUAUAUUAUUUUGCAUGACAUCAAAGUUUAGCCGAAUGGUAAAGAAUUUCCCUUUUUGUUUGUCCCACAACUAUAUAGUCUCAUUUUUGGCAAUAAGCUCACAAUAUGCACGGAAAUGAAGAUUUAUUAAAAACUUCCCUAUAAUAUUAAACACUAAACAAUAUCACUAUAACCAAAGUUGGCUGGUGUGAGUGGUUCGGCACUCUCACUCCUUAAGAGAGGUCAGGGGUUCAAGCCCCGCUCUCGUAUGGAGUCACCACUUUGGCCAGCACUUUACCCCUUAUGGGCCGACCCGGUGCGAGCGGGGAUUAGUCUGGGUUGUGGUACGGGCUUAAAGGUGCCUCCCACAGUUGGGGCCCACUCAGGACCACCUCGUGGUUCAGACCAAAAAAAAAAAAUAAACAAUAUCACUAUGUUGUGCAUAUGGUGCCUCGUCAACAAUUUGAUGUUCAUUUUGUUGCUCGGGUGAAUAUGACUACUUGGGUUGCGAGUCCAUGCUUUUGUCGUUUGGAUGGAGGACGGGCCAUCUUUUUAUUUUAGAUGGUUUGUAGGACUUUUGAUAAUUAUUUUUCUAAAACUGAUUUCUGGUUAAUAAGACCUAUGAAAGCAUUCGAAGAAGCCACCGAACUCAGAGGAAAGCCAUGGUUAAAUAUACUGCGAAGUAUGUGAGCUCGUUUUUUAAUCUCUUGAUCACUCAUAAGCUUUUCUAUACCACUCACUAUAUCAUCCUUUUGAAUCAAUUUUGAUUGAUCAUCAGAGAUCAUGUACCCACCUUGAGAUGAUUGAUCACAAAUUUGGCAUUGUAAUGUUGGUCACCUCUAAUUGGCCAUGCUAAAAUUGGGACUUGACAACCAAUUGUUUCACUGUUGAAUUCCAUCCACAGUGAGAUAAAAAUUCACCCGUUGAUUCAUGUCCCGCUCUCUUAUGAAGUCACCACUUUGGCCAGUACUUUACCCUUUAUGGGCCAACCCGGUGCGAGCGGGGAUUAGUCUGAGUUGUGGUACGGGCUUAAAGGUGUCUUCCACAGUUGGAGCCCACUCAGGACCACCUCGUGGUUCAAACAAAAAAAAAAAAAUCCACCCGUUGAUUGAUGACUCAAUAUCAAUAAUUGUGGGGCUCAUCCAUCUAUUAUCAAACCCGUUUCACCGACUUUAUUAUCCAAACCACUACGAAAAUAACUGCCUUCUACUGGUUUGUUCAAAUGACGUAGAGGAUCCAAUCUACCUGCACCACCUUGAAUUACCCAAAUAAACGGUCGAUUUGAUGCUUCUAAAGCAUUGGCUAGUACUAGGUACUCAUCUAAGGUCGGAUCCACUUCAGUACCAAAUGACACAUAUAACACAGAUCCGCGUGAUUUCAAAUUCAAUCAUUGAACGAUCUCAUCUUCCGUCAUGUUAGAACUCCGCCGGUUGGUUCUCAUCUCAUGAUCAUGAAGCACUUAACCGGCCAAUUUGUAAAAUUGUUCAGGUAACAGUGGGCCCACUCCCCACAUCGGCUUUCUCAAUUCAUUGGCUAAAUAAUUAUAAAUGGUCCCUCAAGACCAUCACACGUGUUGAACAUCAACGCCAUUGAUCCCUCCGCUUCCUUCAUCCAGUGUGGUUGAUCACCGGCCUCUGGUGGACCUAUUUUCUCGGAACCAGGUGCACCUCUCAGAGGUGGUGGACCACCAGGAGGGUGCCCAUGAGGCCUUGUUUAAGAUUCGAUUCAAAUAAAGCCAUAUCCUCGGGUAACCCAGGAAGUAAAUGGGCCUCUCCCGGUUUGACAUCUUGGAUGCGAGCCUACCACAUGGCACACUCCACAGCUGCCGAGCAAGCACCAGAAGUGAAGAACCCAACAAUGGGAACUUCAAAAAUCUUGAAAACAUCAGCCGUCCAGCCCAUCAUAACGUCGAUGACUGCACAAACGGGUCGGCUUUUGGGUUCCCGGGUUGAAAGGAGGUUUCGAAGGCCUUGAAGCAUUUGGUUGUGCAUGACAACAUGGGGGUGAGGAGACGAAGGAGGGUAUUUUAGUAAUUUCAAAUAGAGGGUAUUGGUGAAGAGGGGAAGGGGUGAUGCUGUGUUGAAUCAAAAUAGAGUAAAAACUCUAAUUGAUCAAGAAGAAGAAAAACACUCUUUAGAAUAAUCUCACAAAAUUGCAAAAGAGAAGAACUCUUAAGAAAACUUUCAAAUGCUUAUAAUAAAGCUUUGAUUGUUAAAUUAUAAAACUCAAAUACAAAUAAGGUAUUUAUAGGUUACAAGAAACAAUCUAAACCACUCAUUAAAAUAACCACAAACUAAUUUAAACCAUUGAAAUUAAACAUGAGAAAAAUACCUAAUUUUCACCUAACUAAAUUGAUGUAAGCAAUGACAUCAAAUUAAUUUGGGUGUGGACUUAUUUGGGCUAAUAUUGACUUCUCAACACUCCCCCUCAAUGUUAGCCCAAUUCUUUGAAUCACGCCAAGCUGACGACGGAAAUGUUCAAACUUUCCAACACUCAAGCUUUUUGUAAACAAGUCCGCAGUUUGCUCAUCUGUCUUGACUUGCCUCAUCUCAAUCUCUUCUUGCAGAACUUUUUCCCUAACAAAGUGGUAAUGCACUUCCACAUGUUUAGUUCUUGCAUGAAAAACAGGAUUCUCCGCCAGCCGAAUUGCCGAUUGGUUGUCACAGUACAACAGAACUGCAUAAUCUACUGGUUGAUGUAGAUCAUUCAUUAGUUGUAUCAGCCACGUGCUUUCUUGAGCUGCCAUUGCUGCUGCUCGGUACUCUGCUUCCGUAGUUGACAAGGACACAGUCGGUUGUCUCUUGCUACACCAAGAAAUCGUUCCAGAUCCAAGGGUAAACAUAUACCCAGUAGUUGAUCUGCGAGUAUCGUGAUCUCCUGCAUAGUCAGCAUCACAGUAGCCAACUAGUUUGUAAUUUCCACCUUUCUUGUAUAGAAGACCAUAGUCUAUUGUACUCUUCACAUAUCUGAGUACUCGCCGAACCGCUUCUAAAUGAGACUUCUUCGGAUUUUGCAUGUAUCGACUCAUCACACCAACUGCAUAAGAAAUGUCAGGUCGAGUCAAGGUUAAGUAGAUUAGACUACCCACUAAUUGUCGAUACAUCGAUGCAUCUUCCAGGUCUUUGCCUUCAUGUGCACACAUCUUGGCAUUUGGUUCCAUCGGCGUUGAGAUCGGCUUACAUUCUAGCAUCCCAAACUUCUUCAACAAAUCUUUGGCAUAUUUCUGUUGACAAAGAAAUAUCCCUUCUUUCAUCUGAUCAACCUCUAGCUCAAGGAAAUGCUUAAGUUGUCCAAGUUCUUUCAUUUGAAAACGAACUGACAAGUUCUCCUUUGUUCGGAAAAUUUCUUCAAUAUCAUCUCCAGUGAUGAUUAGAUCAUCUACGUACACGAGCACAAUAGCUAUCCUUUCUCCAUUAGCUUUAGCAAACAAGCUGGAGUCUGCAGAUGUUACUGAAUACCCACUUUGAGUUAGAAAUUCAGCAAUCUUGCCAUACCACGCCCUGGGUGCUUGUUUUAGUCCGUAGAGAGCCUUUUGCAGCUUACACACAUACUCAGGAUGACCUCGGUUCUGAAAACCCAUCGGUUGAAUCAUGUAGAUCUCCCGAUCCAGCUCUCCAUGGAGAAAGGCAUUCUUCACGUCCAUCUGCCACAAGUUCCAGCUUUUGUUGGCUGCAAGUGCAAGUAAGACUCGGACGGUUGUAAGUUUUGCCAUUGGACUAAACGUUUCGUCAUAGUUUAGUCCAUAUUGUUGAGAGAAACCACGAGCUACCAAUCGAGCCUUGUACCUCUCGAUUGACCCAUCUAGACGGUGCUUUAUUUUGUAAACCCAUCUGCAGGAUAUGGGUUUCACAUCUUUUGGCUUUGGCACGAGUUCCCAGGUCUGAUUUUGCUCAAGUGUAGUGAUCUCGUCUUUCAUAGCUGUCAUCCACUCAGAACUCUGUGAUGCUUCUUCGAAUGUCUCAGGUUCUAUUCCAGUUGCUUCUUCAACUAUGGCUGCAUUAGCGUAUUUGGGAUUUGGCCUUCGGGUUCUUGUUGACCUUCGUAAUGGAGUUGAUUCUUCCGUUUCACUAGGCACACCUUCUUCAUCUGGUUGUCGAUACACCCCAGAUUGCCAAGGAUUUAGAGUUACUCUUCGUUCGCUAUCACUAUCGCAUAGAUCCCCAGCUGAGCUUAGAUGAAUUUGGACAGUAUGCUCCCCCAUCUUUUGUUGUAGCAUGUCUUCGAAUUCUUUCGAGUCUGGCAGCACUUCUUUUUCUGAGGUCCACCAUGAGGAUGCUUCAUCAAACACCACAUCUCGUGAUGUGUAGCACCUUUCAUUUACUGGAUCACAACACUUCCACCCUUUUCGCUGGUUGUCGUAUCCUACAAAGAUACAUCUGACAGCUUUCUUAUCGAUCUUGCUACGUAGAUGGUCAGGAACAAAUACAUAGCAUACACAGCCGAAUACUCGAAGAUAGCUAACUGUAGGUUUCUUGUUCCACAAUUUCUCAAAGGGUGAAACAAACUCCAACCUUGGUUGAGGAAGCUUGUUGAUGACAUGAGCUGCAGUUCUCAUACCUUCGGCCCAAAAUCUUCCAGGUACAUUCUUCGCAUGUAGCAUACUCCGGUAAAUUUCAGCAAGAUGCCGAUUCUUCCUCUCUGCUACACCAUUUUGUUGUGGCGUAUUAGCACAAGUAUACUGAUGACGUAUUUAGCAUUCCCGUAGGUAUUGAGAAAACUCUCUCGAGCUAUACUCACCCUCGUUGUCUGUGCGCAAGCAACGAAUCUUUUGCUCCACUUCUCCUUCGACUAUCUCUUUGAACUCUUUGAACUUUGAGAAUGCUUCAGAUUUUUCUUUCAUGAAGAAAGCCCAUACAUAUCUGGAGAAAUCAUCAAUGAACGUAACCAUAUACCACAUUCCGCCAAUUGAUGGUUGCUUAACGGGUCCAAACACAUCAGAGUGAAUUAACUCUAAUGGUUUAUUUGCUUUAAACUUCGACUCCUCGUAUGGCAAUUGAUGUGCUUUACCAUAUUGACAUCCCGCGCAAACAAUAUUUGUUCUCACGUCAAGUUGAGGAAGUCCUUUAAGCAUCGACUUCUUCACCAUCACACUUAGCUUGGAAUAAUUAACAUGACCUAGCCGCAUGUGCCACAGAUCUGCCGUCUCAUUCCUUCUUGUCUUGUCUACGUAUGCAGACUCAGCUGACAUCACAUAAACUGACUCCAAUUGUCGUCCCUCCAUCGUAGGCUUUUCUGAGAUCUUUAAGUCUCGGAAUACCUUCACAUUUUGUGGACCAAACAAGACAUAGUGGCCUGAUGAUGUCAAUUGAGCUACGGAUAGCAAAUUUUUCUUCAUUCCUGGAACAUGGUAGACAUCUUGAAGUGGCACUUGGUUGGGACUAUAUCGAGGUGUAACGAUCGCUUUACCGAUGUGAGCUAUCGGUAACCUUGAGUUGUCAGUUGUUACCACCACACGAUUUCCCUUGUACUCAGAACAAUUUUGCAACUUCUGUCUAUCACCCGUCAUGUGAUUUGAGCAGCCUGAGUCUACGAUCCAAUCAUUCUCGUAGUUAAUCUUUUCUGGUGUUGUUACCGUGAGAGCUAAUUCUUCUUCCUCCAUAGCGAGUAAUGCUUCGGCAUCCCAGUUAUCUUCACUAUCUUCUUUAGAACUAGAAGUAGCAAUAUUGCUUUCGGUAGACUUCUUUUUGGACCAACAAUCUCUCUUCAUGUGGCCCUUCUUCCCGCAAUUGUAACAUUCGCCAUCAAACUUUCUAUUACUGUCGCGAUUCUUCGAAGCUCCCCCUGGACGAGAGCCAUUCCCUCCCUGAUGACUUUUUGUCUGUUCACCAGUCUUUCUAGAUCCGCCUUUGUUGUGCUGUCUUGAACCACCUCUGCUUUGGUUGGUGUAAAGCGCUUCCUCUUCACCCUUUAGUGAGACUCCUCCCAUUUUCUUGGCCAUAGCUUCUUGGCCUGUCAGCAAAUUUUCAAACUCAACAAGUGAUGGUUGUGUCGGCCAUCCUUGCACAGCGGCUACAAAGCUUCGGUAUUCGGGUCUCAAGCCAUGGACAAUUAUUCUUUUUAUCCUGGCUUCCCCAAUAGCAGCUAUUGGAUCUAAUUCUGAAAUUUCACGGCAUAUCGACUUCACCUUGUGAAAGUAUUGGGCAAUCGCCAUGUCGCGUUGCGCCAUUGAUAGAAGUUCAUUCUCGAGAAGUUGCAAUUUUGUAUCGUUCCUCUUCGAAAAGAGUGUAGCGAAGGUGUCCCACGCUUCCUUCGGUGAUUUAGCAUCCCGAAUGUGCUCCAACAUUUCUUCUUCUAUUGUGGUCUUUAAAGCAAACAUUGCUUUGCCUGCUUUAAUUUUCCACUUCCGCAAGACGCCGUUAGCAUCUUCCGCUGCCGGUUGUGUAACUUCACUACCACCGACAACCUCCCACAAGUCUUGACCUUGAAGGUAAGACUCUAUACACGUUGCCCACGUGUUAUAGUUUUGGUUGUUGAGCUUUUUGAUUCCUCCAACAACUUGAAGAUCACCCAUCGUAUCGGUAUCGACAAGACUUUGACUACACCGAACAAGCUUGAGUGACUACCGUGCAGAGUAAUACACUACUCUUGACACAAAGAAGCUCCCUCUCAAGGUUUGUGAUAACCCCAGCAAUAAUCUCAAGAAAUCUUUUCUGAUGUGGAAGAUCAGUCAAAACUGCAACCACAGAGCAUACUCGGAAUUUCAAGAGACUUUACAACCAAUGCUCUGAUACCAAAUGUUGAAUCAAAAUAGAGUAAAAACUCUAAUUGAUCAAGAAGAAGAAAAACUCUCUUUAGAAUAAUCUCACAAAAUUGCAAAAGAGAAGAACUCUUAAGAAAACUUUCAAAUGCUUAUAAUAAAGCUUUGAUUGUUAAAUUAUAAAACUCAAAUACAAAUAAGGUAUUUAUAGGUUACAAGAAACAAUCUAAACCACUCAUUAAAAUAACCACAAACUAAUUUAAACCAUUGAAAUUAAACAUGAGAAAAAUACCUAAUUUUCACCUAACUAAAUUGAUGUAAGCAAUGACAUCAAAUUAAUUUGGGUGUGGACUUAUUUGGGCUAAUAUUGACUUCUCAACAUGCUGGUGGCGGAAAUGUGAGAGGGAAUGGUGAGGGUAGAUUUGUAAUUACGAGAAGCGAUUUGCUUGCAUAAUUUAAUGCAUGGAAAUAGAUGUCCCUGACCAAAGAAUGGGACAAUCCAAAUCUCGGCCUCAGCAGCGCUGCAGCAGUAGCAACAGAGCUUGACAUCUUUUUGAAUUAUUUGAUACUUAAUUGUUACUGUUUGCUUUUACCAUCUUUCAUAAAACACUCUUUGUUAUAUAUAAAGGGAUGACUUAAUGGAGAAGUAAGUGUUUUAGUUUUACAGUUUUACUAGUAGGUGAGCUCGGAGUUUGAUAAUUUGAUUGUUAGUUUUAGUUGGUUAGUUAUGAGAAAGCAUCUUUAAGAAAAUUCAUUCCAGUUUCAACUAAAAUUAAUAAUAUUGUUCAAAUUAAUUACUCGAUAAAUAAAUAAUUAGAGAUAAAUUUAUCCCUAAUCUCACAUUUAUAAAAUAAGGAUUGAAAUAAGUUUUUGUGGGUUCGAACUCAAGCCCUCAAGUCGAGCGGCUGGAUCUUGACUACUUUGACUUAAUUAUUAUUAUUAUUAUAUAUAUAUAUAUAUAUUUUUUUUUUCAUUCUGUCACGGAACAUCUUUUGUUAUAUAAUGAAGAAGAUAAGUUGACGAAGAAGAGUUCUACUUUUACUAGUAGAUGAGCUUUGAGUUGACAACGUUAGUUUUAGUUAGUGAAAUAUCUACCAUCCAAAUCAACGUUCUUUAGACUAUUAUUCAAGUGAGAUGUCUGAGUAACAUACGCUUGAGUUGGUCGGUGCCUGGCAAUUCGUGUGAUACAUGAAACCAACCGAUAUGAAAACCAAAUCAAGUUGGUAGGAUUACAUUAAUUUAAAUUAACUUUCAAGUUCUAAUAUUAUAAGAUAAAUAAAUAGCAUAAAAUAAUUUUUAUUUUCAAGUAAAUAUGUUUAUCGUUUAAAAAUUAUUUUUUCUUGCGGUAAAUGCAACACUAAAUAAGGAGUGAAUAGGGUAAUUUGUAGGGUAUACCCCCACCUUUUAUUUCAUUUCAUUAUUAAAAAAUAAAGGCUUGAUUCAACAUUCAAGUAAAAUUAACAAUUCCAUGAUAAAAUUGCUUGAGAAUAAGAAUUAAAAUAAAAAAAGAAAACAGCAACUCAAAAACGACAUACAAAUACCGCAUAGAGGUUUUUCGUCGCAAGAUAUUUUUGGGUUGAGCAACACUUGUAUAACAGAGCAUACAGACUGAAUGACGGUGAGAAUAAGAAGGAAAACGGCGCCACACACCGAAAUGCCAGCCCAUGGAGUAUUGAAGUAAUUUUGUUUCAAGUUUGCCCUCCAUUUGUAGCACGUUCUUUUGCAGUGAUCAUUCAAUCCUUUGCAUAGCCCAGAAAAAUAGAAGCUAUCAGACAGCAGAGUAGUACCUCUAGAAAGGUUAUUUAUAAGCAUUGACGCAGUCUCUUUAUCCGGCAACCGGUUCUCAAUGAUUCCGUUCUGAACAAGCAACUCGACGUCCUUCGCUGUGUUCACGAGAUGAUGAAUAAGGAACACAUAAUCAUUUAUGUAAUUCUCUGAGUAAUGCCGUUGUUCAAAGGCAAUGAGAUUACGAAAUAAGGAUUCCGUUUCCAGCUGUAGCUUCAGUUUCGGAAUAUGCAAUGUCCUGUUUUUGAAUUCUAUGGCGAACAAAUCAUUGCUCUUGCUCAAACUGAAGUGGACUCCAGCUUGGUGGAGAUCAGUCACACUUGGUGCGGUUUUGCCUUUGUGGUAUUGCUGACCUUCUUGUUUUUCCUGAUUCCUCGAUGAUGGUAGAUGACAAAUCCUUAGAAAAUCAAGGAAAUGCUCGACCCUAACCUCAGUGUAAGGAGGGAAUUUUUGCUGAUUACCUUGUACUGCCUCUAAACCCUUGAAAUACUCGUAUGUGACUGUGAUGAUGGUUGGAUUUUCAUGUUGGUCGGGGAUUUCAAUAGCAAAAAGAUCCUCAAGAAUGAAGAAAGGAAGCUGAUUCUCAAGCAACCACAUAUCAUACCAUAUAUCCUCUAUUAAAUAGGGUUUAAGAAAUAUAUAAUCAUCUUUUUUUUGAAGUUGACGGAAAUGAUGCCUCAAUAAGAGUUCAAUGAUGAAGGCAGCAUCCAGCAGAAUCAUUUCAACAAAUUUAUCACUACUUAGUUCGACUUUUUCUGCAUAAGAACCUCGUAAUUCUGCUUCUCUGAGCUUUAUAAUUUGAACAAACUCGUCAAAGCUUAUUUUGGUCCGUUGAAGAAAGUAACGCAGGUACCGCUGUUUAUGUUCUUCCAUGAACUGUAAGUUUGCUUUGCCAUGGUGAAGAGGGCCAAUUGAGACUACCUGAGCUGUAUAUGCCUUUUCAUUUAUCUGACGUAAUCGCUCCGGAACUCUGUAGAUGCAGCAGUUUGAGGGCAAUGGUGAUAAUUUUUCCAACUUAACUUGCAAGCACUCUUCCAUGUUAUAAACUGAAAACAUGGCGCGAAAUUUGAUCAAUUCACUAGUUUAUAUAAUAUUCUUGAACCUCAUCUUAAGCAAAGCAACAAAAGCCUUCACUGUUUCUUAACAACUUUAUUGCUCUAACACAUAGCAUAACAUUUUUAAAUUUGCAUAAAGCACAAUAGUACUUUAGUUUGUAACAACAGCACAGAUAAUAAAUAGCAUUUUAUAGCUUUAACAAAAGCAUACAAAAUUCUUAAACCUUGUUUCAAGCAAUUCAUUAAUGCCACAAGGAUGUCUUUUUGCUUCCUACAGUUUUUAUUGAAAUUCAUAUAUUCUUCUUUAUCAAAUUAAGUAAUUUUCCUUUUUCAAAAAAUCAAGAAGGUUUCGACUGCAUGGAAAUACAGCACACAAUUACUACUAUUCCCGGAGUAAGAAAUUCAUAAAUGCAAUAUAAACAUACAUUUUCAUAAGACAUCAGAAUCAAAGAAUCAUCAAUGCAUCAAAUCUGUACACCCAAAAAAGUUGAAAGCACCAAGAGAAAAUUAUACCGCAUGGACCCUUUACAACCCUUAUAACGAGUUCAGACAGCUACAAUGUGCAAUACAAAAUUUCCCAAUACUAUUUAGAACAAAGUCUAGAAAACAAAACUUAUAUAUUGUACAAAAUCAUGAAAACCAGAAAUGACAAAAAACCUGCAAAUGUAAUUUUUGGGUUUCUUCAACAUAUCUUCCAUCCAAAUCAAACAAGAAUCGAUAAAUCAACAACAUUCAUCUUUAAAUGACAUAUUACCACAAUAAAAUUGUCAACCAAGCCUCAUAUAAACCUUUUUUGUGUUUUGUGGUAAAUAUAUUUGUUAUUCUCUAAGAAUACUAGGGAAAAAAGAAACCCACUUUCUUAAUCAAGAAUCAAAUAAUAUAUAUUUAUCUAAGCUGAAGUAAGUCUUCGGUUUGAUGAAAUAGCUUGCAAUGUGAUUUAGAUUGGAAAGGAAGUUGAUUUUUGCUGGUUGAGAGAGAGAGAUUUGAGACUUAAGAGUGUUGCUAAUCUUCGAUCGUGUAAACAAGGGUAACUGGGUCAUAGUUCAAAAUAAGGGUCCAAAAUUUACUAAAGCUAUUAAGGAGCCCAAAACUCAUAAUGGCUUGCCCAAAAUAAAUAAAAUUUUCGAGCAUUAAGUUUUUGUUUCUUCUUGAGAUUUCCUUGCCGUACUUACCCAUAUUUCGAUAUUGCCUCCAAGUAAACUUAUAUAUAUUGAUUAACAAUAUAAACAAGCACUAUGAAGUUUUAGGCAUGAAAGAACAUUAGGAUUGAAAUGAAAACCAUCUAUUUAAGUAACAAAUUCUUCUGAUAAUUUGAUGCUUAAUUUAGAGCAGAGAUGACAUAUCAAUCACGUUAUGAUGUGGAAGUUAUGAUUAUAUUCAUCUUAAGAAUAAGAUCUUUCAGACACUGGCAGAUUAGUAUAAAAAAUACUCAGCAUAAGACCUACAAACUAGAAAUCACGCACCAAUUAUUGAACUCAGCACAUAAGUUGAUCUUUUAUAAGCUAUAAAACAAAUCUGCUAUAACAUAAGAAAGUGGGAUUUAUCACCAGACAAGUAUUUUGGUGAAAUUCAAGCUGACGGAAGGAUAUCCAAAGCAACCUCCUUAAGGGAAGGCAUCACUUCCUGCUGAUGCAAACAUGUAUAUUUAUUACUCACUUUCUUGAGGACCUUCUAGGAACCUGGGCAGCACCUAACAGAAAGUGGAAAAGAAUAAAAUGUAAAAUAUAAGUUAAACAGCAGGAAAACAGUGAGUGAUACUAGGCAAGCAUUAAUAUGUUGCCGCAGGAAAAGUGUCAGUAACUAGCUAGCAAACCUGAAAAGGGUUCCUCCAUUGUGACCCUUAAAAUUGUGAAUGUAAAAUAUGGUCUCCAUCACAGGAAAAAGUGUUUUGGAUAGUGCAGCCAGCUUAGGGUAGAAGAAUGACGGAUAAUCUUUAGCUCAUUUAAGGAAAUCCUCUCUGAUCCUUUCAUUGCACAUUCCAAAACAACUCUACUACAACCAAGUUACCAAUUCUUUUUGUUAAGUCAUUGUUAUUUGUUAAAAAAAAAAAAUCUUCCUUGCAACAUUUUAUUGAAAGAUAUAACAUGAUCAUCCCUACUAAUUCCCUUUUAGAUUUCUGUGAGUGAAUUUCAAAUUAUUGUAUUCAAAAAUAGAAGCAAAAGACCCACUUUACUUUCAAUUUCUGCAACAAGAUACCAAUUGAAGGACCAAAAAGUUGUAAACAACCAAUUCAAUGGGUGGGCAUCUAGAAACUGCUAUAUAGCAUCAAGAUCAUACUAAAUUUACAGAAAGUACGAUAAUAAUGAAAGAAUGGUGAAGGAUACACCCAGACCUUAUCCGGUCAAGUUCUCCAUUGAAUAUAAUCAGUUUCCGGGCAGUAUUGAAGACAACUUCUUUGUAAAGCUCUUCAACGACAAGCAUUUCUACAAGACAAAAGAAAAGCAAAAUUAAUUACCUUAAGGAAUGAAUAUCAAUGAGAAGACAACGUGUAAGACUACCAUUGACAUUAAAAUAUGGAUACGCGACUAGAAACAAUUCAUCUUCCGGCUUCACACGGUCUGCCUUUUUAACCUUCUCAGUGAAUCCAAAAUCCUCAAAGAAUGAAGGUUUUGUUAGAUAGUCCAACUUAAAUGAUGAUCCUUCAAAGACCUAUUUUCUUGCAAAUUUGACUUCAUUUGCCUCUGGGAAAAACUAAAAACCAAAUGACAGACCAAGAUCACAAAACGAAUCAUGAACAUAGAUAUCAGAUAAUCAGAAAUGGGCAUUAAACAGACUACUAACAAAUAGGAAAUGCAUACAGAAAACAUUAUUCAUACACCUUAUGCACAUGAAAUAUAUAUGCAGUGGGAUCCUCUUGUGAAUUUAGUUUAUAUCCUAAAAUGAGACAAUGAACAAUUGGAUGCCAUCUAAGGGCUAACAUUUGUUUGAUUAUUAUAUGAAAAAAAAAAACAAAACAGAGUUGAUUGAUGGCCUUUGAUGGAUUGCCUACACUCCUAAAGUGCAGAGAGCCUGAUUAAUUGCUUUACCUGCCCCCCACACACACACUUGAUUUUAUUAUCUCUCUUUUCAAAUAUAUAAUCAUUGCCUGUCUUUCAUCCUGAUCCAGCUCUCCUUCCAGGCACCAGCUGUGUUUUCUUCAAUUCAGUGAAGCAUUCACUUUCAGGUAAGAAUAAACUUGUCCUUCCUCAAAAAUCAGCUUCUCACCAUGAAGCUUUCUUUUUCAAAACAAUUACUAGUCUAGCAUAAUGCAUCUAAUUGAAGACAACUCAGAAUUGAAAAAGCCAUACUUUAAUGUCUGCUGUUGGGACCUCAAGACCAGGAAAAAAAAGCUUCUUUCUAACUGUUGGAUUAACAAGUAGAAAUAGCUUUUUUCUGAAGGACCCAACAUUGCAUUGAAAAAUUCAACAAAAGGACUGGCGUCAUAUUUAGUCCUGCUAGAAUUUUGUGCACUUAACACAAUGGUUAAUAAUUGGCCCAGCAGACACUUUGUCGAACUACUGGCAAACCUUGACUGUGGAAAUGCAUAUUUCAAAUGUUGGCAGACUCUAGCUUCUUGAUGUACUGUUGAUAAAAAUGCCUAUUUCAAAAGUUGGCAGGCUCAAACUGCCGAGACUUUGGUUUCUUACAUUUCAAACCCACAAAUAAAACUUUGGCAGAACCCCAGAAAGAGCUACACCUCCCAAAUUUGAUGACAUAUGAAGAGACCAUGCCUAGUGCUUGGUUCGGCAAAUGAGUAAGUUUGAAAUAAAUUGAGGGAAACCUUUCCCACAGAGAGUCAUUUUGAAGGUUACAAUUUGAAGACUUUGUCCCCUGUCGCCCGUAACCUUCUUUGAUCUCUUUUCUUAGUCAUGAAUAAUCAAACAUGUGUUAGUGGUUGGAUGCAAUCCACUCGCUGACAUCUCAUGUCCACAAUCAAUCAACCAUAUUUUAAUAGAAAUGGAAACAUUUUAAUUAAAAAAGAAUGAGAUAGGAACAAAAUCAAGCUUGGCAGACAUGGGUCUAUGAGAUUUUAAAGAUGCUUGGUGAAAGUCGUAUUCAAGAGUUCAACAAUCAGUUCCAUCACCUAUGGCAAAGUAACCACCGCAACUAAAGCAAUUACAAAACAUCAAGAAGCUUGAACUUGGCAAGAGGUCUCAUUAACAGUAUACCUCAGAAAUUAAGACAGAAUUAAAGUGCAAGCUUUUGGAUUUAUUUAAACACUGAAAAUAAUAUGGGUAGAAGCUCCUAUGGUCACAGCAAACAAUUACAAAGCACAAAACCCAAAAAACAGAUAUGCAAAAAGCUGCAAAAGAACAUUAUUAGCAAUUGACAUCUGCUUUUGCUCAGACAAAGGUUCUCAUAACAAAGGACUUAGUGAUUAUCUGUCAUAUGUUUAUGUUAAGGGGAAAAAAGAAGUUUGUUUUAGUCAAUCUCAUGUCUAUUGGCAUUCAUAAGGAGCCCAAAAAUAAAAGAAAAAAUAAAGAGUUAGUAGGUGUUUCUUGCAACACAAAGAAAAUUUAUCAUCCAUGAAAAACUUAGUAUGGAAAAAGCUAACUCAUUUAUCUGCCAAUGCAGAAAAACUUGUUGUCUACCCACUAAGGACCCACCAUUGGCAGGUCUGAUGGAUCCCAUGGAUGGGAACCACAAAUAUUUUAUUCUAAAUGACAUGGGUAUUGCACCCAUAUCAUUUAAUUUGUAGAUUCCACUGAUGGAACUCAUCAAACUUGCCAAAUGGCAAGUCCUCCGUGGGUAGGCGCAUCACUUCAGCAUCCUUCUCCACCGAUGACCAAAUCUGGACUCAUUUAAAAAGAAUACAAAGCAAACUAACUGACAAAAAUUGCAUAUAGAGGUCUAGGAGCCAAAUCAAUGUUGUUAACUCAUCCAAUUAAUACAUUCUCUUAGAGGUCAUACCUUGGUAACUCAUUUCAAAAGAAAUUAAAAGAAAAAUGACUGCACAAAUUGUACUGAGCUCAAGAAGACCUGUUCAAGGUGUUCACUUGUCCAACUAAUAAAAGUCAUCAAGGAUUGUAUCAGGGACUUGGGACCAAUCCUGCCUUAACGAGAGAAAGGGAAUUUAGGAUGAAGAAGAUAACCUCUUUUCCUAGAGCAAAUUAAGCUGGUAAAAUCUUGGCAGUUGCACUUGGGGCAGAAAUUAGUUCCACCUUGGUUUACAGGACAGAAAUUCGUCAUAUGCAUGUAUUUAUUUAUAUUUUAUACACAUACGCAUACAUGUACACACAAACACUACCUUCACUUUGAAGAAAAGAUUAAAAUAACACUGCUCACAUACACAAUACUUACUAUUCUAGUUCGUGUGACUUUCUCCGGAGUCACAAAUAGGUCAAAGAAUUCGCGUAUUAACCGCAUACUUCCAGUCAUUUCUAUUCCUCCUUCACCAUCACCUUUCCCACAAUUACAAAAAGUGAGAGGUAGUAACCAACAUAUUUGGGUUGUUCUUCGGUAAGGGGUGGGAGGUAAGGGUUAGUUGUGGAGGGCACCUGGUACAGAAUCAAGGCCAGCUGUUGGGAAUUUGAUCUCCUGUAACAUAUACUUGUUCAUCAUAAACUAUAUACUUAUUCUGCAGUCGAUGUGGGCAUAUAGCUCUUCAAUUAUCCAGUAAUAACUCACCAUCAACUUCCUGCCAUCCUUCAUGGCUAAUUCAGCAGCUAUUUUUGCCUGUUUAAAGGGCAAAAGCCCAAACUAAGCAGAUGCUCCUACUCCGAUACUUAUUAUCUAACUACUACAGAACAGAUGAUACACAUCAAGUUGUGUCAAGAGAGACACCAAGUUGUGUUUUCCAAGAGGUUCCAAAGAGGUUUUGUGUUAGAGUGCAAUUUAUGCACUAGUUUUGAAUUGUUUACUUCCUUAAUAUCGAUGUUUUGCACUUAAUAAUAGUGAUUUACUUGUGUUUUAUUUUUAUAGGUGCAAUUAUAUUGAUUGGUGCAAAAAUUGAGCUACAAGACGAUGUUUAAGGAUGAUUGUUCUCUUGGAGAAAUUAUGAGCGUCAGAAGAACUUUGUUGAUAAGGCGUGGGCGCGUGCUGUCAACUACGGACCUGCAGUUUUUAGUUUAACGUGUUUUGUAUUUUUGGUUAUUUUUAUAAUUACGAAUUUAAUAUUUCAGAUAUUAGUAUUUUAUUUUAAAUAGAACUCUAGAGGAGAAGAGAGAGAGAGUAUUUAAGGGAAGAAUCUAUUGUGAAAAAAGGGAGAUUUUUGGAAAAGAAAGAAACCCUAGAUCUAAAUUUUUCUCUUCUCUCCAUGAAGAACUAAAUCUAUUAUUCUGUUUGAAGGUUAAUGAAGCUUUUAUUCAUCACUACUGUGAGAUCUUUCUUAUGCUUUAAUUGUUUUAUUGCUUUUUGGGUAUUUGUUUAUUCUCUGAAUUAUUUUCAUGAUUAUGUUUGUUAAUUAGAUAAUUGGCUACUAUUUAAUUAUCAACUUAAUCUAUUGUCAAUUAAAGGAUUCAUCGUAUGAAGAUUUUAAUGUUUGUGACAAAUAACAUAGCAGAGAGUUGUGUUGUGAGAAUAAACAAUCUAAUUUAAAUGAACCAUCGUAUGUGUUUGUUGAUUAGGAUUUGGGUCUCUCUGGUUUUUCAAGCUGUCAAUUGAUUAAAUCCUAUGAUCGUAUCUAGGGUUAUCUAUUGAUUAGGGAAAUAACCAACGGUCAUACCUUGGUUAUCGACUAAUUAAGGAGAUAUUGGCUAUUAGAGGGUCUCAGUAGCUAUAACCGGUCUAUUCAUAAGUAGUAAUAAUUUAUAUUUGAAUCAAUGAUCAGUAGUCGAAUCAAGCUGAGUUAAUUCCUUCAACCAGAGCUUUCUCCAAUUUGAAUUACAACUUUAAUUUGCAUUCUUGUUAUUUUAAUUUGAUUGUUAUUAUUGUCACAAAACCCUCAUUUUAUAUUUUACGUUUUAAAAGGAUUUAAAUAAUUACCGAUCUCUGUGGACACGACUUUGCUCAAUCACUAUACACAAUUUAUUUAGAGUAGGUAUUUAUUUUUGUUGGCUUCGACAACCUUCAAAUUUUGGCGCCGUUGCCGGGGAUUGGUGUCAUUUAUUUAAUCCUUUUUACGUUUUACUUGGUGUAUGGUUCGUUCUUCUUGUACAGGUACACUUUCGUUUGAUCCUUAAAUUGAGAAGACAGCUCGCCAGCUGAGACAGCAGACGAAGCGAGCUAAGCAACGACACUCAUCGCCUUGCUUUCUGAAACAGAUACGGUGCCUGAUUUAGUUGAAUCAUCAAGCGAUUUAGAAGAACAAGUGAUGGAUAGAGCUGCACCUGUAGAAAGAACUCUUAGAGAGUUAGCCGAACCAGACUUGAAUCAGCAACCACUCUACAUUCAAUAUGUAGACUUGGAGGUAAAUUUUGAAUUAAAGUCUGGUCUUAUUCAUUUAUUACCCAAGUUUCAUGGUUUUGCAGGUGAAGAUCCUCAUAAACAUCUCAAGGAGUUUCAUGUUAUGCGUUCAAGUAUGAGGCCACAAGGCGUGACUGAAGAGCAAAUUAAGUUGUGUGCUUUUCCUUUCUCUUUAGAUGGGCUAGCUAAAGACUGGUUGUAUUACUGUUAGAGUGCAACUUAGCAUAUAAUUUUUUAGGCAAGAAAGAUCACUCAGGAGUUUUCUCUAAAACUGAAUUUUAUUUUAUCUGGUGCAUGUUAAAUGAUGUGAGGCCUAAUUUAGGUUUUUGGUUAGCAGAUCAAUUUCAAAGUGUGCUUAAACGGUAUAGGACUUUAUUUCUUGGUCCAUACAUUACUCUGUUAGCUAUAAACCUAUGUGUGCUUGAUCCUGACAAUAAUGAUUUGCAUCCUGCUUGCAAAAAAGAAUUUUUGGAUAUGUUUAUGUUUGAAAGAACAGGUGUGGUCGAAUUCAAGGAGCGGAGAUUUCAGUUUACUAAACCAGGGCCCACUCAACCUCCGAAGAAGCUUUAUGCUAGGAGUGGUGCUACCUCUGAUGACGAGUUUGACGACGACACUGCUGCCCCGCCAACUAUUCCUUCUACAUCCGCACCACCUUUGAGCAUUCAGUUAGAGAAAAUGGAGCACAAGCUGAAUAAGAUGGAGCAAAAUUUGGCCACAUACUUCGAGAAUGUGGGAUUUACCUCACCAUUUCCGCCAAGCCAAUAGACGUUAUGUGGAUCAAAGCUCACAAUUCAGGGAAGUUUUUUUUGCCUUUAAUCUUUUAUCCUUACGCUUUAAUUUUUAUGUGAGCUUUGAUUAUCUUACAUUGGGGACAAUGUAAGUUCUUGGUGUGGGGGAGGGAUUUUUGCAUUAUUGAUGUCUGGAAUUAUUAUUUUCACUCUACUCAUCUAUUUUCACUCUACUCGUCCUUAAAUGAUUUUGGAGUUAGUAUGCUUCAUAUAUUAUUAAUUUCCUUUUCCUUUCUCUCUCACUACUCUUUUCCCAUCUAUCUCAAAUUAUUUACAUCUAUUUUUUUUUCUAUCAUACUCUUUCAUCACUUACAUUUUAUCUUUCAUUUUUUUACUACAUACAUCUUUCUCGCUUAUUAUUUUUUUACCUUUCUUUUUAUAUCUCACUCAUACCUUCUUCUCAUUCUACACCACUCUUGAUGGUUGAUUCAUUUGAAGAGUGUACAUGAUUUGAUGGCAAAUUUACCAACUUUGUGAGGAUUUGAGCCUGUGAGCAACCACUUUGCUCUAAUUAUUUUUGUUAUGUGAAUAUCAAUCUUAGUUUGUAUAUUCUAGAACUUGCUUUGUUAAGCAUGUUGAAGCCACAUUACGGGAUUUUAUGCAUUAAAAUGAUAAGGGCAAACCAUUUACCAUUUUUCUAUUCUCGCAUUUUCUUUUUUCUCUACCCGAAGACCUUUAUUUGCUACCUUUGUUUGAGCCUUAACCAUUACCCAUCUAAUUCUUUCCAUCUACUUAACCAUUUUUCUUCUUUUUGAGCCUAAUUUAAGGAGAUAUUUGGACUCAUUGUGUGGAUAUAUUUUGUUGCUUUUUCUACCUUGUAUUAAAGUUUCUCAAUUAGAUCAACAAGCAUUAUGCUUGAAUUAAAUUGUGCAAGGUUCGUUUCUUUUGUUUGAUUAAAAAAAAACAACAAAAAAAAGGAAAAAGAAAAAAAAGUGAAAAAAAAAUCGAAAAAAAAAAUUGAAAAAAAAGGUUUACAUUCUUGGUGACUUGAGUAGAAAUAAGCAUUUUGAUAUCAUAAGUUCAUUCAAUGAGUUCAUUCUUCUCAUUUUGAUCUCUUUUUCUUUCAUAAACCUUUCUUUUUUAUUUAACCUAUUUAACUCCAUUACAACCCUUUUAAGACCCUUAAUUUUUUGCAUUUUAUUUAUGUUUUAUGGAUUGAGAUGUGAUAUAUGAGCAAGCUUAUGGUAAUAGCAUUCUUUGAUUUGAUUUGAGUGAAUAAAUGACACCCUAAACACUUUGAGUGCAUGGAGUGAAGUCAAUGAGAGGGCUAUUAAAUCUUGUUGCACUUGAAUUUUGAAUGGAUCUUCUUGGUGGUUGAAUGUUCUUAUUCUAUCUUAUGAGAUUCUAUGCUUUAAAAUCCUUGCCUCUCGAAUGUUGAUCGACUUAAAUUCUUGAGGUAUGCUUGCUUAAAAUUGUUUUUGGAUGAGUUGAGAUGAAAAUUGAGUGGAGAUUUGGGAUUAGUCUUGAGUUAUAUGCUUGAGGACAAGCAUCAUCUUGGUGUGGGGAAUUUGUUAGAGUGCAAUUUAUGCACUAGUUUUGCAUUGUUUACUUCCCUUAAUAUCGAUGUUUUGCACUUAAUAAUAAUGAUUUACUUGUGUUUUACUUUUGUAGGUGCAAUUCUAUUGAUUCUUGAUAAAAUUGAGUUAUACGAUGAUGUUUAAAGAUGAUUGUUCUCUUGGAGAAAUUUAGAGAGUCAUAAGAACUUUGUUGAUACGGCGUGGGUUCUUGCUGUCAACUGCGGACCUGCAGUUUUUAGUUUAACAUGUUUUGUAUUUUUGGUUAUUUUUGUAAUUAUGAAUUUAAUAUUUCAGAUAUUAGUAUUUUAUUUUAAAUAGAACUCUAAAAGAGAAGAGUGAGAGAGUAUUUAAGGGAGGAAUCUAUUGUGAAAAAGGAUUUGGAUUGGAGAAAAAGAAAGAAACCCUAGAUCUAAUUUUUCUCUUCUCUCUAGGAAGAACUAAACUUAUUUUUCUGGUUGAAGGUUAAUAAAGCUUUGAUUCAUCACUACUGUGAGAUCUUUCUUAUGCUUUAGUUGUUUUAUUACUCUUUGGGUAUUUGUUUAUUCUCUGAAUUAGUUUCAUGAUUAUGUUUGUUAAUUAGGUAAUUGGCCACUAUUUAAUUAUCAACUUAAUCUAUUGUCAAUUAAAGGAUUCAUCGUAUGAAGAUUUUAAUGUUUGUGACAAAUAACAUAGUAGUGAGUUGUGUUAUGAGAAUAAACAAUCUAAUUUAAAUGAAUCAUCAUAUGUGUUGAUUAGGAUUUGGGUCUCUCUUGUUUUUCAGGCUGUCAAUUGAUUAAAUCCUAUGAUCGUAUCUAGGGUUGUCUAUUGAUUAGGGAAAUAUCCAACGGUCGUACCUUGGUUAUUGACUAUUUAAGGAGAGAUUGGCAAUUAGAGGGUCUCAAUAGCUAUAACCGGUCUAUUCAUAAGUAAUAAUAAUCUAUAUUUGAAUCAAUGAUCAGUAGUCAAAUCAAGCUGAGUUAAUUUCUUCAACCAGAGCUUUCUCCAAUUUGAAUUACAACUUUAAUUUGCAUUCUUGUUAUUUUAAUUUGAUUUUUAUUAUUGUCAACAAAACCCCCAUUUUAUGUUUUACGUUUUAAAAGGAUUUAAAUAAUUACCGAUCUCUAUGGACACGACCCUGCUCAAUCACUAUACACAAUUUAUUUAGAGUAGUAAUUUAUUUUUGUUGGCUUCGACAACCAUCAAUUACUUGCCACCUGGAUCGAUUACAACAUGGAAUGGUUUGAAGAAGCAGUUCCUUGAGAAGUACUUUCCUGUUGUAAGAGCUGCCAACAUCAGAAAAGUCAUUUGUGGGAUCAGACAACUUCUUGGGGAGACUUUGUAUGAGUAUUGGGAGCGAUUCAAACAAUUGUGUGCCAGCUGUCCUCAGCAUCAGAUUUCUGAUCAACUUCUUAUUUAAUAUUUUUACGAAGGACUGUCAUUGAUGGACAGGAGUAUGAUAGAUGCUGCUAGUGGAGGUGUGUUGGUGAACAAGACCCCUACUCAAGCAAGGGAGUUGAUUGCAAAUAUGGCUGCCAAUGCACAACAAUGUGGCAGCAGGUAAGAUCUCACUUCAAGGAAGGUGAAUUAGGUAAAUAUUUCUUCUGUUGAACAACGUUUAGAUAAACUUACUUCUCUUGUGGAAAAGUUUGUUGUAGGUAAUGUGCAACAGGUGAAGACUUGUGGCAUUUGUUACAAUAUGGGUCAUUCAACCGAUAUGUGUCCUACAUUUCAAGAAGAACCCGUUGAACAAACCAAUGCAGUUAGAGGAUUUCCAGGCAUGCCUUAGAGGAGGUAUGAUCCUUAUACACAAACAUACAAUCCGGGAUGGAAGGAUCAUCCCAACUUCAGCUAUGGAGUUAGACCAUCAUGAUUCCCGCAACAGUAUCCACCAAGACAACCAGCACCUCCACAGUCAAACUCCAAGUCAGGUAUAUCUCUUGAAGAAAUUGUUAAAUCACUUGUGACUAACACUCAACAAUUUCAACAGGCAACUACAGCAAGCAUUCAGAAUUUGGAGAACCAAAUGAGUCAAUUGGCGACUACAGUGAGCCGUCUGGAGUCUCAAGUAUUAGGGAGAUUGCCUUCACAAUCUGAGGUGAAUCCAAAGUAAAACGUUAGUGCUGUCAUCCUUAGAAGAGGGAAGGAGUUGCAAGAUCCCAGUAAGAAAGUGACAAAGCAUGUAGAAGAUGAGUUUGAGAAGAAUGAAUUGAUGCCUAAAUCUCAAGAUGCGCAACCCACCAAAGCGAAACCCCUACCUAUUGUGAUACCUCCUCCUUUCCUAAGCCGGUUUGCAAAAUCCAAGAAGGAGGAACAAGAGAAAGACAUCCUUGAGACAUUUCGCAAGGUUAAGGUAAAUAUUCCUUUAUUAGAUGCUAUAAAACAAAUACCUCGAUAUGCUAAAAUCCUUAAGGAACUAUGCACCUCCAAGAGAAAAGUAAGAGGAGAUGAAAAAGUUCACAUGGGGGAGAAUGUUUCAGCAAUUCUCCAAAAGAAACUACCUCCUAAGUGCAAGGAUCCAGGUAUGUUUACUAUCCCUUGUAAAAUUGGUAGUGUUAGAGUUGAAAAUGCUAUGUUAGAUCUAUGAGCUUUUAUUAAUGUCAUGCCUCGUUCCAUUUAUUCAUCUUUGAAUGUUGGGCCAUUAAAAGAAACUGGCGUGAUAAUUCAACUAGCUGAUAGGUCUAAUGUAUAUCCUGAUGGGGUAUUAGAAGAUGUUUUAGUACAAGUUAAUGAGUUGGUUUUUCCUGCUGAUUUUUAUGUACUUGAUAUGGAAGAGGAUAACUCCUCUAAUUCUGUCCCAAUUUUGCUAGGAAGACCUUUUCUUAAGACUGCUAGGACUAAAAUGGAUGUACAUAAAGGGACUCUCACUAUGGAGUUUGAUGGAGAGGUUAUAGAAUUCAAUAUGAAUGAUGCCAUGAAAUAUCCUAGUGAAGAACAUUCGGUAUUUUCUGUGGAUGUUAUUAACCCUAUAGUGCAGGAAGUUUUUUACAAGAAAAAGACGAAGAUAUUUCAUGAUAGAAUGAUUUUGAGAAAGGAGUUCUUUGUUGGUCAAAAAGUUCUUCUUUUUCAUUCUGAGCUUAAACUUUUUCCGGGUAAAUUACGUCCUUGCUGGGUUGGACCUUUUAUUGUUACUAAUGUUUUUCCUCAUGGUGCAGUUGAGAUUCAGAGUUCGACCUCUGACAAAGUUUUUAAGGUUAAUGGUCAUCACUUAAAACCUUUUUAUGAAGGUUUUUCGGUGAAUAUUGUGGAGAAUGUGGCUCUCGAGAGUCUCAAUUAUGGAGAUUGAUGCAUAAACGUGUCUAGCCAAAGACAUAAAACAAAGGCGCUUUUUGGGAGGCAACCCAAAUGAUUUAUUUAUUUUGGUUUUUGUUAUAUCUUCUUUUAGUUUUGAUUCAGAUUAUUUUUUGAAAAAAAAUAAUGUGUUUGCUUAUUUUGGUCAGAAGAAAAUUUUUGAUAAGGCGUGCUCACGUCUUAACUAAUAAGUACUUCUGUGAUUUUUAAAGUAAAAUGGUUUUAAGGCGUGCCCACGUGCUUAUUAGAAAAGUACUUCUGAAUUUUUUUUUAGUGUCUCAAAGUGAUUCAUCACUAAAAAAAAAUGAAAAAAAAAAUUAUUUAUUUAUUUAUUGAUUUGAAAAUUAAAAAAAAAAGAAAAAAAGAGUUUUUUUCUUCUUUUUCUUCUUUUCUUUCUUAUAUAUAUUUAUUUAUUUUAAAAAAUAAAAAAUCACUAUUCACAAAUCCCUAAUUCAAAAAUUACUGUUGAUUAUCGUUUUCCAGCAGCGCGCCUCGGCUCCAGCCUUCACUGAGCAACCAGCAGCAGCAGACGAGCACGCUCAGCCCCAGCCGCAGCGCGCAGCAUCAGCCCUAGCCGCAGCACACAGCAUCAGUCCCAACCGUAGCGCGCAACGUAACGCAACCAGCGUCACCAGCGCAGUAGAACCAACCCCAACCCGUGCAUCAAGCUACAGCCGAGCAGCAAUCGUCCGCAACCCGCCUACGCACUGUAUUCCAACCGGGUAAAUCGAAAUCCGUGAGUGCAAUUAUUAUAACAAUGCCGAAGAGGAAAGCAUCAACUUCCAAGUCAUCUAAAAAGACACCCGUCGCAAAGAAGUCCAAGAUUGCCGCUCCCACUACGGUUCCAUGGAACACAGUUUCAGAUUCACGCCAAGCCGUGAGACAAAGAACGAAACAUGGAAAGGGCAUGAGUGUUUUACUACUUGCGGAAUCCAAUCUUGGAGGGGGCCUCGCAUUCACGACUCAACAAGAGAAAGAAAGGUACAAAGAUAUUUCCAAGCAAAAAAUACUUCCAGCUAAGUAUAUUCAUUACCCGACUCUUGAAAAAUUGAAUGUUAAGGAUAAUUUUGAUUCUUUGAUAGAUAAGAUUGGUUUGCGUAAGUUUGUUGAUGUUGAUUGUUUGAGUUAUGUUGAGUUGAUUAGGGAGUUUUAUGCUACUUUUCAAUUUAAUAUACCGUAUGAUUUUACUUUGCAUACCCCGGAUAUUAUAAAGUUUAGGUUAAUGGGAUGGAGUUUUUCACACUCGAUCAUAGAUUUUAACCUAGCUUUAGGAUUCAUUGAUGAUGAUUAUUCUUCUAGUGAUGCAUAUUUAGGAACAACUUGUGACUUUAGCGAAAAUUUUGAGCCUUAUGGUCUUUGGCGUAAUUUAUCUGUUGAUCACAAUGCCUAUAACCCAAGUAAAUCAAUGAGUUCUUUCUUACGUGACCCUGUUUUGAAAUGUGUGCAUCGAUUCUUAGCAUAUAAUUUUUUAGGAAAGAAAGAUCACUCAGGAGUUUUCUCUAAAACUGAAUUUUAUUUUAUCUGGUUUAUGUUAAAUGAUGUGAGGCCUAAUUUAGGUUUUUGGUUAGUAGAUCAAUUUCAAAGUGUGCUUAAACGGUAUAGGACUUUAUUUCUUGGUCCAUACAUUACUCGGUUAGCUAUAAACUUAUGUGUGCUUGAUCCUAACAAUAAUGAUUUGCAUCCUGCUUGCAAAAAGGAAUUUUUGGAUAUAUCUGUGUUUGAAAGAACAGGUGUAGUCGAAUUCAAGGAGGGGAGAUUUCAGUUUACUGAACCAGGACCCACUCAACUUCCAAAAAAGCUUUAUGCUAGGAGUGGUGCUACCUCUGAUGACGAGUUUGACGACAAAACUGCUGCCUCACCAACUAUUCCUUCUACAUCCGCACCACCUUUGAGCAUUCAGUUAGAGAAAAUGGAGCACAAGCUGGACAAGAUGGAGCAGAAUUUGGCCGCAUACUUCGAGAGUGUGAGAUUUAUCCCACCAUUUCCGCUAAGCCCAUAGACGUUAUGAGGAUCAAAGCUCACAAUUCAGGGAAGUUUUUGCCUUUAAUCUUUUAUCCUUACACUUUAAUUUUUAUGUGAGCUUUGAUUAUCUUACAUUGGGGACAAUGUAAGUUCUUGGUGUGGGGGAGGGAUUUUUGCAUUAUUGAUGUCUGGAAGUAUUAUUUUCACUCUACUCAUCUAUUUUCACUCUACUCAUCCUUAAAUGAUUUUAGAGUUAGUAUGCUGCAUAUAUUAUUAUUUUUCUUUUCUUUUCCUUCUCACUACUUUUUUCCCAUCUAUCUCAAAUUAUUCAUAUCUAUUUUUAUUUUACCAUAUUCUUUCAUCACUCACAUUUUAUCUUUCAUUUUUUUUCUACAUACAUCUUUCUCGCUUAUUAUCCUUUUUACCUUUCCUUUUAUAUAUCACUCAUACCUUCUUCUCAUUCUACACCACUAUUGAUGGUUGAUUCAUUUGAAGAGUAUACAUGAUUUAAUGGCAAAUUUACCAACUUUGUGAGGAUUUGAGCCUAUGAGCAACCACUUUGCUCUAUUUAUUUUUGUUAUGUGAAUAUCAAUCUUAGUUUGUUUAUUCUAGAACUUGCUUUGUUGUGCAUGUUGAAGCCGCAUUACGGGAUUUUAUGCAUUAAAAUGAUAAGGGCAAACCGCUUUCCAUUUUUCUAUUCUCACAUUUUUCUUCUUUUUCUCCACCCGAAAACCUUUAUUUGUUAUCUUUGUUUGAGCCUUAAACAUUACCCAUCUAAUUCUCUCCGUCUACUUAACCAUUUUUCUUCUUUUUGAGCCUCAAUUUAAGGAGAUUUUUGGACUCAUUGGGUGGAUAUAUUUUGUUGCUUUUUCUACCUUGUAUUAAAGUUUCUCAAAUAGAUCAACAAGCAUUAUGCUUGAAUUAAAUUGUGCAAGGUUCGUUUUUGUUGUUUGAUUAAAAAAAAAGGAAAAAAACAAAAAAAAAAAAGAAAAAAAUGUUUACAUUCUUGGUGACUUGAGUAGAAAUAACCGUUUCGAUAUCAUAAGAUUCAUUCAAUGAGUUCAUUCUUCUCAUUUUGAUCUCUUUUUCUUUCAUAGACCUUUCUUUUUCAUUUAACCCAUUUAACCCCGUUACAACCUUUUUAAGACCAUUAGAUUUUUGCAUUUAAUUCAUGUUUUGUGGAUUGAGAUGUGAUAUAUAAGCAAGCUUAUGGUAAUAGCAUUCUUUGAUUUGAUUUGAGUGCAUAAAUGACGCCCUAAACACUUUGAGUGAAUGGAGUGAAGUCAAUGAGAGGGCUAUUAAAUCUUGUUGCACUUGAAUUUUGAAUGGAUCUUCUUGGCAGUUGAAUGUUUUUAUUCUAGCUUAUGAGAUUCUAUGCUUUAAAAUCCUUGUCUCUUGAAUGUUGAUCGACUUAAAUUCUUGAGGUAUGCUUGCUUAAAAUUGUUUUUGGAUGAGUUGAGAUGAGAAUUGAGUGGAGAUUUGGGAUUAGUCUUGAGUUAUAUGCUUGAGGACAAGCAUCAUUUUGGUGUGGGGGAAUUUGUUAGAGUGCAAUUUAUGCACUAGUUUUGAAUUGUUUACUUCCCUUAAUAUCGAUGUUUUGCACUUAAUAAUAGUGAUUUACUUGUAUUUUAUUUUUAUAGGUGCAAUUCUAUUGAUUGGUGCAAAAAUUGAGCUACAAGAUGAUGUUUAAGGAUGAUUAUUCUCUUGGAGAAAUUAUGAGCGUCAGAAGAACUUUGUUGAUAACGCGUGGGCGCGUGCUUUCAUCUACGGACCUGUAGUUUUUAAUUUAAUGUGUUUUGUAUUUUUGGUUAUUUUUAUAAUUACGAAUUUAAUAUUUCAGAUAUUAGUAUUUUAUUUUAAAUAGAACUCUAGAGGAGAAGAGAGAUAGAGUAUUUAAGGGAGGAAUCUAUUGUGAAAAAAAGGAGAUUUUUGGAAAAGAAAGAAACCCUAGAUCUAAUUUUUUCUCUUCUCUCUAUGAAGAACUAAACCUAUUAUUCUGGUUGAAGGUUAAUGAAGCUUUGAUUCAUCACUACUGUGAGAUCUUUCUUAUGCUUUAAUUGUUUUAUUGCUUUUUGGGUAUUUGUUUAUUCUCUGAAUUAUUUUCAUGAUUAUGUUUGUUAAUUAGAUAAUUGGCCACUAUUUAAUUAUCAACUUAAUCUAUUGUCAAUUAAAGGAUUCAUCGUAUGAAGAUUUUAAUGUUUGUGACAAAUAACAUAGCAGAGAGUUGUGUUGUGAGAAUAAACAAUCUAAUUUAAAUGAACCAUCGUAUGUGUUUGUUGAUUAGGAUUUGGGUCUCUCUGGUUUUUCAAGCUGUCAAUUGAUUAAAUCCUAUGAUCGUAUCUAGGGUUGUCUAUUGAUUAGGGAAAUAACCAAUGGUCAUACCUUGGUUAUCGACUAGUUAAGGAGAGAUUGGCUAUUAGAGGAUCUCAGUAGCUAUAACCGGUCUAUUCAUAAGUAGUAAUAAUUUAUAUUUGAAUCAAUGAUCAGUAGUCGAAUCAAGUUGAGUUAAUUCCUUCAACCAGAGCUUUCUCCAAUUUGAAUUACAACUUUAAUUUGCAUUCUUGUUAUUUUAAUUUGAUUUUUAUUAUUUUCAACAAAACCCCCAUUUUAUAUUUUACGUUUUAAAAGGAUUUAAAUAAUUACCGAUCUCUGUGGGCACGACCCUGCUCAAUCACUAUACACAAUUUAUUUAGAGUAGGUAUUUAUUUUUGUCGGCUUCGACAACCAUCAUUUUGUUUCUUUAUGUAAUUUUUAGACUGCUCUGACAACUCAUCUUAAAGGUGCCACUCAUCCAAUAUGAUAUGGUGACAGUAGUUUAGAGUUUUAAACUAAAUGCAGAGCUAAUAGUAUUUUGGAAAUAUAAUCAUCCUAAGAUACUAACAAAAACAACAACUUCGGUGUAGAGAGAAAAUGAUUUCACAAAAGCAGAUGUUUUGAUUUAAGUCUCCAAAACCCCCACCAAAGAAAUGUUCAACGGAUAUAGAAAUAUGAUCCACAUAUCUGUAACUUAAACUGUGAAAUUUGUUGAUGCUGUUCUAAAAUUGCCACAAUCUAUCUACCCCAUGAAUGUUAUUGGAUAAAACAACAAGCAGGACCCAAUGCCUGUUUUCUAAUAGCUUCAAAAAGGCCAAAUUGGUUUUGAAAUGUCUCCAGCUUUUCAUUUAACAAGUUUAAGGAUCCCUUCGGCAUUGCAAUUGGGGAGCUCAGAUAUAUAAAAGUCUGGUAAACUCUUACAGCCGCAGCUUUUGAGCAAAAAUAAUUUUAUCUCAUAAUAUUUUGACAAAAAACUUAUAUCACCUUUUAUCAGUUUUGUAAAAAAUAUUAUUUAUAAGUCAUAUUUACCAAACACAAUCAACUUUUACAUCACAAUUAUAGCUUCUUUUUUUUCACCACACAUAUACAGUUAAAAUCUACAAGAACUCGAUAUCAAAUAGAUCCUAAAGCUUAAUCUAAUAAAAAGGUAAAUAAACAAAUGCAGAAGCCAGCGUACUUGAUCAAGACGCUCUGAAUAGUCACUGGGAAAGGGAAUAUCGACGUUAAUGGGGUUAUUGCCAUCGCUUGAAACCGAAUUGGUGAGACAAUUGCGUUUUCUUCUGUACGGAGAAAAUGUGACGAUUCUUUGACCACUGAAAAUUUCGAUUCUACAAUUUACCUGCAAUUAGUGACAAUUAUUCCGUUUAGAAACAAUUUUAAAAAAAAUAAAAAGUAAUAAUUACAAACUCAGAGUAUACCUGUGGACGUGGAAUUGAAGAAACUGGAAUAGGAAGCGUAGGGAGGGCAAUGGCUGUAUUGGAGGAUAACGGCAUUUUGAACCUCAAAGUAAAGAGAGAGAGAGAGAAGAAACGCUUCCCUUUCAAAUACCGCGCUCUUUUGUACCUGGGAAUUUAACUAAUUCAUGCGAAUAAAAAAAUUUAUAAAUUUGGUAAAUUAUUUAUUAAAAAAUAUUGAGAGGUUGUGCAUUAUUUUAUUAGUAAUGACAUGGUAAUAAUCAAAUUAGUUAAAUUAAAAUAGUUGUUGACUCAGUAAUUUAUUUUUAUUAUUUUUAUAUAUUUAUUUAAUUAAUUAAUUAAUGUUAUAUCUAUUUAUAUAAAAAUGUACAGUUCUAUCCUCACUCUUAUUUUAUUUUUAUUAUUUUAAAAAAAAUGGUCUGCGUUAUUAAGGUUAAGGGUGACAACUGGGAUUAAUAUACGGUUUAUUCGAGUGCUUAAAACCUAAUAAAUAUCCACUAACUCAUAUAUAGUAAAAAUAUAAUUAUUUUAAAAAAAAUUAAUAUAAACUAAACAAAUUGAUUGGAUUUUGUUUCUCAAGGUACAUCAUUAGAACGUUACUUUUAACUGAACAAAAGCACACAUAACUAGCACAUUCGCCACAAAAGCCUCGGCUUAGUGGUCGGCUUAUUAAUUAUCCUAAUUAAAUCAUGGUCAUAAAUUUGAGUCCCGGCAGGAAUUAUUAGGCUAGGUAGCUUUUAUAGACUACACUAUAAAUACAUGUAUUUUAAUUCUCGCGGGUAUUGCUUCUAGUAGUUAUCCAUCCGAGUAUAGUGCUUUGUAGCUUUCUUCACGACCUUCCCCAAUUUCAAUGAUUGUUAAUCAAUCUUCAUAGAAAAUGUGAUAAGACUGUAUUUAGAGAAAAGCUCAAUAAAUGAUUUUUAUAGGUCAUCAUUUCAUUUAAUUUUCCGUUAUAUAUAUAUAUUCACCUUUCUCAGAGGCCAAGAAGUCUUCGACAGAAAUGUGAUCCUUGAGCUUCUCCCAAGUUUCAAUUAAUUCGCUUUGAGUGAGGAUAUUUUCUGGUGGCCUCAAAUACAAUGUUUUGUUCAGUACUCGAGGAGCAUUUAUUGUCUUAAUAGUAUUUAUGGCAACAUCAUCGAUAUGCACAGUAAAAAAAAAGAUAAUCAUUUUGUUUAAUAUGAACAUAAAUUGUCAAAUUCUGAAUCAUAUUAUAGUGAACGAUAUUGUCGUAUGGUGUGUGUAUGUACUAUCUAUAGUUUUAAUAUUAUUAAUAAGGAGUUAAAAGUCUUGAUUUAAUUUUAAAUUGUUAUUCCUCUAACUUCACCGUCUCCAUAGAUGCAGACUCUAUCUUUUGAAGGGCGGGGGUAGCUAUAUUUGAGAGAGGUGUCUGGGGAACCAACCAGCAAAAAAUAGCUAGCAGAAACAUAAAUGACAAGGAUUUGAGCAGCCUUGAUUGCCCUUCUCACACAUGCGCUCUGUGUUCUCCCUCCAGCUCUCACUCACUCACGCCCAAAUCUCACCUCACUCACGUAUCUCUCCUUUCUGACCGGUGGUUUUCUCUCUCUCGCCGUGGGUCUCUAGGCUGGCGGGGAUUUCUCGACUUGACUACUAAAACAUAAUCCAAAAACUAUCUCGACUUGACUACUAAAACAUAAUCCAAAAACUACUAAGAUAUAUAUAUAUUACUAUGAUAUACACAAUAUGAAGAAACUGCAGUUAUAUUUCAAAUAUUUUAUGAAGGAAGAGGCUGUAUGGAUUAUCCAAAGGUGCUGAAAUUAAGAGACCCACGCCAACCGACAGAGUGAGUGAAUAUAAGGGGGUUAUUGGGUAAAAAUCACAUAACGCGCAAGCGAAAUUUUAGAUUAUAUUUUUUAAUACUCUCCGAGUCUCUCUUUCUCUUUCUUUUUUGGUUUGAACCACGAGGUGGUCCUGAGUGGGUCCCAACUAUGGAAAGCACUUUUAAGCCCGUACCACAACUUAGACUAAUCCCCACUCGCACCGGGUCGGCCCGUAAGGGGUAAAGUGCUGGGCAAAGUGGUGACUCCAUACGAGAGCGGGACUUGAACCCCUGACCUCUCUUAAGGAGUGAGAGUGCCGAACCACUCACACCAACCAACUUUGGUUAACUCUCUUUCUCUUUUUCUUUUUUUAAAUAAAUGUCAGUAUAAAAUUAGAAAAUUUUAGAUAUAAAAUUUGGCGAUGACCAAACAAAAAUUGCAGGGGAAACCUUGAUAUCAUUGAAAUACUAAUCAUAGACACUGCAGUAUAAAUAACUUCUUGUGAUCUACUCAACUUUAACACUUUAAUCCAUAUUCUAAAAUUUGCAUGUUUGUUAGGAUUUUUAUUAUUGAUACUGUUGUAUCAAUAAAAUUAUAAUUUAUUCAUAUGGAAUGAAAACAUCAAGAAAGGACCUCUGAAGUUUAUUAUAACAGAAAAAAAUGGUCCAUAAGUCUAUUUAUUAUUUUAUUUAUUCAAUACAAAUGGCCAACUUUAAAAAUGGUAAAAGUCACACAAUGCACAAGUAAAAUUUUAGAAUUAAAUUUUUUAAUUCUCUUUGAGUCUCUCUCUCUUUAAAAAAUAAACCUCACUGUAAAAUUAGAAAAAUUUUAGACGUAAAAUUUGACAAUCACCAAAUAGAAAACAUAGGCAAAUGAAAAUGGAGGAGCCCUAUUUUCAUUAGAAUAUUGAUCAUAGAUACUAUAAUGUAAAUCAUUUGUUGUGGUUCAUUCAACCUGUCACACUCUAAGCCAUUUUCUAAAAUUUGUAAGGUUUAUAGGAUUUUUAUUAUUGCCAUCAUUGUAUCAAUAAUAUUAUAAAUUAUAUAUUCUAUUGUAAUGAAAAUUUGUGCAAUCUUAGGUAUGUAUUAUAUUAAAUUGUGUGGAUUAAUUAAGAAUAUUUUUGGAGACAAAAGAAGUGUGUGUAUGUAAGAAUAAUGAUAAAAAAUUUCUAAAUAAAGGUGAUUGCUUCAUUGACAAGUACAUAUUUAUAUUCCUCUAUUAGUAUUUGGGUUGUAAACUCUGUUUAUAAAGUGAAUAUAUUGUGGUAAGCGAUGUGGGAAAUAUCGGAUGCGAAAUAUUGAGAGAUCAUUAACGCAUAUAUUUAUUGAAGAUGCAUAUAGAGGAAAGAGUGUAGAUCCGGCCGUAACACUUAUGAAGCUUUCCCUAAGUAUUCUCAUGCUUGCUUAACUAUUCCGAAGUAUUUUUCAUAGUGUGCAUAUUUACUUUAUGGUGUCUUUAUUCGUCUCAAAUGAUUACUACAGUUCUUUUGGGAUGAAAGGUCAUUUAUUUUGUUAAUUUUAAACAAUAGAAAAAAUAAAUAAUGGUAACGAAAGACUAAUUGUGAUAUUGAAGCGUACGGACUUUAACUCAAUCCAAAAAUUAGUAGGACCCACAUAUAUUUGAUGACGCUGAAAGUUACAUCAAUUGUAACUUAGAAACAUCCAAAUAUUAGACAAUAAUACACAAUAACAAUGCAUAUAAUUUGGGUUUGAUUUUUAAAAAAUUAUUUGAAUAUCACUUAUCCUUAAGAUAUUAAUUUGAAUAUAUUUUAAUAGUAAAUAAUAAAAAUUUGUUUAGUUAUUAUUUGUAUUUCAUACAUUGCAUGUUAGAUUUGUUUGAAUUUUAAGUUGUUGCGAAUAAAUAUUUAUGUUGUGAAAGUCGAAUUCAAUAGCUACAAAAGCAGAGAUAAUUGUAUUUUAUAUAGUUUUUAAGAAUACAAGGAUAAGAUCAUAACGCAUGAGAUAACGGUAUUUUAUAUUAAAAGACCAUAAUGCAUGUAUUUGAGCCAUUUAUAUUGAAGACACAUAUAGAGGAAUGAGUGCAGAUCCGACCAUAACUAUUGUGAAGCUUUCCUCAAGUAUUCUCAUGCACCCAAACCUUAUCUGGUCAAGGUUUCUGAUUGAAUAUAAUCAAUUUCCGUGCAGUACCGAAGACAGCUUCUGUUGGUAGUUGAAUUUGUGGGGAAUGACAAAUGUAGAGAAAUACAACAAUAAUGGUGGAACUUUAUUACGUAAAGUAAUGUGUUUACAACUAACUCUGUAUGUAGUAAGAAAAAUAAUAGUAAUAAGUAAACUUGCAAAAAUUUUGUGUGCUUGAAGGCACGUUACAAAUGUCGCUUUCCUUAAGACGUUAUUUGCCCCCACCAAUUGAGUGAUGCACAUGGGUUAAGCAAAUACGCAUCCAGGAUACAAUGAAGCACUUGUUUGUUUGCUAGUGUUGUGCAUCAACGAAAGCAAACCAGAAUACUCUUGAAUGUUGCAAGCCUGCCAAGAAACAAUAAAUUGUUCCUGCAGAAAACAAUAUAUUGGAUUGUGAAUGCACAAAAGAAAUGGGUGUUUUGUGUUGAAAUUCGUACUAGAAAGGAAUGCUAAGAAAAGAGUGGUGUAGGAUCAUUGAUUUCAUGUCUAAAUGGCUUAAACAUGACCCCUAUUUAUGGAUAUACUUGUGCCCCCUCAUUUGGGUUGUCAUCUUCAUGAUACCCCUUCAUUCAUGGCCAUUGGAUCUAUAUUUAAUUUUAAUCAAUGGUCCAAAUUGAACCAUCACCAUUUCAAAUGAAAUGUCACCAUGAAAUGAUGCAUCUCUAAGUGAAAUGUUACCAUGAAAAGUUAUAUCAUUUAGUAAAAAGAUACAUUUUCUAUAAGACAUAAUUAAAUAGACAUGUCCUUACAACAAGACAUCAUUUAAUUAGACAUGUCUUUAGUGAAAUGUACUUUUUCUAUAAGGCAGAAUUAAUAAGACAUGUCUUCACCAUAAGACACAAUUUAUUUUGAAAAUUUUCCAACAGCUUAUCUGUAAAGCUCUUCAACCACAAGCAUUUCUACAAGGCAAAAGACUAGGACGUGUUGGAAUGAAUAUCAAUAAGGGAAUGUCUUAUGAAUUUGGUUUAUAUCCUAAUAUAAGACAAUCAAUAAAUAUUGGAUGCAAUCUAAGGGCUAACAUUUGAUUGAUCAUUGUACGAAAAAAAAAGGUACAAAAAUACAAAACAGAGCUGAUUGAUGGCCUUUAACAGUCAGUUCUAUGACAAAGUAACCACCACAACAAAUGGAAUUAUAAGACAUCAAGAAACUUGAACUUGGCAGGAGGUCUCAUUAGCAGUAUACCUCAGAAAUUAAGACAGAGACUUUAAAAUGCAAGCUUAUGGAGUAAUUUAAGCACUGAAACUAAUAACAGUGAUGCAAAAAAAGGUGCAGAAGUACGGUAUUAGCAAUUGACCUCUGCUUUUGCUUGGACAAAGGUUUUCAUCACAAGGGACUCAUUAGUUGCCCUUGCCUCACACGAUUGGAUGCUAAGGGGAAAAAGGAAGCUUCUAACGGCAUUCACAGAGAACCUAUAAAACUAAAAAAAAAAAAAAUCAUCCAUGAAAAGGCUACUAACAAAAAAACUAACUCUUUUAUCUGCCACUGACCUAAUCCGCACUCAUUUAAUUAAAAAAGAAUUAAAAGCAAAACUAAAAGAUACAAAUUGCGUACAAGUCUAGGAGCCAUAUCAAAGGCGUUAUAUAACUUUUCCAAUUAAUAAAUUCUCUUAAGGGCCAUACCGUGCUCAUCAUUUCAAAAGCAAUUAAGGAUAAGAACUUUCAUCAUUAAUUGAUAUGGCCAGUGUAGAAAAAAUGAAAAAGCCCUCCAAGAUCAAAGCACAAGGAUCAGUUUAGAAUUACACUUUUUAAAUUUUGGUUAAUAAAUAAACGUUUAUAUGAAAAUAGAAAAUCUUUUUGGAAUAACCUUUUUUUUUCUUUUUUUAAUGAAUGUGGAUAUAAAAUUUUAAAAUCGCCAAACCGAAAAGAAAAACAGGGGAAUGAAAAGAGAGCCCACGUUUCUCCUCUCUUUUGUUUUUAUUGUUAUCAAACAGGGGAAUGAAAAGAGUGCUCUGUUUCUCCCCUGUUUUGAUUUUUUUAUUACUAAACAGGGGAAUGAAGAGAUCAGCUCUUGUCGCAAGCGCAAAUUUUUGUUUCUAAAUGCAGUUGGUUGUAACUAUAUUCGCAGUCCCUAGUACUUAGAAGUAAAGGCUCUUGGAAUUUCUAUUGUAGUACAUGAGAUGUUUCCCGUUCAAAUAGCUCGCCCGAUACCAUUAGCAUGUUCAUCUCUCUAUAGAUUGAUGUUGACAUAGAUGUUAUUCUACUUUUGCUAGUGGAGUUUUGGGCCUUGUCGUAAUUGGUGGAAUUACGACAUCGGUGGCUGACAUGGCUUUCCUUGUACAGGUAUGUAUGAUUGUUUUUUUUGCACGUCUAAAUGGCACUGUUGAAAAGCUUAAAAUUGAACUGAUAAUUUUGUUUGGAAGCUCAGAAAAUUCAUGAGAAAGUGAAAUAGAAUAUUCUGGAUUUCUUUUCUUUCCAUAACAUACAAAUGACAAACGUAGCAGUAUUUAUACUCGUUGCUUACAUCAUAAAAACAGAAUUAAAGCAAGUUAUACAACUAUAACAUAAUAAAAACCGUGCUUAACUAAUUGGCUGAGCUAGCAUAUACUUCUUUAACUAACACAUGCUUAUCGUGCAGCUACUCUUUAGUUCACACGUGCUCAGUGUGCUUCCUUAACAGACACAAGGGAAAAGACAUGAUUUUGAGAUAUAACGCUUGAAUGUUCUCGGAAUGGCAUAACGCUUUGUGUGUCUCGGACCUGUUAAGAAUAACAUAUGCUGAGUCAGCUGCUGAGUCAUCAAGCCACGCUGGAAGUUAGUUUUGCAGUUAGUUAGAGAGCUUAUCAGCUUCCCUCCAAAAGUUUGUUAUGUGUAUUAGAAUCUGGGCUCACGAGUUUUGUGAGAUUGUAACCUUAAGAAGAUUCUCACACUACUAUAAAUUGUAUUGUGACUCAAUUAAUAAAAUAAGUUGAAGCUUUGCAUUUUCUCUCAGUCAAAAUUUUCUCUCUGUUUUUCUAACCAAACAAGAUCUACAGAGCAUCUUGUAUUUUAACUUGGUAUCAGAGCUUGAAUCCAAUGGCCUUAAUCGGUUCCAAUCAACAGUCAAGCAACACUUCCAUAACUUCUUUCACCUUCACAAAUCCAAUUAAGCUUGAUCGUGCAAACUAUACGAUCUGGAAACAAUAAGUACUUUCUUCAAUUCGUGGCAAUGGUCUUGAAGGCUAUAUUGAUGGAUCAAGGAUCUGUCCUAGUCAAUUUCUUUCUCCAGAGGCUAGAUCUGAAGGUUCUUCUUCUUCUAACAUCGAAGGUCAAGAGAAUCCAGAGUAUGCAGCCUGGAGACGUCAAGAUUAGCUCCUGCUCAGCUGGAUUCUGUCGUCCAUGAAUGUAGAUAUUCUCAGUCUUGUGGUAAGCUCUAAGACUUCUUUUGAGUUGUGGAAAAAUCUAGAAAAAUAAUUUGGAUCUGAAUCUAUGGCUAAGAAGGUUCAUCUAAAAAUGCUUUUGAGUAACCUGCGAAAAGGAUCUCUAACCAUGUCUGAGUAUUUUACAAAGCUUAAGUCAGUUACAGAUGGUCUUGCUUUAGUUGGUAGCCCUGUGCAUGAUUCGGAUUUAGUCACUCAUCUUAUUACUAGUCUAGAUCAGUCAUAUUAUCCUGUAGUAGUCUAUAUUGAGGCAAACAUGUUGAAAAUGGAUCUUAGUGAGGCUUAUGCUAUGCUUCUCACACAUGAAGCUAGACUUGAGAAUAAUAAGCUUCAUGAUAGUAAGGAAACCAAGAACAAUUAUGCAGCAAAUGUAGCUCAGGCUGGAAAUUUUUCAAAGAAAGGUAAUAACAAUAAUCAAAACAACUGGAAGGCUGGAGGAAACAAUUGGAAUAAUAACUCUGGUGGAAGAGGUGGUUUUGGUGGUAAUGGAAGAGGUGGUUACCAAGGGUUCAAUCCAGGAAGAGGAAACUAGAAUAAUAAUAAUUUCAGAGGUGUUGCUGGUGGAUUUAAUAGUGGAUUUCCUGGUCCCGGUGGCUUCAAUAACAAUUAUGGCAGAGGUGGUUUCAACUCAGGAGGUGCUGGAAAGAAUUUUGCUCAGGGAACUGGUGCUGCUUGUCAGAUAUGCUUCAGGUUUAAUCACACAGCAGCUGAUUGCAGAGACAGGUUCAACCGAAAUUUUAUCCCAAAUUUUCCAGCUCCAGCUCCAAAUCACUUCUGUAAUCAGCAUCAAGGACCAAGAGCAGUCUUCAUAACAACAUCUGAAGGAGCUGCUGAUCAGGGAUGGUUUCUGGAUAGUGGUGCAACUCACCACUUAACCAACACAGUUCAGAAUCUGAGUGAUGGUAAAAUCUAUUUUGGCUCAAACUUACUUACUGUUGGUAAUGGCCAAGGUCUUAGAAUUACUCACAUAGGUUAUACACAACUUCACACUUCUUUUGGCACCUGUUUACAACUACAUAAUAUUUUGUGUGUCCCUCAAAUUACCAAGAACCUCAUUAGUAUUUCCAAACUCCUCACUGAUAAUGAUAUAACCAUUGAAUUUUUCUCUGAUGUUUGCUUUCUAAAGGACAAGGUGAAGGGCACUCUGUUGGCUCAGGGGAUAGCCUAUACAAGCUACUAUCAAAAGAGGAAUCUCUCUCUUCUUCCACUUCUGUUCUGCCAGUGUCUCAUCCUAGUUCUAUGAUGUCAACUCUUUCCUGCAAUAAUGUAGUUACUUCUGUUCAAAGUUCAAAUAAUGACUUCUGUUUUAAGUCUACAUUUCCUGUAAGCUUUCAAACUUCAAGUUAUGUGUCAGCAAAUAUGUUGCACAAUAGACUUGGUCAUCCAAGUAAACAUGUCAUACAAACUAUUCUCAGAAACAAUUGUUUAAUGUCAGCCAAUGUUAGUAAAUCAAAUUUUCUUUUCUGUGAUGCCUGUCAAUUGGGAAAGUUACAUCAAUUACACUUUCCUGCUACUGAAAUCAAAACAAAAAACCCCUUAGAAUUAAUACACACAGACUUAUGAGGACCAGCACCAGUUUUAUCACUAGAUGGCUAUAGAUACUAUAUUUCCUUUGUUGAUGACUUCACCCGAUAUUGUUGGAUCUUUCCUUUAGUUUUAAAAUCUGAUGCUCUUACUACUUUCAAAAACUUCAAGAGCUUAGUUGAGAAACAAUUCAGUCUGCCUAUCAAAAUUCUGCGGUCUGAUAUGGGAGGUGAAUUCAAAGCUUUUCAGUCCUUUCUUCAACAAGAAGGUAUCCAAGCUAGAUUUAGUUGUCCCUAUACUCACCAUCAAAAUGGUGUUGUUGAGAGAAAAUAUAGACACUUAGUAGAAACUGGAUUAACACUCCUUACUCAAGUAAAAAUGCCUAUUUCUUUCUCGUGGGAGGCUUUCCAUACAGCCUCCUAUCUCAUUAAUAGAAUGCCUACCACUACACUGAACAACUUAUCUCCCUAUCAAAAGCUUCAUAAUCAGCCACCAAACUAUCAACUUCUCAGAGUUUUUGGUUGUGCUUCCUAUCCUUUUCUCAAGCCUUAUAAUGAUCACAAGCUUGAUUUUCAUUCCCAAAAAUGCUUGUUCUUAGGUUACAGCCCUCUUCAGAAAGGAUAUAGGUGUCUAACAAAGUCAGGUAAAGUAUAUGUUGCUACUCAUAUUGUUUUUAAUGAAUCUGAUUUUCCCUAUUCAGAGUUGUUCUCUUCAUCUGAGUCUUCUUCCAAUUCUCUAUCAUCAUACUCUCCAUCUAUUUGUAUCCUUAAUGACAGUGGCUUGCAUCAAUCAUCAGCUACAUCUCCUACUUCAGCAAAGUUACCAACUAUACAUUCACCUCAACAUCCUCACCAAGCCCCACACUCUCCUUGUCCCUCUCCAGUCUCAGAUUCCUACAGCUAAUCAUCACCACAUUCUUCAUCACAUAAUGCUUUAGCCAAUCCCUCUGAUGAAUUACAACCAUCAUCUCAACCUGUCAUUUCAACUCAUCAGAUGGUCACUCGAGCCAAAUCUGGUAUUUUUAAACCAAAGACCUACCUUACAGCUACCCAAGACCUUGAACCAGUGAGUGUUAAAGCAACCCUAAUUGAUACAAAGUGGAAAAUGGCUAUGCAAGAAGAGUAUAAUGCCUUGCAGAAGAAUGGCACCUGGACAUUAGUUCCAGCUGAAACAGCUACAAAACUUGUUGGCAAUAAGUGGGUUUUUCGAGUUAAAUAUAACCCAGAUGGCAGCAUUUCCAAGUAUAAGGCUCGGUUGGAUGCAAAAGGUUUUCAUCAAACCUAUGGAGUAGAUUUCUUUGAAACUUUUAGUCCAGUUGUUAAACCCUGCACUGUUCGUAUUGUUCUCAGCUUAGCAGUCAUGCAUUGUUGGCCAGUUCGGCAAUUAGAUGUUAACAAUGCCUUUCUUAAUGGCAUGCUUACUGAAGAUGUGUUUAUGCCUCAGCUAGAAGGCUUUAUCAGCUCUCAGUUUCUCAAUCAUGUCUGCAAAUUACAAAAAGCCCUUUAUGGUCUUAAACAGGCUCCAAGGGCUUGGUAUGAUAGAUUGAAAGGGUCUUUAGUUCAGUGGGGUUUCAAAUCUUCAAAGUCAGAUACUUCACUGUUUUUCAAGCAUAUUGGCAAUAAUGUUCUCAUCAUCCUUGUUUAUGUAGAUGAUAUCCUGAUAACAGGCUCUAGUGAUGUUUAUAUUUAAGAGGUUAUCAGUCUACUUAGCUCAGAAUUUGCACUUAAAGAUUUAGGAGAUUUUAACUACUUUCUUGGGGUAGAAGUGACUCCAUCUGCUGAAGGAUUACAUCUAUCUCAAACUAAGUAUGUUGGUGACAUCUUAAGAAAAGCUCAUAUGCUUGAGAGUAAAGGUUGUAAUACACCUAUCAGUGUUGCUGAUAAAUUGCAGAAGGACAAAGGCUGCUCAUUUACAAAUCCCUCACUUUACAGAAGCAUCAUUGGUUCUCUGCAGUAUCUGACACUGACCAGACCAGAUAUUGCAUUCACUGUAAACAAAUUGAGUCAGUUUUUAGCUGCUCCAACUAUCUUGCAUUGGCAGGCUUGCAAGAGGGUAUUACGAUAUCUACAAAGCACAUCACAUUUUAGACUGCAAUUCUUCAAGUCAGGUUCUCCAAGUCUCAUAGCAUAUUCUGAUGCAGAUUGGGGGUCUGAUCCAGAUGAUAGAAGAUCUGUUGGAGGGUAUUGUGUUUAUCUUGGAUCCAAUCUUGUGUCUUGGUCAUGUAAGAAACAGAACAUUGUUUCCAGGUCAUCUGUUGAAUCUGAGUAUAGAGCAUGGCCUUAGCUACAUCUGAGGUUUUGUGGAUUACAUAUCUAUUAAAAAAGCUCAAAGUAUCACUUCCCAAACCUCUUGUUCUUUACUGUGACAACAGCAGUGCAGAAGCUUUGGCUAGCAAUCCUAAGUAUCAUUCCAGAACUAAACAUAUAGAACUGGAUUUACAUUUUUUCAGAGAACACAUUGCCAACAAGGAUCUCUUCAUUGAACAUGUGUCUAGUUCUGAUAAGCUAGCUGAUGUGCUUACCAAACCUCUGAGUUUUGAUCAUUUUGCCUAUAUGCAAACUAAGGUCAAUGUCUGCCCAUGACCUUGAGCUUACGGGGGCAUUUUAAGAAUAACAUAUGCUGAGUCAUCAAGCCAUGCUGGAAGUCAGUUUUGCAGUUAGUUAGAGAGCUUAUCAGCUUCCCUCCAAAAGUUUGUUAUGUGUAUUAGAAUCUGGGCUCACGAGUUUUGUGAGAUUGUAACCUUGAGAAGAUUCUCACACUACUAUAAAUUGUAUUGUGACUCAAUUAAUAAAAUAAGUUGAAGCUUUGCAUUUUCUCUCAGUCAAAAUUUUCUCUCUAUUUUUCUAAGUAACCAAACAAGAUCUACAGAGCAUUUUGUAUUUUAACUGGAGCGGCUGAUUGGUGCUGUACGUGUUACAUUUUUACUUUUUUAACUCAAGUCUGCUGUUGUCCCAAAGUUGGAACUAGAGAUAUCAUUUCACCUCAACUGUGUUUUUUUUUUAAUUAAAAAAAUCAUUUGUUUUAGGUAUACAUACAUGUAUUUUAAUUCUAUUUUCCUUGUAAUUUCUCCUUUACUUUGAAUGAAAGUCAUUGGUGUUUUCGAAUGGGAAUUUUGCAUUAAAAAAUUAAGAAUAGUUAAUAGGAAAUUUCCUGAUUCUUUAGUUACUAUUUUUGGUAUGAGUGUAAUUAGUAGUAAAGUUGGUUUCUACUCGCAAACAAGUGAACUGCUCGAUUCCCAAGUGCUAUUAACCAGUUUCCAACUUUUUAAUAUACACUAAUUGUUCCUGUUUAAUAGCUACUACUAUUAAAACUCAACAGCUAACAAAAAUACUAAAAAAAAUGAUUUUUUCUUAUGAUGCUGUGAAAAAAAUUACGGGUUUACUUAUUUCCACGAGAUCUUGUAUAGUGUUCUUGUAUAGUGGAAUUAAGAUUGUCUUCCCGAUGGUGCAAUUCACCCUCUUCCUUUACAGUCACUUGCACUUUGUGCAGCUUUGGUGUGGAUAAGAUUCCCAGGGAAAAAGUCUUCAUGUUCGGACAAUGUGUCACAAAUACUCGUUCCAAUGAUGGGAAUUCAAGAGGGUAAUUCUCCAAACAAAAGCUGGUAAGCCUUGGUAAAUACGACUCUCCUUCACUUCUUCUCCAGCAUGUCCUACGAUUUCUUCUAAUUUUUUGCAGUUCCAUACAUAAAGAUUCACCAGACUAGUAGGAAUUCCAACCUGAAAAUAAGCAGAGUGUGUGUGUGUGUGUGUAUAUAUAUAUAUUAAAAAAGUAAAUAUGUAAGAGUAUCAUUCAACUAGGCUCAAAGAAUGUUUAAUCAUACAAUUAUACGUUUUAUGAACAUAACAAACUGUGAAAUAUCUACUAGAUAUUUUUUGUUAAACAAAAAAGGUAACAAGAUAAAUAAAUAAAUAAAAGCCAGAUAAACAAAGAUGAUAAAAAUGUAUUUACACUAUUUAGUAUUAGGGACGUAGAAAGAAUUUAUGGCAAUUUCUAAAUAUUUUGGACUUAUUUUGCAUCUUGAUAUAAGUUUUUAAGCAUAAAUUUGCAAAUUUCAACUAUUCCUUUAAAAAAAAAACUCAACUAAAAUGCCUCUUUUUCCCUUUUCCUUGGUCCCUAUUUUUUAUGUAUAUAUAAAAAUGGAAAAAAAAAUUUUGGAAAAGACUUCCCAGUACUGUCAACAAGGGAUUGCUGUAAAGUGGAUCUUUAUUAAGUACUUCCAGACUCGAGGAAAUUUCUUUACAAUCAAGGGUCAGUUGUAAACAAUCAUGAAUUUGUGGUUAAUUAAUGGCAUAAUCAAUUCUUAACUAAACUGGAGAUAUUAAUUAAAUUUGAAGACUUUUUUUUUUUCCAAUCGAAAUGUGAAGAAUUAAGGAAAAGAGAAAUAUAUAGAUGAAUUUGUGAACCUAUAAGAUGAGUGACUAUCCUUUAAUUUUUGAAAAUUGUACUUAUUAAGACAUGAGCAGAAACAAUUAAAUUGAAUUAUAUUAUGCUGUUGAAUCGUGAUUAAAAAAAUUAUAUUGUUGAUUCUAAUGCUGGCGAACCUAAAAACUGGACUUAAAACGUAGAUUUCAGAGUGGUGGUUUGAAGUACAAUACUUGAAAUAAAUAAUCAGUGGCUAAAUAUCAUUUGUAAACCCAAAAAUGGUUAAAAUAUUGUUGAAUGUUAUUUGAAAAAAAAAAAAAAGAGAUUCAAAAUGAAUAUUCUUACCAAUGGAGGAAAAAUAUUCUUUAGGUUAUCACACCAAGAUAUCUCCAAAUUCUUCAAUUUGCUGAAAGACUCCGAAGCAAGCUGGUGGUGCCAUAUUUUUCUCAAAUUAUCCAUCCAGUCAAUACGUAAUACCUCCAACCUAGGAAGUCGUACCUGACAGUUAAAGAUUAAAUAACUAAUUAAUCAAUUAAUGGCAUAAUCAAUUGAUAAAUAAAUUAGAGGCGGAUAUUAACUAAAUUUGAAGACUCAAGGAAAAGACAAAUUAAAUAUUGUGACUAAAAUAAAUUUAAAAAAAAAAAAAACCUUUUCGUCAAAGAGAGGAGGUUGCAUUUCAGAAUGAAUGGUGUCUUCUGGUGAGCUCGUGGAGAUGAAUCUUAACAUAUUCCAGCAACUCUGAAUCUCGAGGUUUAGCAAAGAAGGGAAUUCAACAACUAAAUCUGAAUGAAUAUGUCCCGUAUUGGCAAAGCUUGUUAGUUCUGGAAGCCAAUAGAGCCGCAGGAAGUGUAGUUUAGGAAAUACCUUUAAUUCAAUCAACUUUCCUUCAUCUCUUUCUGACCAUCCCGUGGUGUCGACUACCCCUUCCAUUGACUCACAAUAGCUUAUCUCAAGAUGUUGGAGCUGCAAAAGGCUAUUAACCAUAGAAUAUGAAAACAGAUACUUCAUACGAUGACAACCGACCACGUGCAGCUUUGUUAGAUUUUGACAACAGUACAUUCCUUGAUUAUGAUCGGCCCAUAAUUUUUUCAUGUUUCUCAAGUCCCUGAGAUUCAAUUCCUCUAAGCUCGGAAGAAUAACCUGCAAAGAAAACCCGUACAUUUUUGUUCCUUCAAGUACAACCGUCUAGUAUAAUAUUCUUUUGAUGAUCGAAGAUUAAUCGUGAUAAUAAAUUAAUCAAUUAAUUAUUGAACAGAAAAUUAUCACCUUUGGAGCAGGAUCAUCAUCAGAAAUGAUUUCGUUGAAUCCCAAAGAAGUUGUUGGUUUGUCCAUGUCGGGUCCUAUAAACAAACAAAAACAAUAUACAUAAUUAAUCUUUGUCGUUGUCUUUUUUUUUCAAAAUAAUUGAGGCGAAGUCCAUAAAUCCACCAACACUUAAUUUCAACACUUACCAACAAUCAUUUCCAGAUCAUCGCAAAAAAACACUUCUACCUUUUGAAGCCACAGUAGGUUUUUGGCCAUGGAGAAUGAGAAAAGAUGCUUCAAUUCGUGACAGUCUGAUACUUUUAUAAUCCUUAAGUUGCUGAAAGAUUGAUCUUCUGUGAGUUGGCUGUCACAUAUUGUCUCCAAAUUUAUCAAACGACGAAGAGACAAUGACUCCAGCAAGGGGAAGACUUUGCGACGAACCCGUCCAACUGAACAGACAAUAUGCAAAAUCUCAGACCAACUUUUUACAGCAAGGUGCUUCAAUCGUGGAAAACCUUCCCCAUCAUCUAAUUCAUGAACAACAUUCUGAACACCCUUCAGUUCUUCUAGAUAGAGAUAUUCAGUUCUCUUCAACAACAGUUUCAUCCUGUAAUUCUGCAAAAGAAUGCCAAACUUUUCCAGCCUCUGGAGCUUCAUCAAUCUUGAUAAUCCAGAUUUAACGGACCAGCUGCUCCCCCACUUAUUUCCUAUACAUAUCCUAUAGGUAGAAGUGUUCUAGCUAUUAAUUUUAUACAUAUCUUCUAUAGGUGUAUUCUAAUUAAUUUCAUACAUCAGAUUUUUAGAUAAAAAUAAAGAAGUAAAAAAAAAAAAUCUUCACAUCAUCUUAAGAAAUUCAAAGCCAUGAUACCACAUCCAAUCACGAGAAUCCAUUUUCCUAUGAUCACUGACCUUUAGGUGCGGUGCUUGGUUUGAAGAAGGGAAAGGGGGUGAGGAAAGUAAUUUGAAUUCCUUUCUUAUUUCCGUUGUUUGGUCGGUCAUAAUAUAAAAGAAUUUAAUUUUCAUUAAAAUUUAAUAUAAUCAUAAUGUGGAAUUUAGAUUUCUCAAUAAAGAGUGAUGAAUCUUGGUUUGGGUCUGUUUUGAGUUUAUUUUCAUUUAUUUGGCUAUGUUUUGAUAGCGAAUUUUGAUAUGUCAAUAUAACGUGUAAUUGUUUUGGGUUGAGCUGGUAAUUAUGCUGGAUUAGAUUGGUUUGGUUUUGGUGCUUCUCUGAUGGAACACUGUUUUUUUUAGAAAUUUUGAAUGUAAUAUGAGACUACAUUUAGUUUAAUUGAACACUGCAUCUAGUCUAAUUACUAGAAGUGCGGCAUUUGGUUUGGUUUAUCCUAUAUUCUCCAGAAUUUCACUUGCAUCUGGUUUUGUUGCAUAUGUUUGCUUGCAUUUGAUGGCAGUAGCAGACUGUUUGGUUUUGUGACAUUUGAUGGCAGUUUGGUCUGUUCUUGGUGUUGGUUUAAGAUUGUUCCUGUUGUGCUGAUGUUAAUUGCAGGUGCUUGAAUCAGCUAGGGUUGCUGGUUUAUUCAGAUGGUUGACUCAGGCGUUGUUACUGGUUAAUUCAGGUGGCUGACUCAAGUUGUUCAUUUAAUGUUAGGAAGCAAAUUAAGAAUUAAUGAAGUAUUCAUUAAACUAUAAUUAUUGUAGUUAUUUUAUUUCAUAACUGAAUUAUAAUCUAUGAUACUUGUGAACAAAUUAGAGAAUUUUUAUAUAUGAAUUAUAUAUAUGUGUAUGUACAUUUUGCUAAUAAUUUAAAGAAUAUAUUUCAAUUCCCACAAAAAAAUGGCUCCAAUUUCAAUAAUUCCCGCCAAAUAAUUAAAUUUUUUUAAUUUACCACCAAAAUAUAUCUUAAAGAAAUUUUAGUUAUUCUUGCUAGAUUUAACAAAAAUGAUUUGUAGGAUUAACAUUUAAUUAAAAUAAUUAAAUAAUUUUAUUAUUCCAAUUAAAUAUGUCAUGUUUAUACGACAGACAAUAUUCAUGAAUGGGAAGUAUUAGUUACGUAUUUUUCCUUGGGAUUUCAGGCAAAUGAAAAAAAGAUUGAGAAUGAUUUCAAGAGGACAGGUGGAUGAUAAGUAUUCAUUUUUGUAUAUUUGUCUAAUGUCCUCAUUAGUGGAUUUUUAUGGUAUUGAUCUUUUUUUUUUUUUUUUUAAUUUUCAAUUAGUUGCAGCCCUAGAGGAAGAGCAGGCUGAUCAAAUUGAUUUGUCUUGUUUUUCGGGCAAUCUACGACAUGAUGACCGUGAUAAUGCUCGUGACUGCUGGAAACUUUCUGAUGGAAAUAACUUUAGAGUUCGUAGCAAGCAUUUUUGUUAUGACAAAACAAAGGUUCCCCCAUAAUUUGUUUGUUUGUUAUGGUAUUUAUAUAUCCUGCAUAGGCUAGGUAGACAAGUUAUGAUGUACGUGUUUCUCAUAUAGAACUCAAGUCUGCUGUUGUCCCAAAGUUGGAACCAGAGAUAUCAUGACUCUGGUUUCAUUUCACCUCAACUGUGUUUUUUUUUUUAAUUAAAAAAAUAUUUGUUUUAGGUAUACAUACAUGUAUUUUGAUUCUAUUUUCAUUGUAAUUUCUCAUUUACUUUGAAUGAAAGUCAUUGGUGUUUUCGAAUGGGAAUUUUGCAUUAAAAAAUGAAGAAUAGUGAAUAGGAAAUUUCUUGAUUCUUUAGUUACUAUUUUUGGUACGAGUGCCAUUAGUAGUAAAGUUGGUUUCUACUCGCAAACAAGUGAACUGCUCGAUUCCCGAGUGGUAUCAACCGGUUUCCAACUUUUUAAUAUACACUAAUUGUUAUUGUUUAAUAGCUACUACUAUUAAAACUCAACAGCUAACAAAAAUACUUAAAAAAAAUGAUUUUUCUUAUGAUGCUGUGAAAAAAAUUACGGGUUUACUUCUUUCCACGAGAUCUAUAACAUGGUCUUGAUUUCACGAAAUUCUUUUAAUUUAAAGCGUGCUGGUGUGAGAAGGUCAGUUUGACUGAUUAAUUCUUUUUAACAGUGGUCGAGAUAAUUUUACUAUACUCGAAAAUAUUCUUAUUCUGAUAAAGCCAUAAAUGUUAUGCUGUUUUCUUCGGCUAAUGAUCUUCUAUCAGGAGAGGUUAGAAAUCAAAUGCUUAAAAGACCAAUUGAACGAAUAAUACAGAAAUUUAGGCAGAAUCUAAUCGAAUAUUGUAUGAAACAUGAAACAUCAAUUCAAGUCCUUUCUUAAACAAAGAAUGCAUCAAACAAAAUCCAAAGUGUCUUGCAAGUUUGUAGCAUGAGCAAAAAAUUGUAAAUAUGUAGAACCAAAUUAUUCAAGUACAGAAGAACGAGCAAGCUAAAUCAUGUAUAAGAGAUUGGCCUGGUUCAGGAUAGCUUCUUCACUGUAGCUGAAGGGUUGGCUCAAUCUCUUCUUUAGAAUUCUGCAGAUUUUGUAAUUACUCGUGUAAGCAAGCAUACAUUGCCACCAUAAGAAUAAUAAAGCAAGAGUAAUGAUAUGACCACCACCUCUUGUGCACAAACAAUAUUGUAUAAACUAAUGCGACAUAAUAUGAUUGGUUAAAUAAAAACAUUACAUGGCCCUCAUAAUUUAUUUAUUUAUUUAUUAUUAUUAUUAUAUAUUUUCAAUCAACCAAUCAUAUUAUAUCACAUUAGUUUCUAUAAAAUAAUUUGCUAAAUAGCACCGAAACUUAAUUGAUACUCACCAUUUCAUUGAACAAUUUUUUUAUGGUGUCAUUGAGGUUGCCUUCCCAACAUCCUUCAUCAUCAUCAUCUUCUUCAUCAUCAUCAUCUUCUUCUUCAUCAUCUUCAUCAUCAUCAUCUUUUUCUUCUUCGGUGACGUUCACUUUGUUUAGCAUUGGUGUGUCUAAGACUCCUUGAGAGAAGAUCUUCAUUUUUGGACACUGUCUCACAACUACUUGUUCCAAGGAUGGGAACUCAAGAGCGUAAUUACCCAAACAAAAGCUUGUUAGGCUUGGCAAACAAUCAAGUCCCAAGUACUCCAAUUUCCUGAAAACAAUGCAAUCGUCCGCUUCUUCUCCAACCUGCGACUGUAUAAUUUCUUCCAUCAUUUUGCAAUCAGUUAUCUUCAUUCUUUCAAGAUUCACUAGACUUUCAGAUGUUGAGAGCGUCAAUAAAUUUAUCAACCCAUGACACUUCGAUACUUCCAGAGUCGCAAGAUUUUCCAAAUGCCACGAAGCUGGUACUAAUUUCUGCAACUUACUACAUUCAAAUAUUUCUAGACUUUUCAAGUUUGCAAACACUUUGUUGGAUUUGGCAUUUUCCUUCCAGAGAUGCUGCACUUUGUGUAAUCCAGAUAGCUUUAACUUCAUCAAUUGAGGGAAUGCAACCUGGAAAUCAACAAAAUUAAGUUGUAAAUGAAAAUAUGUAUCCAAUCUCUGCAGUCUUCCCCUGCAUAUUUUAUGGACAAGAUUAAUCACGGCAUUUUAUAUUUUAUUUCCAAAUUAGUAUGCUUUGCAGUAGGAUCCCAAAUAUAAGUAUCAAAUCGAUUACCCUUUGAAACACAUAAAUGAAAUCUGAUCCUAAAUCCAAUAUGAAUUAGCUAGGAAAACAGAGACCUAACACGCAUAAUCGAUAUAGUUCAUCACCUCCUGUCACUAGGCAUCUAAUUAAUUUGAGACAUUUUUUUAAUUCAUACUAUAAAGUUAGUUAAUAACUACGGUUAUAUUGUUAAACAUGUAUAAAUUAAGACGACGUGCAAAAAGAUGAGUCAUUAAAUUUGAUUUGAUUCUAAUGAAAUUAUAUCUGUGUGAAUGAAAGUGAAGGGAAAAAUAAUAAUAAUGUUACCUUUUCAUCGAAGAGAUGUUGUAUUUGAUUAGCUACCAAGAGGUUCUCUUCUUAUUUUAAUUUUUGAGCUUCCUUAUUAUCUGUUGUCAUGUGCAGUACAGAUGUAGAAUUGGACAUGAAUGUUUCCAUAUCAGGGCAAUUCUCAAUAGUUAGAUAUCUCAACUCAGGCAGUUCAAUUAUAUUCCCAGUGAAGUUGCAGAAUCUUUUGAGUUUUGGAAGGUCAAUGAGCCUUAGCUCAAAAAGCCUAGGAAACAGGGGGCCUAUAUGUUCUUCCUUGGCAUUUAGCUCUUCCAAAUGAAGCACCUCUUCUAGUGAAUCACAAUUCCUCACUUCCAGCCAUCUCAAAUUGUUCAAGCACCGUAUCAGAUUGGCAGGAAUAGCACUCGACAUAUUCGUGCGGUCAUCCACCACCAGGUGUCUUAAAUUGUUGAAGAAGCUGACAGGCAGUGCUUGGCCAUGCGAGAGUUGCAAAUGGUUUAUAUCAAGGAAUCCAAUCUGCACAAACCAAAACAAUUGCACUGGAUAUAUACAAUUUUUUCUUUCUGAAAGGCAUAGAUAUAUGUACAUUAAACUUACAUGUUUUCUGCUUUAACUUCUAAAAAUAUAUAUACAAGGCAGGUGUAUAUGCUUAAAUGUGCAAGUGCAGGGGAGAUGCAUGAACAAUUUGGGUGAAUCGAUUAACACAUACCAUCUUUUUGUAACAUAUGUUUAAAUGUGCAAGCGCAAGGGAGAUGCAUAAGCAACUUGGAUGAAUCGAUUAGCACAUACCAUUUCUUCGUAACACUUUUGUAUAGUGGAAUUAAGCUUGUUGCCUUCCCAAUGGUGCAGUUCACCCUCUUCCUUUUCAGUCACUUGCACUUUGCAUGGCUUUGUAAUGGAUAAGAUUCCCUGAGAAAAAGUCUUCAUGUCCGGACAACGUAUCAUAGAAACUCGUUCCAAUGAUGGGAAUUCAAGAGUGCAAUUCUCCAAACAAAAGCUGGUAAGCCUUGGUAAAUCAUCAAGUAUCAAAACUUUUAAUUCGCUGAAAGCAAUACGAUUCUCCUUCACUUCUUCUCCAACAUGUCCUACGAUUUCUUCUAAUUUUUGGCAAUCUGAUACUUAAAGAUUCACCAGACUACUAGGAAUUCCAACCUGAAAAUAAGCAAAAGUGUGUGUGUAAGAGUAUCAUUCAACUAGGUCCAAAGUAUGUUUAAAACAUACAAUUAUAUGUUAACAUAACAAACCAUGAAAUGUCUACUAGAUAAUUUUUGUUAAACAAAAAAGGCAACAAGAUAAAUAAAUAAAUAAAAGCCAGAUAAACAAAGACAAUAAAAAUGCAUUUACACUAUUUAGUAUUAGGAGCGUAGAAAGAAUUUAAGGCAAUUUCUAAAUAUUUUAGACUUAUUUUGCAUCUUGAUGCCAGUUUUUAAACAAAAUUUGCAAAUUUCAACUAUUCCUUCUGGGAAAAAAAAAAAUCAACCACCAACAAAGUGUUGGCUCCAUUGGCAAUGGAGUCCCCUUAAGUGGUUUGACUGGGUUUGCUCCCCAGUUCGAGUCGCAGGGAAGUCGCCUUUGUUGGGAGAACUUGUGCCUCCCGGUUCGAGCGGGGACUUCUAGUCUGGGUUGUGGUACGGGCUUAAAGGUGCCUUCCACAGUUGGGGCCCUCCCCAGGAUACCUCGUGAUUAAUAUAAAAAAAAAAAAAAAAUCAACCAAAAUGCCGCUUUUUCCCUUUUUCCCUUUUUCCUUGGUCCCUUUUUUUUAUGUAUAUUUAAUUUUGGAAACAAAAUUAAAGUGGAUCUUUAUUAAGUACUUCUAGACUCGAGGAAAUUUCUUUACAAUCAAGGAUCAAUUGUAAAUAAUCAUGAAUUUGUGGUUAAUUAAUGGCAUAAUCAGUUCGUAACUAAACAAGAGAUAUUAAUUAAAUUUGAAAACUUUUCUUUUCUUUUUUUCUUUUUCCAAUCGAAAUGUGAAGAAUUAAGGAAAAGAGAAAUAUAUAGAUGAAUUUGUGAACCUAUAAGAUGAGUGACCAUCCUUUAAUUUUUGAAAAUUGUACUUAUUAAGAUAUGAGCAGAAACAAUUAAAUUGAAUUAUAUUAUGCUGUUGAAUCGUGAUUAAAAAAAUUAUAUUGUUGAUUCUAAUGCUGGCGAACCUAAAAACUGGACUUAAAAUGUAGAUUUGAGAGUGGUGGUUCGAAGUACAAUACUUGAAAUAAAUAAUCAGUGGCUGAAUAUCAUUUGUAAACCCAAAAAUGGUUAAAAUAUUGUUGGAUGUAAUUAAAAAAAAAAAGAUUCGAAAUGAAUACAACAACCUUACCAAUGGAGGAAAAAUAUUCUUUAGGUUAUCACACCACCAUAUGUCCAAAUUCUUCAAUUUGCUGAAAGACUCCGAAGCAAGCUGGUGGUGCCAUAUUUUUCUCAAACUAUCCAUCAAGUCAAUACGUAAUACCUCCAACCUAGGAAGUCGUACUUGGCAGUUAAAGAUUAAAUAACUAAUUAAUCAAUUAAUGGCAUAAUCAAUUGAUAACUAAAUUAGAGGCGAAUAUUAACUAAAUUUGAAGACUCAAGGAAAAGACAAAUUAAGUAUUGGGACUAAAAUUAAUUUUUUUUUUAUUUUAAAAAAAACCUUUUCGUCAAUGAGAGGAGGAGGUUGCAUUUCAGAAUGAAUGGUGUCUUCUGGUGAGCUCGUAGAAAUGAAUCUUAACAUAUUACUGCAACUAUCAAUCUUGAGUAUUUGCAAAGAAGGGAAUUCAACAACUAAAUCUGAAUGAAUAUGUCUCGUGUUUGCAAAGCUUGUUAGUUUAAAAAGCCCAUAGAGCUGCAGGGAGUGUAGUUUAGGAAAAACCUUUAAUUCAAUCAACUUUCCUUCAUCUCUUUCUGACCACCCCGUGGUGUCGACUACCCCUUUCAUUGACUCACAAGAUCGUAUUUCAAGAUGUUGGAGUUGCAAAAGACUAUUAACCAUAGAAUACGAAAACAGAUACUUCAAAUGAUCACAACCGUCCACGAUCACCUUUGUUAAAUUUUGACAACAGUACAUUCCUUGAUUAUGAUCGGCCCAUAAUUUUUUCAUGUUUCCUAAAUGAAAGAGAUUCAAUUCCUCUAAGCUCGGAAGAAUAACCUGCAAAGAAAACCCGUACAUUUUUGUUCCUUCAAGUACAACCGUCUAGUAUAAUAUUCUUUUGAUGAUCGAAGAUUAAUCGUGAUAAUAAAUUAAUCAAUUAAUUAUUGAACAGAAAAUUAUCACCUUUGGAGCAGUAUCAUCAUCAGCAAUGAUUUCGUUGAAUCCCAAAGAAGUUGUUGGUUUCUCCCUGUCGGGUCCUAUAAACAAACAAAAACAAUACACAUAAUUAAUCUUUGUCGUUGUUUUUUUUUUCAAAAUAAUUGAGGCGAAGUCCAUAAAUCCACCAACACUUAAUUUCAACACUUACCAACAAUCAUUUCCAGAUCAUCGCAAACAAACACUUCUACCUUUUGAAGCCGCAGUAGGUUUUUUGCCAUGGAGAAUGAGAAAAGAUGCUUCAAUUUGUGACAGGAUUGUACUCCUAUAAUCCUUAAGUUGCUGAAAGAUUGAUCUUCUGUGAGUUGGCUAUCACAUAUUGUCUCCAACUUGUUCAAAAACCAAAGAGACAAUGACUCCAGCAAGGGAAAGACUGUACAAUGAACCCGUCCAACUGAACCGACAAUAAGCAAAAUCUCAGAACAACUUUCUACACGAAGAUGCUUCAAUCGUGGAAAACCUUCCCCAUCAUCUAAUUCAUGAGCAACAUUCUGAACACUCUUCAGUUCGUUUAGAUGGAUCUCUUCAGCUUCUUUCAGCAACAUUUUCGUCCCAUAAUUCUCCAAAAGACUGCUAACAUUUUCUAGCCCAUCGAGCUCCACCAUUCUUGAUGUUUCAGAAUUAACGCCCCACAUGCGCCACGCUUCUCCUAUACAUAUCUUAUAUCUUUGCAAUUCCACAGAGACUAAAUCCUGCGGCAGAAUUUGGGCAUCCCAAAAUUGUAUCUCCAAAGUAGUUAGCUUUGACAGCCCCUUCAAUUCAGCAAGACUGGCGGUACUUCCUCCUUCAACCUUAUCCCACUGCGAAAAGCUGUCACCCAUAUAUAGUUCUUCUAAUUGAGAAAAUUUUGAUAUGAGAUUUGGUGCUAUCACUACAAGGCUCCUACAAUUGCUCAAAUCUAGCAAUUGUAACCGCGUCAAUUGUCCAAUUUCAAGUGGUAACUGCUUAAUGUCGGAAUCUCGAAAGCUAAGAAUCUCUAAUUUCUUUAGCUGUCCAAUUGCAGCUACAUCUUCUAGUUGGCACCAGUCUAAACACAAUGUUUGAAGGUUAAUGAGGCGACCAAGUGAUGAAGGUAAUGAAGAGAAAGGAAUUCUAGUAAGGCUUAAAACUUUGAGUUCUUUCGUCCCUUCAAAAAAGAGGUCUGAAAUUUGCAUACGGCCAUUACCCUCUGCAGACAACAAAAAUAACUGGAGAUUGGGACAUUGCAACCUUUCAGGGAGCUCUUGAAUAUCUCUCUGGGGUAAUGAAAUGGCAAUUGGAUCUUUCCGUAUUGUCUCUU
RNAcentral lists this long non-coding RNA (116307 nucleotides) under Citrus x clementina. RNAcentral describes it as "Citrus clementina (C. clementina) long non-coding RNA (CCLE_LNC002773)". The record is from RNAcentral. Lineage: Eukaryota; Viridiplantae; Streptophyta; Magnoliopsida; Sapindales; Rutaceae.